RNAcentral lists this long non-coding RNA (89237 nucleotides) under Vitis vinifera (wine grape). RNAcentral describes it as "long non-coding RNA (VVIN_LNC002725)". The record is from RNAcentral. Lineage: Eukaryota; Viridiplantae; Streptophyta; Magnoliopsida; Vitales; Vitaceae.
AUGGGACGUGGGCCAUGGCUGGUUUGUUGCGAUAGCGUGUAAGACUCGCUUUACUUUAGUCAAUGAUCCGGACAAUCAUAUCCGGAUAGCCCAUGUUGGUUAUCCGGAUGUAUUGUGGAGCGGACGUAUUUAUGGAAGCCGUCCGGAUGCCUAUGCUUCGUAAGCGUCGUUUGCUCUUCCUUGAGGCAGUCCGGAUAUACAAGGUGCGCCAUGUGUGCUUUAUAAGAAGGUCCGGAUGAGGGUGACCCGGAUGACAAUGCGUGCCAUGGGUCACUGUAAGAUACGUGCCACGUGUCUCGGCCAGAUGCGUGGCACGUGUUCUCAGAGGGCGGGGUCCCUACACCCACCAUUGAUAACUGUGGAGAUCUGCCAAACUUAAUUGGAGAUGGUGAGGGGUUUUGAAAGUUGGAGUGAUGGAGUUGAGUUCAAAUUUUCAAGAGACAGACAUACUCUGCUUCACCUAUUAUAUAUUCAAUUUUUUUUGUCACCUUCUUUCCUCAGUUUUCUUCUAAUUUUCUCCUCUGUUUUUCUUACAAUUUUGGUAACUACAAUAACAUUUAAACCCAAUUUCUCAAUUAAAAUUAAAUUAAAUUAAAUUAAAAUUUAAAAUUUUUCUAUGUAAUUUAGAUGAAAAAUAAUUUAUCAUAUAUUAGUAAAAUUGUCAUUAAAAAAAGAAUGAGUAUGACUAAGAUAGACUAAGAUAAAUUGUUUUUUUCCCUCAUUUUGUUCUCUUAUUUUUGAAGUAAAUUUAGAAUUUAUUUAAUGAAUUCUUACUAACAAAAAAAAUCAAAUAAUAAAAAAAAAAUCACUUAAUUUGAUAAGAAAUGAAUUUAAAAUAAAUCUACAAACUUCCAAAAUGAAAUUAAAAUUGAGGUUUAAUUACAUGAUAUCAUAACUCAUCCAAUUGUCAAUAAAAUUAUAAUUAAUUUUUUUUUAUUAUAAAAUUUUAAGUUUAGCUCAUUAUAAUACAAUUAAAAAAAAUCAACUAUCAAUUAAAAUUGUAGAGAAUAAUUCAAAUUGGGCUAAAUAUCCACUAGAGUUAAUAAUUUUAAUUAAUUUUUAAAAAUCCAAAUUUAAGCGGUAAUUUUUUUCCCUAAAUUAAAAAACCAAAAAUUAAAGAAUUAAUUUGAAUAGUCAAAUAUACUUUCAAUCACAAAUGCAUAAAUUUAAAUGUAUGUGUCACAUAAAAACCACUAAGUAAUUAAUACAACUUAGUCUAGAAAAUUUUCAUUUCUGUUAGAUAUGGACUCCCUUAUUUGGAAUUUUCUCCUUCCUCUGUUUUGCUUGCAUUUCAUUUUUUGGGCAGCUGUAGCCAUUUGGUAACUACAAUUACACUUACACCCAAUUUCUCAUUUAAAAAAUUAAAAUAAAAUAAAAUUCAAUCUUAAAAAUUUUGUAUGCAAUUUAGGUGAGAAAUAAUUUAUCAUAUAUUAGUAAAAUUGUCAUUAAAAAAGAUUGAAUAUGACUAAGAUAAGUUGUUUUUUGUCCCCAUUUUGUUCUCUUAUUUUCAAGUAAAUUUAAAAUUUAUUUAAUGAAUUCUUACUAAAUAAAACAAAUCAAAUAUUAUAAAAAUCUCUUGGUUUGAUAAGAAAAGAAUUUAAAAUAUAUCCAGAAAGUUCCAAAAUCAAAACUGAGAUUUAACUACAUGAUAUCGUAGCUCAUCCAAUUCUCAAUAAAAUUAUAAUAAAAAAAAUUAUAUUAUAAGUGAAUUUAUUACAAAAUUUCCAAUUUAGUGAAAUUUCUAUAAUUAAAAUUCUAGACUAUAAUUCAAAUGCAUCUAAAUAUCCACUAGAGUUAAUAAUUUUAAUUAAUUUUGAAAAAUCAAAUGUUAGGUGGUGAUGUUUUUCUCUAAAUUAAAAAUCCAAAAAUUAAAGAAUUAAUCUAAAUAAUCAAACAUUGGAUUCAAUUACAAAUUCAUAAAUGUAUCACAUAAAAACCACUAAAUAAUUAAUACGACUUAAUCUAGAUAAUUUUCAACACUUUGUUAGUAAUCAAACAUAAUUAUUAUAAACUUUUGUUAUUAUAUUAAAUCUUGUUAUUUUGAAGCAUUUAGAAAUAUGUUAAAUUACUCUUUUUUUGUGCCCAACCCCCUCUUUCCUUAUAGGCGAGACGAAGGUUCUAUCCUCAUCAUGUGAAUCUGAAAAUUCUCUAAUCACACUUUAGGUAAAAAAAAACAAAAAAAAAAAAAGAAAAGUAAAGAGUGUUUUAUGGACCUAAUCUGUUUUUAGAAACUUUUUAUUUAAAAUAAAUAAAUAAAGCCUAAGGCUAUGUUUGGUUCCCGGAAAAUUUGAGGGAAAAUACGAGGGAAAGAAAAUACAAAAGAAAAGUAGAAGGAAAGAAAAAGUGAAGGAAAAUAAAAAAAUAGAUUAAAAUUUGAUAAAUUAUUUUUUUUGUUACUUCAAACUCAUUUUAUUUAUUUUAACUCAUCAAUAUAAAGAUUAAAUAAUUUAAAAAUACAUAAGUUUUUAAUUAGUUUUAAUUAUAUUUGAUUUUCUUUGAUAUUUUUCAUAGGACAACCAAACAUGAGAAAAUCAUUUUUCUUAGCAUUUUUUUUCUUUCCUUUGUACUUUCCGGGAACCAAACAUAGCCUAAAUUUCCAAUUUAGUGAUCGGGUUUAGUGCUUGAGGGAACAUAAGGCCGAGGAAGUGUGGGCCAUAGAAUUGGGCCUUCUUUCUAUAUUCUUAUUUUGGCAUUUCUUUACCCUACUUGAAUCCCAUCCCACAUCGAGCAGUCACGAAAGAAAUGAGAUGUUCAAAUUACAAGCUUCCUCGUGAUCAAGAAGUGGCAUCAAAGUUCCGGGGAAAUAGGGGGGGGGAACUCCAGGGGCCCAGGGGGAGGGGGGGGGGGAACGCCAGGGGAAUCAGGCAGACAUGAGUGAGUAACUCCCCGCCUCGCCGGAGCUGCUGACCGUGUUGAAUCCAUCCACAAUGACUGGCAGCAUAGCACAACAUCUCCACCCACACCUCACUCACCAUCUUCCAUUUCUCUCCCAUCUCCAUAUUCAGUGAUCUCAACUCCUUGGCAAGCCUACAUGCCUCGAAUAACACUGACUUGCUUUUAUCUCCUUUCACCUCUUUGGGCUCAACUUCUGUGUCAACUUCAAGCAACAAUCUGCAAGCUUCAUUUCUGUUAGAUAUGGACUCACUUCUUUGCUGGAAGAAUCUUUUGGUCUCUGAACAAGUGUCUCGGAAUCUAAACUCCCCUAUCCCUUUUGGCAGCAUAAAUGGACACAUGACUAGCAGAUACAACAUAUACUCAGACAAGCAUUUGCUUAUUUUGCAUCUUGAUUUAGGAUUGGGGUCAUCAUCAGAAUAGCUACAGAGAUCUGUUGCAAUAUGCCAAAGAAGGAUGCUGUGAUCAAAUUUCACGUCAACUAUACUCCAACCAAGUGUCUCAAUAACCCGCCUUUUUGUAAUCACAUAAUCACCUCUGUGUUUCAGUAGUGACCUGAGAUCCCUGACAUCAUUUGUCAUCUCUAGGAGCAAGCUGAAGAUCGGUUCCUUCAUGUCAUCCACCUUCUCCCAAGUCAUGUACCAGUACCUCUCUAAGAAAUUGUUCAUGUCAAGGAACCUGGGAACCUGAUUGAACUUGGUUUUGUCUCUGAGGCAAGAAUCAAUUAAAUUGUUCUGUGCCAUUCGUCUAGACCAUCUCUUGUCACUGGUUAUAACUGAUCUAAAAGAGGUAAUGGCUCGGUAAAUGGAAUCAGCCAGGGAGUUCGUCUUGCUGCUCAACCAGACAAUGCUCCAGUCGGACAAAAUCAGCUUAGUGAGGGCAUAAACCUCAAGAAAAAUAGCUCCAAAGAGUAAUAAGUAAGUAAUGUCGAUGUCAAUGUUUGAGAACUGGUGCUUAUCGAUGAAGAAGUGGAAGGCCGCUAAAGUAGAAAUAGUGAAGGAGAAGCUGGUGGAACGGAGCAGAAUGCCAAGUAGAGAAUAAAUCACUGUUGCCUUGGUGUAUAGCACAUCAUACAUAAAAUUGAGCUCCAUCUCCACCACUUUGAAGGCGUCUUCGGAUGACAUGUACCUGAUGAUGCCCUCACUGGUUUUUUGGUCAUCCAAGCUGAGGAUGAGGUCUGCAUAUAGAUGCUUGAAUUGGUUCUUGAAUAAGAAGUAAGCUUUGUCAAUAUAUUUUCUACUAGGAACAGUAAUGUCAUCACCAACGGUAGAUUGAAGUGGAUUUUCACCAGUCUUUUCUUUCCUGAUUCGCUCAGCCUGCGUGUCGUAAUUCCGUGAACUAUAUUUCUCCAUGAAAUGAGCAUAAUCAGGUCCAGGAUCAGGAACUAGAAGCAAAGAAUCUCUAAAGUGAUUCUUGCUUGCAGAUCUCAGAACCCAGGUCCUCUCUCCAUACUUGAUAAUUCCAGCCACAAACAUUGGAAUGGAUAGAAAUGUGAGUGGAGUUCCUGCCCAUGACCUCAGAAACACGUAGAAAGCCACUCCAACUUGGACAACUAGUCCAAGCAAGUGCCUUAACCACAACUCAUUAUCUUCUAAGGAGUAAGCCGUGAUAGUGUCCGGACCACCAAGGUGCAAGAGAAGGAAUGGCGCCCAAAAUGCCAUGAGGGUAUAGUUUGGAUCCAGAAGUUUCCCUUCCGAAUCUCCUUGGCUGUUUGAGAGGGUACCGAGGGAUACUGUCGCCACCCAGUCUGCGGACAAGUAGGCCGACCAAAUCAGGAUUCUGAUCCAAGGCGUGACUGUGUACUUUCGUCGGUUGCUAAAGAUGAUUAGGACGAUUUGUAGGAAAAGGCUUAGUAGAACCAUCAAGCGUAGCUCCCAUUCAUUCCAAAGUUUCCGCAUACUUUCUGGGAAUAUCUGCAUUGCUCUCGCGCCUGUUCUCUGUAAAAAGAUCAAACUGAAAACAACUAGACAUUCAAAAAUAUUAGAGCCAAAAAUAAAGAAUAAAAUAAUAAAUUUGUAAAAUAAAACUCUUAAAUUCAUACCAAUCAUUUUUCACUUUUAUUCAUUUGCCACUUGUAACUUUCCAACAUUUAUAACUCAACAUUAAAGUUUAACACUUAAUUUUUAAUCUUCAAUUUUAUUAAACACCUUAUAAAUAGCUUCACUUUUCACUUAAAAUUAGAAAGAUAGGUUGUUUCACCAUUUUUUUUAUACAUUUUUUUAUAAACUAUUUUUAAAUUAAAGAAUUAAAAAUGAUAAAACCGUUUCCUAAAAUCAUUGUCAAACACACUCUAAGUUAUUAACUUUUUAAAUUAAUUUAUCAAAUAUCAUCUUACAUUUAGCAUAGAAACUUUAAUUAUACUGUUCCCUAAAAUAAAAAUAAAAGUAUUAUGUCUGGUAACAAAAUCUGAACUUGUCCUACAUGAGUUAGAGCCAAAAAAAAAAUGAAGAAUAAAUUAUUAAUGGUUGAUAGGAACUACAUAUGAACUUAAAAGUAAGGAGGACUUCAAUAAAGGGCUGAUUUUGGCUCUCCUGGAAUCUGAGCAAAGUAUGUAGUUCAGGAAUUGUUGGUCACAGUACUCAUACUGUAAGGGCAUCACCAGCAACAACAAUAUGAUAUCAUUCUUUACUUCAUUAUAAUGCAAACAUAACUCUUUUCCUUUCAUUUAUUCCCAAUUUUGCUUUGUGCAGAAUCAUCUGAUCACUAGGGUGUACUCAUAAAGUCAUAUUAAUAAUUGUAAGGGAAGGGAGAAGCCCAGAGUGUAGGACUUGGUCACAAGUCAAGAAACACAUACUAAUUUCGCCUUUGAUUUCGUGGAACAGUGUUAUGGCUGUAAUUUUGAUGGGUUGAUUGCUAACCCAAAUUCAACCAGAAGUAAAAAACAAUUGAUCAAAAUCUAACCCAAUGUGACUUCUAACCCAAAGUAUUAAGCCAAAACCUAGCCAAGCCUCAUGUCUCUAAACCCGAUUAAGUUCAAGGUAGUCAAGUUUUGUUUCAGGUUAAUUGAGUUACAUAAUUCAAAAUCCAUCAAUAAUGUUUUUUUUUAUACAAAAUUUCUAUAUAUUUAUACGAAAAUUUAAAUAAUAAAAUACGACAAAAUUUAAAUAUGACAACAAAAAUGUAAAAACAAAUUUGUAUAUAUAUAUAUAUAUUUUUUAAAUGAAGAUAUAUAUUAUAUAAUAUUAAUUUGAUAUUUUUUCAUAAAAAUAUAAAAAAUGAAUAUUAUUGUAAAAGAUAAUAUACAUUAUAAAUAUUAAGAAAUAUUAAAUUGAGUUUAGAUUAGGUUCGCAUUGUUUGAGCCUUACCUUUGACCUGACUACAAACCAAAUUGAACUUAGUUUGAAAAAACUUAACGCAAGCCCAAUUACAAUAAUGAAAAUGAUUAUUCAAACCCGAUGAAAAUAUAAUGUUUUUUUGAGUUAUAUAAUUCAAAAUUCAUUUAUAAUAUUUUUUUAAAACAAAAUUUCUAUAUAUUUAUAUGAGAAAUUAAAUAGUAAAUAAGACAAAAUUUAUAUAUAACAACAAAAAAGUAAAAAUAAAUAUAUAUUAUAUAAUAUUAAUUUGAUAUUUAUUUCCUUAAAAAUCUAAAAAAUAAAUAAAUAUUACUAUAUAAAAUAAUUUACAUUAUAAAUAUUAUAGAAACAUAAAAUUGGGUUCAAAUUAGGUUUAUGUUGUUCAAACCUUAGUCUUAACCUAGGCACAAACCAAAAACAAAAUUUCAGAGAAGUUUGAGUUUACCAAAAUAGAAAAAUAUCAAAUUUUCCAUAAAGUAAUGAAGGAAAUCAAUGGACAAAAGAUCUUCUUUUGAAAAGAUGGGGGGCGGGGUGGGUGGGGGUGGGGGUGGGGGUGGGGGGAAAGAGCAAAAAAUAUAUACAAUUUAAGCUGUUAAACGAACUCAAUAUUCUCCGAGUCAAUCCAUGCAAUCCAACGUCUCAUGAAUUUUAAACAAUUUCUCAGAAGAAUAAACAAAUGAAGCAUAAGUAAAAAGAAGAAGAAGAAGAAGAAAGAAUCGGUUUGAAAGCAAAAUAAGAAGGGAAAUAUACCAAAGAGUAUGACGGUGGGGGCUCGGUUGGAGCUGUUCACAGAGUUCAGCUCAUGAAGGUGGAAGUAGUGUGCUGGUGAAAAGGUGAUGGCUGGAGAUGGAGGCCGACGGCAGUGAGAAUGGUGACUUUGUGACUCUUGAAUGGGUUGCAGUAGUGGUUUUAAACCAGAGAAAAAGGCAGAAAAGAAAAAGAAAACAGAAGAAGAGACAGAGGAGCGAGACUGAGAGAAUCGUCUUGUGGGCCGGCCGGAGCGUGUGGCUAUAGCAAUAAUUCAAAGAAAGGAAUCCAUUUCUUUUUCAUUUUCCUUUCUAUCUCUUUUUUGUCGCCAUUAAUCAAUUUUCUGUCAAUGACUGGCAACAGUGCUUCUCAAUUAUUCAACUAUGGAAACUUCCAAGAGUUAAGAGUAAUAGGAAGAAGAAUAGAUUCAGGCGAACUGAUGUAACAGUGGAGGCCAGUCAACAGCGGUGGGGUGUUGGGGAAUGAUGUGCAGUAGAGGCUCGGGAUGUUAAGUCUUGGAAUAAUGCGAUGUUGAAUGCAUAAAAAGGUUUUACCACCCUACAUUGAUAAUCAAUUCGCUUUAAAAUGAGCUUAGGAUGUGAUUCUCAAGUUACGGAUUCAAGUCACCAAAACCUCAUGUUCUAAUUUUUAAAUUUGUAAUAUCUUAAAGACUGAGCCCCAAAAUAAGCUUCAAGGUCAUAAAACGCUAGGUAUUAAACUCCAAGAUUUCAACCUUGGGAUGAAUUUGUUGUGAUUCUCAAAGAUGGUUAACUCAACAACCUCAUUGUAAGUUGCCUCAGGGAUAUUCAGCCAAGAAAGACGGAAGAAACGAAACCGAAUCCUCCAGCCAAUCUAGGAUGUGAUCUGAAGUGGGGUUAGGCUCGGGUUCUUCAAUGGUCAUUGUGGGGGAGAAAGAAUGGAUGAAGAAGAGAAAGGGUGUAGAACUGUUUGAUCAUUGACCAAGGAGGAAGAUAAAAGAGGGUGUGAAACACCAUUAAAAUAAUGAAAUGGGGGGUGAUGGUUUUUUGGAAGAGACGAUGGAGAGCAUAUUGAAGUUGGUGGGGGGUGGUGUGCAUUUGGAAGAUGUGAUGUUGUUAUUAAGGUUUUUUUAAAGCCUCUAUAAGAGAGUAGAAACAUGGGUUUCUUAGUUUUUUCUUUGGUGUAUUAACUUAUUCCUUUGCAUAUGUCAUGGUGAUGGAGACGUGCCAAGCUUGAUUGGAGAUGGUGAAGGGCGGCUUUGAAAGUUGGAGACAGUGAUGGGUUGGGUUGAGUUCGAAUUUUCAAAGAGACGGCAAUCUGCUUCACCAAUUAAAUAUGGGUUGUUAUAUGGUACCCACUCUUCAUUUUGGGGUACCUACCCACAUUUGACCCCAAUAAAAAUAUGACAUGUGUAAAGUACAUAUCACUAAAAAAUUUAUAAAAACUUAUCAAACCGGUAAAGAUGACUUGUUGGUGAGAAAUAAUCACAUGCAUUUCAUAUAUAUCUAAAUAUUACAAUUUUUUAUAAUUUAUUAUUAAAUAUCAAAUAUAAUUUGUUAUUUAAUGCAUUACCUAACCCUAUCUAAAAAAAGAAAAUCUUACCUACUACUCUUAUACUCUCAUUAUUCAUAUAUAAAAAAAAGGAUAGUAAUUUAAUAUGAAAAUUAAAUAAUUUCAACUACCAAAUUACAAAAUAUGUAAGAUGUAUUUUGAUGAAUCAAAUUUCAAGAUCAAGUUCAAAACUUUUUGACAGAGAAAAUUUAAAAUUUGUAUUAUAUGAAGAAGAUGAAGAAUUUCAAGUGAUUACAAGUGUCAAAGGUAAUAUUUGAUAUUUUUUUAUCCAAAUAUAAUUGUUGUAGGAAGAAAUGUGAUGUUAAAUAACGAUUUUAUAAUUUUUUAUGAGUUUAUUAUAAAAUUUUGUUAUCAAAUUGUUAUUAAUAUUUUUAUAUAAUUUUUUUUUUUGUUCAUAGAUUAAAUUUGAAGAUGAAGCUUUAUAUGUCUUGAAGGAUGUCAAGUGAUUACAAGUGUUAAAAGGUAACAUUUGAUUUUUUGUUUCCAUUUACAUAUAACUAUUAUAGGUAGAAAUGUCAUGUUAAAUGACAUUUAAAUAUGUAAUGAUUUAUAAUAUCUAGAUUUUUUAAUUUUUUUUUCUAAGUUAUUUUUAAUCAAAUUGAGAGCAUUUAGUAAUUUGUUAUGAAAUUGUCAUCAAUAUUUUGUAAGAGAGAAUACGAACUUUCUAAUGGAGGGUACGAACUUUCUAAGGGUGGGUACGAACUUUCUAAGGGUGGGUACGAACUUUCUAAGAGAGGGUACGAACUUUCUAAGAGAGGGUACGAACUUUCUAAGAGAGGGUACGAACUUUCUAAGGGUGGGUACGAACUUUCUAAGGGAGGGUACGAACUUUCUAAGUUAGGGUACGAACUUUCUAAGGGAGUGUACGAACUUUCUAAGGGAGGGUACAAACUUUCUAAGAGAGUGUACGAAAUUGGUACGAACUUUCUAAGAAUGGGUACGAACUUUAUAAGGGUGGGUACGAACUUUCUAAGAGAGGGUACGAACUUUCUAAGGAAAGGUACGAACUUUCUAAGAAAGGGUACUAACUUUCUAAGGGAGGGUACGAAAUUUCUAAUGGAGGGUACGAAAUUUCUAAUGGAGGGUACGAAAUUUCUAAGAGAGUGUACGAAAUUUCUAAGAGAUGGUACGAACUUUCUAAGGGAGGGUACGAACUUUCUAAGGGAGGGUACGAACUUUCUAAGACAUGGUACGAACUUUCUAAUGGAGGGUACGAACUUUCUAAUGGAAGGUACGAACUUUCUAAGAAUGGGUACGAACUUUCUAAGAGAGUGUACGAACUUUCUAAGAGAGGGUACUAGACAUUCAACUAAAGUAAUUAUAUUGCAUUUGUAUUGUACUUAUACUUUAUAACUGAAGUAAUGGUUCUUUUACACAACCUUCAAACUACUAGACAUUCAACUCAUCAUACCAAAAUAAUACUUAUACAAAAAGGUAACAAAUUCAUAACAAAAAUAUAGUGAUCUUAACUCUUUAACAAAUUCAUAAUAAAAGACAAGGUGGUCUCGUACAAAGGGGAUUUCAGUUUUCAAUGAAAAUCCAAAUAUUGUUCAUAAAUACACAAACAAAGUGGUCCCAAACAAGCAUAAAACAACUGAGAACAUUUUUUCUUCAACCAUGUCAAAAAGUCUUAACAACAAAACUAAAGUGCAAACCUUUUCAAUGGAAAUCAAUAAUAAUCAUAUCAAACAACCCACUCGAAAAAUAAAUUAAAAAUAAAAACACAUCUUCAAUAUGACCAAAAUAAUAUAAAAAAAAUUCAAAAUAAUAAAUUUAAAUAACAUUUUACACAAAAAAAAAUGUAAUUUCUUUCUCAAAACCUUCUUCAAUAUUUUAGAUCUAAUAUUUUACAGCUACAUUGUUAAAAUUAUUAACUUUUCAUUCAUUCAAUCCGAUUUUUAAAUUAUUUAUUUAUUUUUUUCCAUAAACUUACAUUUUUUUUUUGGUAUUAAAAAAAAAAAACUUACCUUUAAUGGAUUUCUUGCUAGAUUCACACAAAAAACAAGCUUUGUGUAAACAGUUGCAGAUAAUGACUUGAAGUGCUGGACCUUUUUCUUUUCCUUUUUUUCUUCUACAACACCGACAAGUUGCAGGUAGGUUAAAGAAAAAAACUCUUUUUUCUUUCCUGUUACUUUUCACUUUGCUUUGCUUUUCACUUAUUAAGGAUAAUUUUGGUAUUUAAACAAAAUAAGGCUUUUGGAUGAAUUAUCAUAAUUUCACCCUACCCUUCACAAUAAUUAUCAAAUUUACCCACCCUCAUCAGUCAUAUUUUUCCCCAGCCUACCCUUAAGGGUAAUUCUCCCUUUUUCAUAUCCUCUCUAAUUUUUUAGUGUUUUAAUUUUUAAAUUUUUUAGGAUAAUUUACAUUAUUUCCAAUUAAAAAAAAUUUUAAUGCUUAAUUUUUUUUAACAAUUCUAUCAAUAAUAACUCAAAAUAAUAUUAUUAAACUAUGUUAUUGUUAUUUCAAGUUAAAAAGUAAAUCUAAAAUUUUAAAAAUAUAAAUAAUUUAGGGUACGAAAAAUAUGAGAACAGUAUGAAAAAUGUGAUAAAUACAUGUUUGGUACUUUUAUCACAUUUUUCAUAUUGAUUUUUAGUUUUAAAAUUUUUGAAAUUACAAAUUUAUUUUUGAAAAUACUAUCAUUUGUAACUUAUAAGAGUAUUAGUAAUUUAUUUUAUUGUAAUUUAACUUUAAAAAUCUUAAAUUCAAAAAAUGUAAAAUUUGGAGAGUACGGAAAAAAAUUAGGACGAUCUAAUUACCUAAACUUUACAUAUGAUUACCAAAAUGUUGAAUUUUUAUUAAAAUACUUAUUUCAUAUUAAAAUAUUACCAUAUUCAUUUUUAUGUUGAAUUUAAAUGUUUAAUAAUUUUUUAAAAAUAAAAUAAUGUAAUUAUGAUAUAUGAUGAUUUUUUUUGUUAAUAAAUAUGUUUUCAAAUUUUAUAUCAUUUUAUUUUUUAUUUUUUUCCAAUUCUAUUUUUAUCUAAUAUUUAUUUUAUUUAAACCCAAUAUUGUUGAAAAUGGAGGAAGAAAGAAUGCCACAACCGGUUCUUCCCUUUACUGGUUAAGUGGAGUUUUUAUUUCAAAUUGAAAAUGGAUGGCCAAGAUGUAAUCUUGGACAUCCAAUGGCUUGAAAAGCUUUUUGGGUAGGUACCGAGGAGGUACCCUAGAAUUUUCCAUUAAAUAUUUAAGCUUUUGUCACUUGUCAGCUUCCUUCCCUGUUUUCUUGGAAUCUUCUCCUUCCUCUGUUUUGCUUGCAUUUCAUUUUUUCGGCAGUUGCAGUCAUCGAGUAACUACAAUAGCACUUACACCCACUUUCUCAUUUAAAAUAAAAUAAAAUUCAAUCUUAAAAAAUUUAUAUGCAAUUUAGAUCAAUGAGAAAUAAUUUAUCAUAUAUUAGUAAAAUUGUCAUUAAAAAGAUUGAAUAUAAUUAAGUGUUUUUUUUUUUUUUACUUAAUAUUAAUAUUAAGUAUUAAGUUAUUUGUUUUUAUAAUAUUUUAUUUUUAUUGAAUAUUAAAAAAUAAAUAAAUAAUCAACACAUUACUUUUUUCAUUUAGGGUUAAGCAAAAAAUAAAUAACUUAAAGUUUGAAAGCAAAUUAUUUUUAACAAAAAGUUAAAAAAACAAACACCCUCUUAAGUGAUAAGUUAUUUUUUGUCCUCAUUUGUUCUGUUAUUUUGGAAGUAAAUUUAGAAUUUAUUUAAUGAAUUCUUACUAAAUAAAACAAAUCAAAUAUUAUAAAAAUCAAUUGGUUUGAUAAGAAAUGAAUUUAAAAUAUAUCCACAAAGUUCCAAAAUCAAAAUCGAGAUUUAACUACAUGAUGUCGUGACUCAUCCAAUUCUCAAUCAAAUUAUAAUUCAGAAAAUUCUAUUAUAAAAAUCUAAAGAUUAAAGAAUUAAUCUAAAUAAUCAAACAUUCAAUUCAAUCACAAAUUCAUAAAUUGAAAAAUGUAUCACAUAAAAAUUCCUAAGUAAUUACUACAACUUAAUCUAGAAAAUUUUCAAUGCUUUGUUAGUAAUCAUACAUAAUUAAAAUAACCCUAACCACUAAUCAAUCAUAAAUUUCUUAACCAACUAUGUAAUUAAUUAUUAUAAAUUUGUGUUAUUAUACAAAUCUUGUUAUUUUGAAGCAUUUAAAAAUAUGUUAAAUUACUUUUUUUUUUCAAAUGAUUAGUUUUUGAAUAUUUUUAUUUGAAUUACAUAAAAUGAGAAGAUAUAUAAUCAUUAAAAUCUUAAUGGUUAUUUUUAGCAUAUAAAAAUAAAUAGAUUUAACAUUUAAUUUUCAAAUAUAUUAAAUUACUACUUUUUUUAAAUGAUUAGUUUUCAAAAUACCUUCAUUUUAGUUGUAUAAAAUAAGAAGAAAUAUAAUAUUAAUAUUAUGGGGUGUUUUUAGCAUAUAAAAAUAAACAAAUUUAACAUUUAAUAACAUUCAAAUAUUAAUAAAAUAAAAAAUCUUUAAUGCCUAACAAUAUUUAAAUAUGUAAAAAGUGUAAUUUUCAAAGAACACGAGGACUUUCCGAUACUUUCAAAGUUGGAUUGGUCAUUGAAUCAUAAAUGUUAUCCCAUCAUGUAGAAUAAAGUUGGAUUAGUCAUUGAAUCAUAAAUGUUAUCCCAUCAUGUAGAAUAAUAUCCAUUCGAUGUCAUAAAUAUAUGAUUUUAUAUUUUAUUAAAAUAAUUAUAAGAAAUUAUAUAUAUAUAUAUAUAUAUAUAUAUAUAUAUAUGUAAAAUUAUAAUUAUUAAACUUAAUAACAUUUCCUCUUUUUAUAUUUAAUAUCACUAGAUUAAAUCACGAUAAAAAUGAAUAUAAAUAUAUUAAAAAUAUUAUUAAAUAAAAUAUUUAUAAGAUUUAAGUGUAAAAAUAUAUUGAUGGAAAAAAAUUUAUUAUUUAAUUUUAUUUAAGCGUCAAAAGUUAUAUACUAGUUAUUUUAUACUUUUAAAAAUGUGGUACAACUUAUAGAUCAAUUUCACCUUCCAAUACUUGGAAUUUACUCGGUUAAGCCAAGGUGAGACAUAAGAAGGCAGACAUGAGUGAGUAGCUCCCCGCCUCGCCGGAGUUGCUGACGGUGGUGGAAUAGUUGACGGUGUUGAAUCCAUCCACAAUGACUAGCAGCAUAGCAUAACAUCUCCACCCACUUAUCAUCUCCCAUUUCUCUCCUGCAGCAUCUAUUUCCAAUGAUUCAAACAUUUUGGCAAGCCUACAUGCCUCAAAUAACACCGACUUGCUUUUAUCUUCUUUCGCAUCUCUGGGCUCAACUUCCGUGUCAACUUCAAGCAGCAAUCCGCAAGCUUCAUUUCUGUUAGAUAUGGAGUUGCUUCUUUCCUGAAAAAAUCUUUUGGCCUCUGAACAAAUGUCUCGGAACCGAAACUCCCCUAUCCCUUUUGGCAGCAUAAAUGGACACAUGACUAACAGAUACAACAUAUACUCAGACAAGCAUUUGCUUAUUUUGCAUCUUGACUUGAGAUUGGUAUCUGGGGAUUUGUCGACAUCACAAGGAUAACAGAGAUCUGUAGCGAUAUGCCAGAGGAGGAUGCUGUGAUCAAAUUCCACAUCAAUUAUACUCCAACGAAGCGUUUCAAAAAACCCUUUUUUUCUAGUCACAUUAUCACCUCUGUAUUUGAGUAGCUUCCUGCGAUCCCCGGCAUCAUUUGUCAUCUCUAGGAGCCAGUAGAAGAUGGGUUUCUUCAUGUCAUCCACCUUCUCCCAAGUCAUGUACCAGUACCUCUCCAAGAAUUUGUUCAUGUCAAAGAACCUGGGAACCGGAUUGAACUUGGUUUUGUCUCUGAGGCAAGAAUCAAUUAAAUUGUUUUGUGCCAUGCGUCUAGACCAUCUCUGGUCACUGGUUACAACUGAUUGAAAAGAGGCAAUGGCUCGGCAAAUGGAAUCAGCAACGGAGUUGCUCUUACUGCUCAACCAGACAAUGCUCCAGUCAGACAAAAUCAGCAUAAUGAUAGAGUAAAUCUCCAGAAAAAUAGCUCCAAAGAGUAACGCGUAAGUAAUGUUGAUGUCAAUGUUUGAGAACUCAUGCCUAUCGAUGAAGAAGCAGAAGGCCGCUAAGGUAGAAAUAGUGGACAAGAAGCUGACAGUGCGGAGAAUAAUGCCUAAUAGAGAAUAGGCCACUGUUGCCUUGGUGUAGAGCGCGUCAUACAAGAAACUAAGCUCCAUCUCUACCACUUUGAAGGCCUCUUCGAAGGAUAUGGACCUGAUGAUGCCCUCACUGGUUUUUUGGUCAUCCGGGCUGAGGAUGAGGUCUGCAUAAAGAUGGCUCUAUUGCUGCUUGAAUAAGAAGUAAGCUAUAUGAAGAUAUUUUCCACCAGGAAUUUCGAUCUCUACUUUUGUGAUUCUAUUAACCUGCCUUUCGUCUUUCCUUGAACUACAUCCCUUCAAGAAAUCAGCAUAAUCAGGUCCAGGAAGCAAAGAAUCUCUAAAGUGAUUCUUGCUUGCAAACCUGAGAACCCAGGUCCUCUCUCCAUACUUGAUAAUUCCAGCCACAAACAUUGGAAUGGACAGAAAUGUGAGUGGAGUCCCUGCCCAUGACCUCAGAAACACGUAAAAAGCCACUCCAGCUUGGAUAACUAGUCCAAGCGAGUGCCUUAACCACAACUCAUUUUCUUCUAUAGAGUAAGCUGUGACAGUAUCCGGACCACCAAGGUGCAAGAGAAGGAAUGGCGCCCAAAAUGCCAUGAGGGUAUAGUUUGGAUCCAGAAGUUUACCUUUAGAAUCUCCUUGGCUGUUGGCGAGGGUACCAAGGGAUAAUGUUGCCACCCAGUCUGCGCACAUGUACGCCGACCAAAUCAGGAUUCUGAUCCAAGGUGUGGCUGUGGACUUUCGUCGGUUGCUAAAGAUGAUGAGGACGAUUUCUAGGAAGAGGCUUAGUGGAACUAUCAAGCGUAGCUCCCAUUCAUUCCAAAGUUUCCGCACACUUUCUGGCAAUAUCUGCAUUGCUCUCGCUCCUCUUCUCUGUGAAAAUAGAGCCAAAAAUAGAAUAAAAGAAUAAAUUUGUAAAAUCAAAUUCUUAAAUCAAAUUCAUACCAAAAAUUUCACUUUUAUUCAUUUACCACUCGUAACUUCCCAAUAAUUUAUAACUCAACAUUAAAGUUUAGCACUUAAUUUUUAUUCUUUUAUUAAAGACCAUCUAAAUGAGCUUCACUUUUCACUUAAAAUUAGAAAGUUAGAGCAUGUUUUUUUAUAUUUGUUUUAAAUUAAAGAAUAAAAAAUGGAUUUUUAGAAUUUAUUAAAAUAAGGGUGUUUGAGAAGUUGUUCAAAAAAAAAAACUUAUUUAGAUAAAUAAUUUUUUAAAAUAAUUUUUUCUAUUUUGAUUUUAUAAAAACAUUGUAAAUUUAAUUUCUAUAAUAUUAAUUAAAUUUAAUUUAAGUCUUAUUAAAAAUAAAAUUAGUUCUAUAAUUAUAAAUAAAUUAAAAAAUAAAUCAUUUUUAGUAAAAACAUAUAUAAUAACAAUAUUAUAAUAAAAGCAUAAAUUUUAUUUUUCUUAUAAAAGAAUAUACUAUUUUAGUAUGUGUUAAAAAAAUUAUAUAGGUACUAACAUUUCCGUAAAAGUGUCAUUAAUUUCUUUUUUGUUAAAAGUUUACAAUAAUAAUAAUUUAACAAUAAUAAUAAUUUAACAAUAAAUUAUUAAUAAUAUUUUAUUUAAAAUUGAACAAUAAUAAUAAUUUAAUAAUAAAUUGUUAAUAAUAUUUUAUUUAAAAUGAAUAUAGAAUGAAGUUUAACUUUUUUAACAUGUAAAUAAACCAAAAUUUAUAUUACAUGUAUACAUUUAGUACUAAAUUACAAAUACAAUAUUCUAGAAUGCUUUGAUUUAAUAAGAUUUUUUUAAAUACAAAUUAUUAUUAAAAAUUUAAAAAUUCAUCAAAAGAAUUUAAAAUUUAAUAAAUUUUAUGUAUAAAGUAUAAUUUGAUUUGAAAAUUAUUUAAUUAAUGAAAAAUUAUUAUAAAGUUAAAGAAAAUUCAUAAAAACACAUAUAAUUCAAAAGAAUAUCAUAUUAAAAAAAAUUUGAUAUCUAUAUUGGAUCAUGGAGAGAAAAACAAUGAUAUCAUGUUCUUUUUUUUUUAAUUCUUCUAUAUUUUGAUUUUUAAAAGAAAACCAAAUGAAAACAACUUCUACUUAUCCACUAAAAACUAUUCUUUAUUUUACUUUGUUUUAAAAUCUGGAAAUAAAGAUAAUGGCCAAAUAGUCUUAUUAAUUUUUAAAAACACUUUUUUAUUUUUAAAAAUAGAAAUCAUUUUUUAAUCACAGACCAAAUAGACUUCAUAGUUUAUAAUUUCUAUAUUGUAAUAUUGCCUAAUAAAUUUUUAUUUUUAAAAGAAAACCAAAUGAAAACAACUUCUACUUAUUCACUAAAAACUAUUCUUUAUUUUACUUUGUUUUAAAAUCUGGAAAUAAAGAUAAUGGCCAAAUAGUCUUAUUAAUUUUUAAAAACACUUUUUUAUUUUUAAAAAUAGAAAUCAUUUUUUAAUCACAGACCAAAUAGACUUCAUAGUUUAUAAUUUCUAUAUUGUAAUAUUGCCUGAUAAAUUUUUAAUAUUGAAACUUGUAAUAGGCUUCAUUGAUAAAUAAUUUUUGUAGUUUUUAAUUUUGAAUAUGGCUUAGGGUCAAUGAUAAUUUUUUUACAUGUUGGAUUAAUAAUAUUUUUUCACAUAUUAGAUUAAUAAUAUUUUUUUUACAUGUUGGAUUAAUAAAUUUUUUUUUUACAUGUUGGAUUAAUAAUAUUUUUUUUACAUGUUGGAUUAAAAUAUUGUAGUAGAUAUUAAUUAUGUUUUUCUAAAGUGGGUUAUGCAUAAAUUUAUAAUAAAAUAUUUUUUAUUCAUAUUUGUAAUUCUAAGGACAAUUUGUAAAAUAAAUUGUUUUUAGACUUUUUUCUUUUCCCAGUUUUAUCAAAUAUUAAAUUGAAGGUAGGACUUAAAUGUCAUAAGAUACUUUUACAAUUCUUAGACCAUAUUUGGUAAAACUUAUUACUUAUUACUUAAUUAUUUAAGUUGAUUUGAAGUUAAAUUAUAUUUAAAUUUUGAUUUAACACUUAUUAUUUAAUUUUUACUUUAAACAUUAAAGUUGUUUGUUAAAAUUAGUUUAAAACUUAUUUUAAACCAUCAUAUUGACAUAUUUAUCCUUAUAAUAUAUAAUUAGGUAAAAAAAAAAAAGUCGAAUAAUAGUGAAAAUUGUGGAGUAGCAAAGCAAAAGAGAUCGUUGAAGUAAUUAUGAUAAAUACAGAUAAAAGAUAAAAUAAAAAUAUUGACUUAAAAAAAAGUUAUUUAUUUUUAUUUGUCACUUAAAAUUAUUUUUACUGUAAGUCAUAUCAUUAGGUUAUUUUACCCAAUAUACUUAAUUUACUUAAUAAUUUAAAUUAAACUAUUAAAUCAUUUUAAGUUAUUAAAUUGAUUUAUUAAACAUUCACUUACACUUAAUUCGUAUAUAUAUAUAUAUAUAUAUAUAUAUAUAUAUAUAUAUAUAUAUAUAUAUAUAUAUAUAUAUAUAUAUAUAUAUAUAUAUAUAUAUAUAUGGAAAAAGAAAAAAACAACAACAACGCGCUCUAUAUGGGAGAGUGCAAAAAAAUGAAAAAUAAAUAACUCGUGGGUGAGGGGAAAAGAAUAUCAUAUUACAACCACAAUAAUAUUUAUUUUUAUUAUUAAAAAAAUAAACAAAUAAAACCAUAGAGACUAGUGUCUUUGGUAAACCAUACAUGCACUUACAUGAAAGGAAAACGUGUAUGAGGGGGUGGUAUUGUCUCUCCUGGAACUCCUUUGUGUGACUCACAAGUGAGAGUCCUUUCUGUGUAUUUAUAAGGGAAAAUAAUGUUUGCGCGAGGGAUGGGGUGCGGGAGUUGUUGCUCACAGUGAGCCUCCCCCGCAACAACGUGAUAUAUAAUUCUUUACUUCUUUAUAAUAUNNNNNNNNNNNNNNNNNNNNNNNNNNNNNNNNNNNNNNNNNNNNNNNNNNNNNNNNNNNNNNNNNNNNNNNNNNNNNNNNNNNNNNNNNNNNNNNNNNNNCAUUCUAUGUUAUUAAAUUUAUAUAUUUAACACUCACUCACACACAUUUUGUAUAUAUAUAUAUAUAUAUAUAUAUAUAUAUAUAUAUAUAUAUAUAUAUAUAUAUAUAUAUAUAUAUAUAUAUAUAUAUAUAUAUAUAUAUGGGAAAAGAAAAUAACAACAACAACAAGCUCUACAUGGGAUAGUGCAAAAAAAUGAAGAAUAAAUAAUUCAUGGUUGAUGGGAAAAGAAUAUCAUAUUACAACAACAAUAAUAAUUAUUAUUAUUAUUAAUAAAAUAAACAAAUAAAACCAUAGAGACUAGUGACUUUGGUAAACCAUACAUGAACUUACAUGAAAGGAAAACUUGAAUGAAGGGCUGGUAUUGGCUCUCCUGGAACUCCUUUUUGUGACUCACAAUUGGGAGUCCUUUCAGUGUAUUUAUAAGGGAAAAUAAAGUUUGAGCAAGGGAUGGGGUGCAGGAGUUGUUGGUCACAGUGAGCAUCACCAGCAACAACAUGAUAUAUAAUUCUUUACUUCAUUAUAAUAUAAGCACAACACUUUUCAUUUCAUUUAUGCCCAAUUUUGCUUUGUGCAGAAUCAUCUGAUCACUGGGGUGUACUCACAAGGCACAUUAAUAAUUGUAAGGAAGAAGCCCAGAGUGUAGGACUUGGUCACAAGUCAAGAAACACAUGCUAAUUUGGCCUUUGAUUUUGUGGAGCAAUAUUAAGGUUGCAACUUUGACGGGUUUAAUUUGAAGUACUCAAUUCAAGUCUAAUCUAAUCUUAUUUUUCAAAGAUAAGUUGAGUUUAGUGCAGUUAAGGUUAGUCUCAGGUUAAUCAAAUUGCAUAAUUCAAAAUCCAUUUAUAAUGUUUUUUUAACAAAAUUUUUAUAUAUUUAUAUGAAAAUUUAAAUAAUAAAUAAGACAAAAUUUAAAGAUAACAACAAAAAUAAAAAUAACUUCAUAUUUUUUUUAAAUGAAAAGACAUUAUAUAAUAUUAAUUUGAUAAUUUUUUCUUAAAAAUCUAAAAAAUGAAUAUUGUCAUAGAAGAUAUUAUACAUUAUAAAAAUUAUAAAAACAUUAAAUUGAAUUUAAAUUAGGUUCAUAAAACAAAUUGAAUGCGAUUUGAAAAAACUUAAUCCAAAUCCAACCCCAAUAAUGAAAAUGAUUAUCCAAAUUUGUCCAAACGACAUGUUGGGUUUAGAUUGAGUCGGGCUAACCCGCCCAUAUUGCACCCCUAAGCACUAUCCAAUAAAUAAUGAACUCGUGCAUUCACUUGAAGAGUUCUUGAUCAUCAGUGAAAGAACAUUACUGUAUUCACUGUCUAUGGCUUAAGCUUGUUGCCAACAAGAAAAACACUCAUUAAUGUUCUUGUUUUUCAGAUCCUCCUUUGCUACAUUUUAAUUACUUUCUAACCAUUAUUUCUUAACCAUCAAAAAACUCACAAGACUAGACAAAGAAUUAGCACACAGAGAGAUGCAACAGAUUCUCCACGGCUAGCUCCUCUUUUUCUCCUUAGACUCAAUUCAUGUACCAUUGACCAACUCAAAGAUCAAAGAGCAAUAAUAAUUUGUUUUGUAAUUUGGUGAAUUUUUUUGGUUGAAAAGAAAUUUAUAUACAUUCAAAUUAUUUAAUAUUUAUAUGAAAGAGUUAAAAUAAUUAUAAUAAGUUUAAAAUAGUAUAUAAAAAUUAUUUUUUGAUUUUAAAUCUAUUUUUAUUUUUAAAAUUUUAUUUUCUUAUACUUUUUAACCUAGCAUGAAUGGAAAAUUUUCGACAAAGAAAUAGAAAAAUCAACCUCAAAAUUUCUCCUCAUGAUUUGGCUAGAAAUCCAAAUAAUGGUCUUGAAAAUUUCGUAAAAUUUAGCCAAAUACUAGAAAGAAAGCUGGUUGUCCAAAAGUCAUCUCUUGCAUCCAAAUUCAGCUUCUGAAUUCAAACCUGCAAAUAUGACAAAUCAAUACAACAACAUUCACGAAGUACGAUAAUUAUAUUCAAAUUAACAAAAUCUAAGAACAUUUGAUAUUCAAGCUUCAAUAAAUCUCAUAGUUUAAAAUUUCCUAAAUGUCAGUGUGCGAGUUCUUUUAAGAGAAUAAAAAAUUCUUUUUAAUAUUUUGAAGCCUAUUUUUUUAACAAAUAUGUAGUGUUUUAUAAAUUUUUAAAAACCAUUUUUAAAGAUUCAAAAAAAUUACUUUAAAUGAUAUUUAGGCCAUCAUUCAAUGGGUAAUUGUUCCAAAAAUCGCUUUGACCAAAAUCACUUCCAAAAUGGCUCCAUUGUCACCAAAUCCUAGUGGCUUGCUUAGAUCUUCAGACUAGGAUAAGAGCUAGGUAAAAUAUUAUGUGGAGCGAAUUGUAAAGAGUGUCAAUUAAGUUAUGACUUGAAUGGGAAGAUGCCAGCAGCCCAACUGGAAAAAGCCUCUAGGCCACAGUCAUGGAAGUAUAUGCUUGAAUACCUUGGGGCUAACGCUACCUUCAUUGACCCGGGCGGCUGUUGACUGCUGAUCUCUAGUCUCUACAGAUGGUUUAACCUCAAUUAGUCCCAUACAGGCAGGAAAAGCUUGGUCAGAAAUGUUUGAAGAUUAAUCUGACAAUAUGUGAGUGGAUAAUGUUAUGAUGUUUGGUUGUGGCCUUUCCCUGAUUGCUCCUUGAAUUAUGCCAUUGCCGCAGUUUCUACGACUAAUCAGCAUAAUUUUCCUUGUCGUUUCUUUUAUAACCGAUUCCCCUUUCUCCCUUCUGAAUUAUAUUCACUUUCUUAGCUCUAAUGGACAUUAGGCGCAUUUGGUGUAACCGGAGAAGUUUAUUUCUUAUAGUUUCUCGGGUCAAGGGCCCAACUUAAGUCUUCUAUUGCAUAGAAAAAUGACUUUCUCACAUUCGUUAUUAUCAAAAAUUGUAAAGAAAAUUAAAUAUAAUUAAGAUUAAUUAGAAACUUAUCAAAGAGUUAAAAUAUAUGAAAUAGGUCUAAAAUAACAUAUAAAAAUAAUUUAUUAACUUUUUUUCACGAGGUUGGUUUGAUAUCAUCGGAUGAACGUGAGUAGAUUUUAUUAGCAAUACUAGUACAUAGUAAUCUCACCCUGGAAAUCAAAUUUAGACUACGUAUACCAUUGAUCCAAAGAACCAAUAGCUUGACAGACCUAGUCAUGAGGUGAACGGACUGAAGUGAUUGCAAAGUAAAGGAGCUGCAUGGCCAAGCUUAGUUAGCUAGCCAGACCCCCCAAGAAGAGCCUUGAGCCUCUUCACUUCAUCAUCAUCAAGAAAGGUGGUCUUCUCUAUCAAUUCAGAAGGCAAGCUGCUUCUAAACAGCGCAUAGCUCAGGAUCUGCAGGCCGGGGUUCGAGCUACUGAAGCUAACCCAAAUGAGUGCCGGCGUCCGACCAGUGUUCACCUCGAAAUGCAGCAAGCCUUGAGGGAAAACCAUGAUAUCUCCCUCUUUGAGUGUCUUCGAGUAGACAGUAUUAUCUGAAGAGACGAAAGCAGCAAUGACAGAGCCCUUGGCCACAAGUAGCGUCUCCGAAGCACCAGGGUGGCUGUGCAUUGGAAUCGCACCGCCGGGGGCCAGGUCCACCCGAGCCAUGGAGAGACCAAGCCCAUUUAGGCCUGGGAAUUUAUCAGCAAAUGCUGUGUUUAUGGAAGCUUUGAUGAAGUUUGAGGUGUUUCCAGCCACACCUAGGCCUGAGUACACGAAGUCAUCUACUGUUACUUUUGCAGGCGUCUUGCAGGAGUAGCCUGCAGGACCUUGUGGGGCUUUCAGGUCCGCCACGCAGAAGUCUUGGACUGCUGCAUGAGAGGAGGACACAAGGAAAUAAAAGAAGAGAAGAACGUGAAGCAUUUUCACUGGUGACUUUGGUGUCUAAGGGCUGUGGUGGUCAGGCACAUAUGUAACAGUGGGGGGAGCUUUGGGUAUAAAUAGUAGCAGGCUUUGGUGCAAUUGAAGUAGUUAGAUCCAUGCUCAUAUAUACAAUGAGCAAAUGAUAACCAUUCGUUUCAUGCCAUGAAGCAUUUUAGUCCUUGGUGAGCCCCAUCUUUUGACAAAAGAGCGUGAAAUACUUUCCCUAUGGAAAACUCUCACUAGGAAGGUGGUGGGACUUUGUGGGCAUUUGGGAAGUCAAUUUAAUGAGGUAAUAUGAUCUAAUAACUUAAUUUAAGUUGAGUGGGAAUAUUUGAUAAAAUAAUUUAAUUUUAUAACUUAAAAGUAAAAAAUAUAUAUAUAUUAAUUAAGUAAAAUAAUUAACUUAAUCUGAAUCUUAAAUUUCUUUUACCUUAUAUGCAAGCAUAUAUUGAGUCUUUUUUACAUCUAUAAUCCCUUAUUAUAAUUCAUUUCCUAUUAUAAAUAUUUUGUAGUCUUUUGUGAGCCCCAUUUUUUGACAAAAGAAGACUAAAUACUUUUCUUAUGGAAAACCUCUAAAUGAUAGGGAAGUGAUGAGACUUUAUGGGUAUUUAGUACAUCAACUUAAUUAAUGAUUUAGCCCAAUUUAAUAAUCUAAUUUAAGUUAGUAAAUUAAUGCAGAACUUAAAAUUAAAAAUAACUUCAAGUAUUAAAUCAAAAUAAUUAAUUAAUUUAUAUAAUCUGAAUCUUAAAUUUCUUUUAUCCUAUUUAUCCUAGUGAAUGUUUCUUUUACAACCAUAACUUUAAUCUUCAACUCAUUUUUUAUAGUAAAUAUUUUAUAUGUUUAUUACACCUUCAAUACAAAUAUUUAAUAAAAAAUUAUUAUUUAAGAUUAAUGAAGGUUAAUAUUAAUUAUAAUUAUUGAGGGUAAAUAUUAAUUAAAAUUAAAUAUAUCAAUUAAAUAAUUUAGAUAAAAUAUAUAAAUAAACUUUAUCAAAUAACCUUAAUAUCAAAAAUAAAAGUUUCACAAGCUUAAAGUACAUUAGAAUAGAAUAUAUACUAUACAAUGAGCAAAUGAUAACCAUUCCUUCACGCUAGCUUUGAAGCAUUUUAGUCCUUGUUGAGCCCCAUUUUUCAAGAAAAGAACAUGAAAUACUUUUCUAUGGAAAACUCUCACUGAUUGUAACGUUGUGAGACUUUGCGAGUAUUUGAUAAGCCAAUAAAUUUAAAAAUAAUUUUAAUUAAUAAAUCAAAAUAAUUAACUUAAUAUACAUUGAUAGUCUCUUUUACAUCCAUGACCCCAUGGUACAACUUGUUGAGUAUAAAAAAAAUAAAAAUAAAUAAAAAAAUAAAAACAGAAAAUCAAGAAAGGGGUGAACUUUUAUUUUCCACUGUAUUUUGUUGUAUCUUCAUAUAUUACGGAUAAGAGGUUCGUUAAUCGUGUGGAGCAAAUUAUGCAGAGAGUCGAGCAAUGACUUUAGUUGGAAGAUACCACCAGCCCAUAUGGAAAAGCCUCUAGGCCACUGUCAUGGAAGUCUAUGUCUGGGUACCUUGAGGCCAAUGCUAUCUCCAUCAACCCACUUCUAGAAAUGUUUUUGGUCAAGGGUAUGUAUGUUAUGUUAACCAAAUCACACGCACGCACGAUUGGAAAAUAAAGAAAAAAAUAACAUUUCUAACGUGUUUCUGGGAUUAAUGUGACCCUUAUAUAUGUCUACAAAAUGCGCGUCAAUACUCAAAAAUUCAUUAAUUAAAAUAAAUGAGAAGAAUUAUAAUGACGAAGCUCUCAAAAAAAUAAUUUUCAAUUAUGAUUGUAUUCUUUAAAAACACGAAACUCUAAAACAUAAAAUGAUUUAAUAUAUAAUAAAGGAUAAGCUUGUCAUUCAUCACAUAAAAAAAUAAAAAUAAAAAUUCUAGCGGACAUCUUAAGUGAAGUGCAACACAAUCCCCACAAGCUUAAUGGAGAAAUCAACUCCCGACAUCUUAAGUGAAGUACAAUAAAAUUAAUUCAGACUUCACAAUGUAACACAUUAAUCUUCCCAAAAAACAAAAAACAAAACAAAAUUUGAUAUACCCCUCGUUGAUUUUUGAAUUAUGGCAAUAUAUAAGAAAGAAGAAAAACAGGUAACACUUAUGCUCCACAUUUGAUGUUGCAAAGCAAUAUACAAACAUUAUUACAAGGUAAUCUCACACUGGAAAACCAAAUAUAGAACUCCACACAUGCCAUUGAUCCAAAGAAUCAAUAGCUUGAAAGACUAAUUAAAGUGAUUACAUACUUAAUGGAGGGUGACAAGAAAUUAGUUCUUGCCAAGCUUAAUUACCCAGAACCGCCAAGAAGAGCCUUGAGUCUCUUCACUUCAUCAUCAUCAAGAAAAGUGGUCUUCUCUAUCAAUUCAGAAGGCAAGUUGUUGCUAAACAGCGCAUUGCUGAGGAUUUGGAUGCCAGGGUUCGAGCUACCGAAGCUAACCCAAAAAUGUGCCUGUGUCCGACCAGUGUUCACCUGGAAAUGCAGCAACCCUUGAGGGAAAACCAUGAUAUCUCCCUCCUUGAGUGUCUUCAAGUAGACGGUAUUAUCUGAAGAAAUGAAACCAGCAGUGAUAGAGCCCUUGGCUAUAAGAAUUGUCUCUGAAGCGCCGUGGUGAGUGUGCAUUGGAACCACACCGCCAGGGGCUAAGUCUGCUCGUGCCAUGGAGAGGCCAAGGCCAUUUAGGCCGGGGAAUUUAUCAACAAAUGCUGUGUUGAUGGCAGCAUUGAAGAGGCUUGAGGUGUUUCCAGGCUGACUUAAGCCUGAAUACACGAAAUCGUCUGCUGUUACUUCUGCAGGCGUCUUGCAGGAGUAGCCUGCAGGGCCUUGUGGGGCUGUCAAGUCCGCCACACAGAAAUCUUGGACUGCUGCAUGGGAGGAGGAGACAAGGAGGAAGGAAAACAAGGCAAGAAUGUGAAGCAUUUUGUCUGGUGAUUUUGGUAUCUGAAGGAUGUGGUACUCAGUACUUGAUUCAAUUCAAUUGCACCAAACCUUAAUUAUUAUUUAUAGUACGAAGCAUUUUAGUCUUGGGGGAGCACCAUUUUUGUAUCAGUCAAAGAAAGGGGACUACUUAUCGUGUGGAAAACCUCUUACUGAUCAGAAGUUGGUGGGACUUCAAAUUCAAAAUGGUCUUCCCUUCUGAUUAUUUUCAUGGAUAAAGAUGCAAACGAAUGCUUAGUCAUCGAUCUUCAUCAUUCCAAAGAAGACAUUUUUUUUUUGGAGAGUUGAUCAGGUAAUUAAGAUGACGACCAAGUCAUGGCAUAGCAUUAAUGUUGAAGAAGACAAACCAUUUGUCCAACUUGUGGGAUCACACGAAAGCUAGCAUUCUACGUUUAUCACAGAUUUGUUUGGUCAAGCAUGAUCUUGCAUGAGUGGCCUAUAAGGCUUGUGUGGGGGGCUGUCAACUCUAUAAUGCAGAAGUCCUGGAUUGCGGUAUGGGAGGAUGAUAGGAUGAAGAAAAGAGGAGACGAUGAUCGGGUUUUGGGUCAGCAAUGGCUUAAUUACUUAUUAAUUACUUAUUGCAGAAGUCCUGUCAUGCCUAAGGAGAAGAAGGGGUUAACAUUUGAGCCACUCAACCUUUCGACUUCACCUUCAAAUAUUUGGAUUUGUUCACUAAUUAAACCAAGACAUACCGUAGGAUCAAGCAAGUAUGAACAAGGAAUUCACCACCUCACGUAAACUACUGUCUUACCAUGUUGAAUUCACGCACACUACUACAUUCCAAUGAGAAUAUUCCUCAUCUUAUCUUAUCUUCUGUUUAGAUAAUUUAAAUGAUAAUAGAAAUGAAAUAAAAAAUAAUUUUGAUAAGAACGAAAUCUCAAUCAUAAGUGGGAUUUGAACUCAUCUCUAAUAAGAGAUAUUUUAGUUCUUUCGGUAUAAGAAAUAUAUAAUAUUUUAAAAUUACUAUUUUAUGAUUAUUUUUUUUCUUAAGCAAAUAUUAUUUUUCUUAAUUUUAUUAUUUAACAAAAAAAAACUCUUAAAUAAUGUUUUUUAAAUAAAAAUAAAUAAUUAUUUUAAACUGUGUAAAAGUAUUAUUUUCAUUUAUUAUCAAACAACAAAAUAUAAAUAAAUAAUCAUUAUAACCUCACAUUUCUAAAUGCAUCCAAAUACAAAAAUAAAAAUUAUCAAAUUCAUUCCUAUUUAAAAAAAAAUAGGAACGAAAAUAAAAUAUUCAUUUUCACGUGCCAAACAUAAUCUUACACUUAUCCUCAAAGAUUUUAUGGUGGUCAAAGAUGUCACCCUAUGAUUUUGAGCUUUAAGUUACUUGUACUCUUACAUGAAUAUAAGAUAAUUAAGAGAUGGAAGUAACAAAGUAAGGAAUGGUGUCCAAAACAAAAAAUUAGAAAAACGUGUUUGACAAUCAAGAAAUUAUUUUUAAUUUUUUAUUCUUAAAAUUAGAAAAUAAAAUAUUUUUAAAUUGUUUUCUAAGAACUAUUUUAAAAAAUAAUUAUGAAAACUUGUAAAAUAAUUAAAAAUAAAAUAGUAGAUAUAAAAUUUAUUUUUUUAAAAUAUUUUAAAAUAUUAAAAGUAGGUUAAAAACAUUUCAAGCAUCUAAAUAAACUUUUAUUUAAAAAUCAUCUAAAAAAUAAUUUUCUGUUGUUUACAACUACCUUUUAAAACUAUUUUGCAAAGCAUUAUCACACGAAGCCUAAAUCUGAGUUUAAGACCAAAAUAAUAUAUUUGUAAAAAAAAAUGAUAAGAAUAGUAUCCAUUUGAAAAUAUUUGUCAAAGUAGUCUUCUUUAUCCACGUAAGCAUCCACAUGGAUUUUAAGUGUAAAGAACCACCGUUGGUGACUGUGGUUUUAGAACUUACAAAAAUUUCCUUAAAACCACAGUUACAAACUGUGGUUUUACAAUUUCUCUUAGAACCACAGUUACUAACUACGGUUUUAAAAGAAGUUUCCUUAAAACCACGGUUACAAACUGUGGUUUUACAAUUUUCUAACUUUACAAUUAUUUUUAAUUCGUUCCCAUUUUAAUGGUGUUAUAAUUUUAAUAUUAUUUUUAAAAUAUUUUUUUUAUCAAAACAACCAUAAAACCACAGUUAGUAACUGUGGUUUUACUAAUGGUGUUGUAAUUCAAAUUAGUGAUGUUAUGUUAUUCACAUGUUUCCUUGAUAAUUUAAACAAAUAAAACUCAAAUGCAUCCUAAAGUCUAAAUGAAAGAAAUUCUAACUAAAUAAAUUAUUACAACCAUUACCUAUUUUUCUUUCAUAUAAUUAAAAAAUUAUACAUUUUAACCAAGACAUAAGUUCAAAUCAUACUUAAUAAUAAAUAACCUAAAAUCAUAAUCACUGGCAUUAAUUUUCAUAUGAAAAGAUAAAAUUUUAAAAUAAUAUAAACAAUUUCUUUAGUUAUUUUAAAAUUUAAAAAUAAUAUGAAUAAAUAAUUUUCUUUAGUUCAUAUGUGAAAAUAUUUGUAAAACAAAUAAAUAUUUUAUUUACUAUAAAUAUAUAAAUUUUUAUGGGAAUGCAUGUAGACCAAAUUAUUUUCUCAAAUUUUCAAGGAAAAUAUGAAAAAAUAAAGAUAAUAUAUAUAUAUAUAUAUAUAUAUAUAUAUAUAUAUAUAUAUAUAUAUAUAUAUAUAUAUAUAUAUUUUAAAACAGUCGUAACAAAAAAAUUUGUGAAAAGCAAAGUUCUAAAAUCCCAUACUUUUUUAUACAUGAGUCCCCUUAAAAAUAUUUGUGAAAAUUACAACAUAAUUGUAAUUUUGAUAAAAAAAUAUUUUAAAAAUAAUAUUAAAAUUACAACACCAUUAAAAUAUAUGCGGAUUGAAAAUAAUUGUAAAACCACAGUUACUAACUGUGGUUUUAUGGGUAUUUUGAUAAAAAAAUAUUUUAAAAAUAAUAUUAAAAUUACAACACCAUUAAAAUAGAUGUGGAUUGAAAAUAAUUGUAAAACCACAGUUACUAACUGUGGUUUUAUAGUUAUUUUGAUAAAAAUUAUUUUAAAAAUAAUAUUAAAAUUACAACACCAUUAGUAAAACCACAGUUACUAACUGUGGUUUUAUGGUUGUUUUGAUAAAAAAAAUAUUAAAAUUAUAACACCAUUAAAAUGAGGACGGAUUAAAAAUAAUUGUAAAACCACAGUUACUAACUGUGGUUUUAAGGGAAAUUGUAAAACCACAAUUUGUAACUGUGGUUUUAAGGAAACUUCUUUUAAAACCGCAGUUAGUAACUGUGGUUUUAAGAAAAUUUUUGUAAAUACUAAAACCACAGUCACCAACGGUGGUUCUUUACACUUAAAAUCCAUGUGGAUGCUUACGUGGAUAAAGAAGACUACUUUGACAAAUAUUUUCAAAUGGAUACUAUUCUUAUCAUUUUUUUUUACAAAUAUAUUAUUUUGGUCUUAAACUCCCUAAAUCUCCUUGGCUGUCGGAGAGGGUACCCGGUGAAACAGUUGCCACCCAAUCUGCUGACGAGUAUUAAACCAAACAAGGAUUCUGAUCCAGGGUUUAACUGUGUACUUUCGUCGGAUGCCAAAGUUGAUGACGACAAUUUGUAGGAAGAGGCUAAGUAUAACUGUCGCACGACCUCCCAUUCAUUCCAAAGCUUGAGCAUACUUUCUUGGAAAAUCUGCAUUACCCGCCUCGUCUCCAUGAAAAUCAAACUGCUGCCAAUUAAACAUUCAAAAAUAUUGGAGCCAAAAAUGAGGAACAAAAGAUGGUAUCUGGGAAAAGAAUAUCAUAUAUACUAAAAACUUAAAAACACCAGUUACUUGGAUGUCUAUGAGCUUACAUGUAAAUUGUAAACAGCAUUGUUGGCUCUCCUGGAACUGAUUUUUGAUGGCAUUCUGAUCUUAAUGUCUAACAAUUGUAACUCUUUAUGCCCAUUUAUAAGGGAAAAGCAGAGAGAGUGAGAAAUCAACAUCCAGUUAAGAUGGAAACGAAGUGUUACUUUGAAUCUUUAAAGAACAGAAAGUGACAGGAAUCUUGUAAAGAAAGUAGGUUAUAUUGGCAUACAAGUAAGGCAUCACCAGCAACAACAUAAUAAAGCAGAAGGCAUAUUUAUGAGGGAAAAGCAGAGGGACCGAAAACCGACAUCCAAGAAAGACGAGACCAUGAAGUGUUGCACUGAAUCUUUUAAAGAAUAGAGUUCUCCAGGAAUCUGAGAAUGGGAAGGAGUGAGGCCUUGGUCAUAAUAUAUGGCUUAGAGUAAAGGCCUGGACAGCAAGCCUCAUAAUUGGCAGAAGUGCAGAAACACAUAGAUAGUAGUUUUGCUUUUCAUUUUAUUCACAGUGUUCCUCUGAGCAUGCCGGCAGAAGAUUCAGGUGACUAAUUGAAUGUAUUUCUUUUCUAGUUAAAAGUACUGUUCUCUCUAAGCAACAUCAGAGGAGACAGAGACAGGACUUGAUGAUGCAAUGAAGAGUUGGGUAUUCUAAAAUUUGAAUAAUAUCUGAAUUUAGACACAUGUUACGAAUAGUAAGAGAGAUCUGUUGUACUAUCUUAAGAAUUGUGCUGUUCAUACUAAGAUUUUGAUGUCAAAAUCAUCUGAUAAUAUCGACUUAUAUUUUACUUUAUAUGGUCUAAUCUCUACAAAUGAUUCACCUCAAUAUCACAUUGGGCAUCUACCCUUGUAUAGGAUAGGGACUUUUCUCAAUAGUACAGUAAUUUAAAAAAGUUAUGCUUAAAUUAUUGUAGUAAAAGAAGUUAUUACAAAUAUAUGGUAGAGAGAGGAGAGAGGGUGAGAGAGAGGAGAGAGGAGAGAGGGUGGACGGUUCCAUGAAAAAAUAUAUAUAUAUAUAUAUUUUAAAAAAUUCUCAAAUUAAAAAAAAAAAAGACAAUUAUUCAAGGAAACUCGUCUCUUGAAGAGACGAGUUCCCAUUAAAAAAAAUACAUAUAUUUUUAAAAAAUUCACAAAUUAAAAAAAAAAAAAAUUGGAACUAAAGGGAACUCGUCUAAAGAGACGAGUUCCCAUGGGAAAAAAAAAUAUAUUAUUUUUUUAAAAUAUAUUUUUUAUUUAAAAAAAAUCCCAAAAAAAAAAAAUUCCUAAAGGGAACUCGUCUCUUCAAGAGACGAGUUCCCUUGGGAAAAAAUAUAUUUUUUAUUUUAAAAAAUCCCAAAUUAAAAAAAAAAAAAAACACAAUUCCAAAGGGAACUCGUCUCUUCAAGAGACGAGUUCCCAUGUAAAAAAAUAUAUAUUUUUUAAAAAUAUAUAUAUUAAAAAAAAAAAAAAAACAAUUCCUCAAAAUUGAACUCGUCUCUUCAAGAGACGAGUUCCCAUGUAAAAAAAAUAUUUUUUUUUAAAAAAUAUAUAUAUUUAAAAAAAAAUUUCCUAAAGGGAAUUCGUCUCUUGAAGAGACGAGUUCCCAUGUAAAAAAAAAUAAAUUUUUUUAUUUUUUUAUUAAAAAAAAAANNNNNNNNNNNNNNNNNNNNNNNNNNNNNNNNNNNNNNNNNNNNNNNNNNNNNNNNNNNNNNNNNNNNNNNNNNNNNNNNNNNNNNNNNNNNNNNNNNNNCCAAAUUAAAAAAAAAAAAAAAAAAAAAAAAAAAAAAAAAAAACACAAUUCCAAAGGGAACUCGUCUCUUCAAGAGACGAGUUCCGAUGUAAAAAAAAAAAAUAUUUUUUUUAAAUAUAUAUAUUAAAAAAAAAAAAAACAAUUCCUCAAAAUUCCUAAAGGGAAGUCUCUUCAAGAUACGAGUUCCCAUGUAAAAAAAAAAAAAUUUUAAAAAAUAUAUAUAUUUAAAAAAAAAAUUCCUAAAGUGAACUCGUCUCUAUAUUUAAAAAAAAAUAUAUAUUUUUUAUUUUAAAAAAUCCCAAAUUAAAAAAAAAAAAAAAAAAAAAAAAAACAUUUCCAAGGGGAACUCGUCUCUUGAAAAAACAAUUUCCCAGGUAAAAAAAAAUAUAAAAAUUUUUUAAAUAUAUAUAUUAAAAAAAAAAAAAAAAACAUUUCGUCAGGGGAACUCUUCAAUUCAAAAAAAAAGUCCCUUUGAAAAAAAAAUAUUUUUUUUAAAAAUAUAUAUUUUUAAAAAAAAAAUUUCNNNNNNNNNNNNNNNNNNNNNNNNNNNNNNNNNNNNNNNNNNNNNNNNNNNNNNNNNNNNNNNNNNNNNNNNNNNNNNNNNNNNNNNNNNNNNNNNNNNNUUUUUUUUUUUUAAAAAAAUUUUUUUUUUUUUUAAAAACCCCCCUUUUAAAAAAAAAAAAAAAAAAAAAAAAAAAAAAAAAAACCCAUUUCCAAAGGGAACUUGUCUCUUCAAGGGAGGAGUUCCGGGGUAAAAAAAAAAAAUUUUUUUUUUAAAUAUAUAUAUUAAAAAAAAAAAAAACAAUUCCUCAAAAUUCCUAAGGGGAAGUCUUUUCAAGGUCCGGGUUCCCAUGUAAAAAAAAAAAAAUUUUAAAAAAUAUAUAUAUUUAAAAAAAAAAUUCCUAAAGGGAACUCGUCUCUAUAUUUAAAAAAAAAUAUAUUUUUUUUUUUUUAAAAAAUCCCAAAUUAAAAAAAAAAAAAAAAAAAAAAAAAACAAUUCCAAAGGGAACUCGUCUCUUGAAGAGACGAGUUCCCAUGUAAAAAGAAAUAUAUAUAUUUUUUAAAUAUAUAUAUUAAAAAAAAAAAAAAAAACAAUUCGUCAAGGGAACUCGUCUAUUCAAGAGACAAGUUCCUAUGUAAAAAAAAUAUUUUUUUUUAAAAUAUAUAUAUUUUAAAAAAAAAUUUCCUAAAGGGAACUCGUCUCUUCAAGAGACGAGUUCCCAUGGGAAAAAAAUAAAAUAUAUUUUUUAUUUUAAAAAAAUCCAAAAUUUAAAAAAAAAAAAAAAAAUUCCUAAAGGUCGUCUCUUGAAGAGUCGAGUUACCAUGGAAAAAAAAUAUAUAUUUUUUUUAAAUAUAUUUUUUAUUUUAAAAAAAUGAAAAAAAAAUAUAUUUUUUUUAAAAUAUAUUUUUUAUUUAAAAAAAAUCCCAAAUUAUAAAAAAUAAAUAAAUAAAAAUUCCUAAAGGGAAAUCGUCUCUUGAAGAGACGAGAGACGAGUUCAAAAAAAAUAUUUUUUUUUUAAAUAUAUUUUUUAUUUAAAAAAAAUCCCAAAUUAAAAAAAAAAAAAAAAAAAAAAAAAAAACCAAUUCAUCAAGGGAACUCGUCUAUUCAAGAGACGAGUUCCUAUGGAAAAAAAAUAUAUUUUUUUUUAAAUAUAGUUUUUAUUUUAAAAAAAUCCCAAAUUAAAAAUAAAAAUAAAAAUAAAAAAAACAAUUCCUCAAGGUAACUCAUCUCUUGGAAAAAAAAUAUUUUUUUAAAAAAAAUAUAUUUUUUAUUUAAAAAAAAUUCCCAAAUAAAAGAAAAAAAAAACAAUUCCUCAAGUCAACUUUUCUCUUCAUAUAUAUAUUUUUUUUUUUAAAUUCCCAAAUAAAAAAAAAGAAAAAAAAAAUAAAGGAAUUUUUUUUAAAAAAAAAAAAAUAUAUAUAUAUAUAUAUAUAUAUAUAUUUUUUUUUAAAAAUUCCCAAAUUAAAAAAAAAAAAAAAACAAAAGAAUUUCCUCAAGGGAAAAAAAAUAUAUAUUUUUUAAAAAAAUAUAUAUAUUUUUUUAAAAAAAAUUUCCUCAAGGGAACUCGUCUCUUUAUGAAAAAAAUUAGUUUUAAAAAAAAAACAAUCUCAAAUUAAAAAUAUAUAUUUUCAAUGUCAUUAAAGCGGCUUUUUCUGCUUAAAAAUAAAAUUAUUUCAAACAAAAAUUAGAUUUUUAGGAGAUGAAAUUUUUCAAGGAAAAACAAAUAAAAUAAAAGAUAAAAAACAAUUGCAAAGAUUUUUAGGUUAUUUAAAUUAUAUUUCUGAUUACUUCAAAGAUUUCAGAAUGAACCCUUCUUAUAUUACUUAGAAAAAUAGACCUGCACACCUGCAUGGACUGAGCAUCAAAAGUCACAUCAAAAGUCAUGAAUAGUAGUGAAUAGUAGUAUUUGUCUACUUUCUACUACUUUGCAAGCAACGUGGAGGAUGGGAAAGUAAAGUGAAUUUUUCUCUUUUCAAGUCUUUGACAAAGAAAAUAAAUUCUCCCUCUGCAGACUUCAGUACCCAGCUGUCUCUACACGUGAUGGAUUUCAAACUUUUUCAAGAUUGCAGAUUCAAUAGAAUUUCAAGUCCGAAUCCUCGCCUAUAAAUAGAGCCUCAACUUUCUUCAUAAGCAGAGCAGAAAAAGAGCAAAAAAAAUUUAGAGAGUGCAAAAUUUUGAGAGUUCAAAAAAUUUUCUCUUGUAAUUUUCUUUUUUAGUCUGAGUCAUCCCUCCCUCUGCUGUAAACCAGCCCGUAAUCAUCAACUCUCUGUAAGGUAUGUUUUCAAUAAACAAAUUUUUCAUAUUCAAAUAUUUGUGUUAUUGUGUUUAAAUUUUUGCAAUAAAUUAUACAGUAUUAUAAAUUAAAUAUUUCUGUUGUUUUUAUAGUUGAAGAUUAUUAGACAGAAUUAAUUAUUACGUGCAUGAAUUAAUUAUUGUUUACGUGAAUUAAUUUAGACAGAAUUAAUUAUUACGUGCAUGAAUUAAUUAUUGUUUACAUGAAUUAAUUUAAAUAAAUUUAGUAAUGGUGGUUAGUGUGAAAUUAUUAAAAAAUUAAUAUUAUUUUUAAAUUAUUGAAAUAAUUCUUGUAAGAUAUUGAUAGCUAAAAAUUAAAAAUAAAUAAAAGUAGAAAUAAAACUAAAUUAUUAUUUGAUUUAUUUAAAUGGAUAUUUUAAUGUAUAAUAUAUAUAUAUAUAUAUCAAAGAAAUUUUCUAUAAUAUAACAUAGUAACAGUGAGUAUUAAAUGUAUAUAUAAUAUAUAUAUUUAAAUAUUUAAAUAUUACAUAAAUUUAAAUAUCUAUUUUAACAAAGAAAAGAAAUAUAUAAUUGUAAAAUGUUAGAAUAUAUAAUAAAAUAAAAUAAAUAAAUUUAUUAAUGGUUAUUAGUGUUAAAUUAUUUUUUUUCAUAUAAUAUUAUUUAAAAAAUAUUAAAUUAAAAGAAAUUUAAGUAGAACAUUAUCGAAAUUAUGAAUUUAUCUUCUAUAUUUUAUGAAAAAUAAUAUUAGUAUUAAAUUAUUGAAAUAAUUCUUCUCAGAUAUUGAGACCAAAAUAUAAAAAAUAAAUAAAACUAAAAUAUUAUUUGAUUUAUUUAAAUGGAUAUUUUAAUGUAUAAUAUAUCUAUAUAUAUAUAUAUAUAUAUAUUUUUAUAAUAUAAAAUAGUAACAGUGAGUAUGAAAGGUAUAUAAUAUAUAUUUAAAUGUUAAAAUAUUAUAUACAUUUAAAUAUCCAUUUUUAAAAGAGAAAAGAAAUAUAUAAUUGUAAAAUGUUAGAAUAUUAAAAUAUUAAAAAAUAUUUGAAUGAUGCAGGAAAUACAUUCUCAUGGAUCCUGGACCAGUAGAUAGUUCAGUUCUAUAUAACCAGGAAAUACACCGAUCUUCACUUAUAUGGAAAGGAAAUGAUCCCGGAGAGCUCCAUUGUCGACGUCGUGAAGCCAGUUUUUUUCAUAAUAGUGUUUUGGAUGCACGUAUCAUUCCAUAUUUGCAACAAUCUGGAUUCUACGGUGUUGCUCGAUUAGGUUUUAUUUCAUUGGAUUGGCAUCUUAUUACAGCAUUCAUAGAGAGAUGGCGUCCUGAGACCCACACUUUCCAUGUACCUCAGGGAGAGUGUACCAUCACACUUCAAGAUGUUAGCAUUAUUUUAGGCUUACCAAUUGAUGGUGUUGCAGUUACCGGUACCACGUGCUUAGAUUGGAGAGAGGUGUGUGCCACUCUAUUAGGAGUGGUGCCUGGAGAUAGAGAUAUAUCUGGACAAAGACUUCGUUUGAUGUGGUUGACAGAACAUUUUCCUUCAUUGCCACCUGAUGCUGAUGUGGAGUCCGUGAGAUGCUAUGCUAGGGCAUUCAUCUUACAGUUGAUUGGAGGUUUUCUUUUUGCGGAUAAAUCAAACAAUAGAGUACACUUAAUGUUUUUACCACUACUUCAGGAUUUUGGAGUUAUUGGUACUUACAGUUGGGGUAGUGCUUGCCUAGCUUGGCUAUAUCGAGAGAUGUGUCGAGCAUCCCGUAUUGAUGCACAUGAUGUAUCAGGUCCUCUGAUUUUGUUACAGUUAUGGAUAUGAGAUAGAUUUCCUUUUAUGGCACCUAUGCGCUUACAUCCGACACCACAUGAUGAAGUGCUGCCACAACCACCUUUAGGCAUGCGGUAUGUAUUCAACCAUAGUUAUAGCAUAUGUAAACACAUAUAUGCAUAAAUAAACAAUUACUAAAACCUUUAAUAUAUAUUCUUUUUGUAGUUGGAGAGAUGAAUUCCGUACUACUUCGACGCCUAUGCAUGUGCUAUCCCAGUAUAGAUAUCUACUUGAUCGACUUAUGCCAGAGCAAGUGAUAAAUUCAUUAUUUUGAAUAAUUUUUUUAAACGAUUUAUAAUGAAAUUAUUAUUAAAUAAUGUGAGUUAUAUUUCAAAUUUAAUUGCAGAUUAUAUGGGAGCCAUAUACUGAUGAUGUCAUCUCUGCACUCCCAGAUUACUGUACUAUUGCCUCGGACUUGUGGUUAACUAUUUCACUCCUUAUCUGUUUCCACAUAGUGGAGUGACAUAGACCUGAUCGUGUUUUGCGGCAAUUUGGGCUAGUACAACAUAUUCCCGAGCAAUGCGAUACAGAAUUGGGCUUACAUAGAUAUGAUUUGAGGGGUCGACAUGAUUUUGAUUGGAUGAGUAUUCAUCACCACUAUAUUCAAAGGUGGGAGGCUAGGUACAAUCAUCUUGCUAGAGCUGAGGCAACAUAUACUUCGUACGGGUAUAACCACCCAUAUAUGGUGUGGUAUCGUUCGAUCACUCGCCUUUUUUUGACUCCACAUGGAUUUUCGUGGGAGAUAGUGGUAAUUACAAUGUCUUUUUAUUUAUUACUAUAUUUUCUUCUUAUUACAAAAACAUUUAACUUUUUAUUCUUAAUUCUUACAGAACCGCAGUUUGCAACAAAUACAUUUAUGGACUUCUCCAGCUACACCGAAUAUCGGUCAUCGUGAUGCAAUUCAUCAAUUAUGUGCAACCACUUUAGAGGCUAUACACGAUGCUGAUUGGUUAGUUAUUCCCCCUAAUGUUGUUGAUAUGGAGAGACAAUCAUCGGAUGAGGAGGUUGGGAUAAGAGAUGGUGGGAUGCGGACUAGGGGUGGUGGGAUGCGGACUAGGGGUGGUGGGGUGCGGACUAGGGGUGGUGGGAUGCGGACUAGAGGUGGUGGGGUCCGGAGUAGAGGUGGUGGGGUACGGAUUAGACGUUCAGAGAUCCACGAGGCCGAUGAGUUUCUUAUUCCCCCCAAUGUCAUUGAUGCGGAGAGACAUUCAUCAGAUGAGGAGGUUGGGAUGACAGAUAUUGGGGUACGGACCAGAGGUGGUGGGGUGCGGACUAGAGGUGGUGGAGUACAUCCUACAGGUGGAGGUGUUCGCACUAGAGGCGGAGGUGUACGAACACGUGGAGGCCAUAUUUAUGAUGAUCCACACUUCCAUAGUGAUGAUGUAGCUAUACAUUUUCCACCAUCAGCUCUACAACAUUCUUCCUUCAAUUUUUCUACACCACUUGACCAGUCAUUGCCUUAUUCAUCAGUUCCAUCCAUUGCUGAGGGGGUGAUACAGGAAGAUGUUGGGACAUCAUUCAUGCAGGAGAUAUUGCAUUCUUAUAUUGAUGGGCCUUCUUUUCAUAUACCUAUGUCGUCUAGUAUCGAUGUAUCAUUUACUCCACCUACAGCACCACUCAUUGCUUUGUCACCACAGUCAUUAGGACAUCCAUUUAGAGAUGAUGUGGCGACACAAAUGCAAUACUUUCCGUCACCACUUGUUGAACAACAGCUAGAGGCACAAUUGCAAGAUGAAGGACGUGGACGAGGAAGAGGUCGAGGACGAGGACGGGGACGAAGACAAGGAAAUGAAGCAACAUUAGAUGGUCCCUCAGAUCAAUCCGAGUUGGAAAGAUGUCACCAACGGCCACAACGAAGAAGGAAGCCUCCUUCAUGUGGCACACAUUGAUGACUUUUAUAUCUUGUAUUGUAAAUUUUUUUUUUUAUUCUUCGUUUAUUUGUAUUAAUGAUGAAUACUAACUUUUAUUGGUUCCUAGUUCAUUCUUCGUUUUUUUAAAAAAAUAUUAUUUUUUUUAAUGGGAAAUCGUCUCUUUUGGAAUUUUUUUUUUUUAAUAAUUUCGGAUUUUUAAAAAAAAUAUAUAUAUUAAUUUUUUUUAAUGGGAACUCUCUCUUCAAGAGACGAGUUCCUUGAGGAUUUUUUUUUUUUGGAUUUUUUUUAAAAAAAAUUUAAUUUUUUUUUAUUUUUCAUGGGAACUCGUCUCUUUAAGAGACGAGUUCCUUUAAGGAUUUUUUUUUUUUUUUUUAAAUUUUGGGAUUUUUUAAUUUAAGGAUUUUAAAAAAAAUUUUUUUUUUNNNNNNNNNNNNNNNNNNNNNNNNNNNNNNNNNNNNNNNNNNNNNNNNNNNNNNNNNNNNNNNNNNNNNNNNNNNNNNNNNNNNNNNNNNNNNNNNNNNNUUUUUUUUUUGGAUUUUUUUUAAAAAAAUUUAAUUUUUUUUUUUUUUUUUUGGGGAACUCGUUUUUUUAAAGGGGGGGUUUUUUUUAGGAUUUUUUUUUUUUUUUUUAAAUUGGGGGUUUUUUAAUUUAAGGGUUUUAAAAAAAAUUUUUUUUUUCCAAAAGGGAAUUUUUUUUUUGAAAGAAGGGGUUCCCUUUUGAAAAUUUUUUUUUUUUAAAAUAAAUUUUUUUUAAAAAAAAAAUUUUUUUUUUAAAGGGGAAUUUUUUUUUUGAAAGGAGGGGUUCCCCUUUGGAAUUUUGGGGAAAGGUUUUUUUUUUUUUUUUUUUUUUUUUUUUUUUUUUUUUUUUUUUUUUAAUAUAUAUAUUUAAAAAAAAUAUUUUUUUUUUACAUGGGAACUCGUCUCUUCAAGAGACGAGUUCCCUUUGGAAUUGUAUUUUUUUUUUUUUUUAAUUUGGGAUUUUUUAAAAUAAAAAAUAUAUUUUUUAAAAUAAAAAAUAUAUUUUUUAAAAAAAAUAUUUGUUUUCCUAAAGGAACUCGUCUCUUGAAAUUUUAUUUUUUUUAAAUAUAUAUAUUUUUUAAAAAAAAUAUUUUUUUUUUUACAUUCAAGAGACGAGUUCCUUUAGGAAUUUUGAGGAAUUUUUUUUUUUAAUAUAUAUAUUUUUAAAAAAAUAUAUUUUUUUUACAUGGGAACUCAUCUCUUCUUUGGAAUUUUAUUUUUUUAUUUUUAUUUUUUUUUUUAAUUUGGGAUUUUUUAAAAUAAAAAAUAUAUUUUUUAAAAAAAAAUAUUUUUUUUCCUAAAGGGAACUUGUCUCUUCAAGAGACGAGUUCCGUUGAGGAUUUUUUUUUUCUAUAUUUGGGAUUUUUUUUAAAAAUAUAUUAUUUUUUUCAUGAGAAAUCGUCUCGAUUAAAAAAAACUUUAAUUUAAAUAAUUAAAUUUUCAACUGGAACUUACAAUAUCAUUGAGCGGUUGUGUUAGAAGACUCCCCUCUAUUAGGACAUUUUCGCCGAUUGUGACCCUCUUGUUUACAAAGCCCACAUCGCAAUUUAACACUUGGUUCUCUCCAAUCCAUUUCAUUCCUAAUCCUUGAAGAUCUUGGUCUUCCUUUAUCACGUACUAGAGUUGGAUUAGGAUGAACAAUUGGAAAAUUAGGCUCUGGCCAAUAGGCUUGAUGUGGAAUUGGAUUGAAUUGAGGUGUAUAGCAACAAGCAUAUACAUCCAUCCUAUAAUGUUUGUCAACAAAUUGCCAACUAUCAAUCCUUGCACGUGCACAUACAGCCAACACAUGUGAACAUGGUAUACCAAAUGAUUGCCAUUUAUUACAAGUACAUGUUCUUUCUUUCAACUUCACAAUUUGUAUAUUGUUUCCUUUAUCCAUAUGAAACCCAUGGGAAGCAGUUGUAACUUCAAAUAUCUCAUUUGAACGGUGAAAAAUAUUGGCAGUGUGUCCACUAGCCCUUGAUUGAUAUUUUGUUAUUUUGUUAAUGGCAUAGGAAGUAUACAAAUCUCCAUUUGCCAUUUGAGUUUGUAUCUCUGUUCGACGAGUCUCGAAAUAUGAAACACAACGAUAGAAAGUUAAUCGAACAAAAGCAGUGAUAGGCAACAUUCUAGCCCCUUUGAGCACUCCAUUUAUGCAUUCAGCAAUAUUUGUAGUCAUCCACCCAUACCGAUGNNNNNNNNNNNNNNNNNNNNNNNNNNNNNNNNNNNNNNNNNNNNNNNNNNNNNNNNNNNNNNNNNNNNNNNNNNNNNNNNNNNNNNNNNNNNNNNNNNNNNNNNNNNNNNNNNNNNNNNNNNNNNNNNNNNNNNNNNNNNNNNNNNNNNNNNNNNNNNNNNNNNNNNNNNNNNNNNNNNNNNNNNNNNNNNNNNNNNNNNNNNNNNNNNNNNNNNNNNNNNNNNNNNNNNNNNNNNNNNNNNNNNNNNNNNNNNNNNNNNNNNNNNNNNNNNNNNNNNNNNNNNNNNNNNNNNNNNNNNNNNNNNNNNNNNNNNNNNNNNNNNNNNNNNNNNNNNNNNNNNNNNNNNNNNNNNNNNNNNNNNNNNNNNNNNNNNNNNNNNNNNNNNNNNNNNNNNNNNNNNNNNNNNNNNNNNNNNNNNNNNNNNNNNNNNNNNNNNNNNNNNNNNNNNNNNNNNNNNNNNNNNNNNNNNNNNNNNNNNNNNNNNNNNNNNNNNNNNNNNNNNNNNNNNNNNNNNNNNNNNNNNNNNNNNNNNNNNNNNNNNNNNNNNNNNNNNNNNNNNNNNNNNNNNNNNNNNNNNNNNNNNNNNNNNNNNNNNNNNNNNNNNNNNNNNNNNNNNNNNNNNNNNNNNNNNNNNNNNNNNNNNNNNNNNNNNNNNNNNNNNNNNNNNNNNNNNNNNNNNNNNNNNNNNNNNNNNNNNNNNNNNNNNNNNNNNNNNNNNNNNNNNNNNNNNNNNNNNNNNNNNNNNNNNNNNNNNNNNNNNNNNNNNNNNNNNNNNNNNNNNNNNNNNNNNNNNNNNNNNNNNNNNNNNNNNNNNNNNNNNNNNNNNNNNNNNNNNNNNNNNNNNNNNNNNNNNNNNNNNNNNNNNNNNNNNNNNNNNNNNNNNNNNNNNNNNNNNNNNNNNNNNNNNNNNNNNNNNNNNNNNNNNNNNNNNNNNNNNNNNNNNNNNNNNNNNNNNNNNNNNNNNNNNNNNNNNNNNNNNNNNNNNNNNNNNNNNNNNNNNNNNNNNNNNNNNNNNNNNNNNNNNNNNNNNNNNNNNNNNNNNNNNNNNNNNNNNNNNNNNNNNNNNNNNNNNNNNNNNNNNNNNNNNNNNNNNNNNNNNNNNNNNNNNNNNNNNNNNNNNNNNNNNNNNNNNNNNNNNNNNNNNNNNNNNNNNNNNNNNNNNNNNNNNNNNNNNNNNNNNNNNNNNNNNNNNNNNNNNNNNNNNNNNNNNNNNNNNNNNNNNNNNNNNNNNNNNNNNNNNNNNNNNNNNNNNNNNNNNNNNNNNNNNNNNNNNNNNNNNNNNNNNNNNNNNNNNNNNNNNNNNNNNNNNNNNNNNNNNNNNNNNNNNNNNNNNNNNNNNNNNNNNNNNNNNNNNNNNNNNNNNNNNNNNNNNNNNNNNNNNNNNNNNNNNNNNNNNNNNNNNNNNNNNNNNNNNNNNNNNNNNNNNNNNNNNNNNNNNNNNNNNNNNNNNNNNNNNNNNNNNNNNNNNNNNNNNNNNNNNNNNNNNNNNNNNNNNNNNNNNNNNNNNNNNNNNNNNNNNNNNNNNNNNNNNNNNNNNNNNNNNNNNNNNNNNNNNNNNNNNNNNNNNCUUACUCUCAAACCGCAAACCCUUAAACAAUUCAUCUGAUUCAUUCCAUAAGCCAGUGCGUGCUAUUAAAUCCUUGUCAGCGAUGGAGUUAAUUACAUCCCAAUUCAAUUCUCUAAAUAUUGGGGAAGGGACAUCAUGUUCACCACCACCUAGCAAUGAUGCAUCAUUUUCUGUAUUUUCAUUAUCCUCCAUGUCCAUAAUAUCCUCAUUACCAUCAUCUUCAUCAAAUAACUCUACAUUGUCAUCAUCAUUUCCAGGUAAAAUAUCAACAUAAUUUCCAACUGUCAUUACAAUUGACUCAGUAACCCCUGCCAUAUCUACCCUAACUGUAGGUUCCAUAUCAUUAUCAUAACUUUGCAUAUACUUAGGGGAAGAUGUGUUAUUUUCUACCAUAUGUUGACUUGGACCUAGACUUUCAAUAUGCAAUGGGGUAGUAAAGCUACUAGGCACAGGGUGAUAAUCAAUGGAAGAAGUUUGACAAUACAUUUCAAUAGUAUUUGGAGGAGGAGAUUGUGCGACAACAGUGAACAUUAUCCUUACAUCACCAUCAUCUCGAAUAGGCAAAGGGACAUAAUUAACAGUACCAUUUCCAUUUGGAAAGGGAACUGGAUAUCGAAACACCAUAUUUAACUUGGUAUAAGUACGAUUAAUAUUCAGAGCAUGACACAAUUUUGUUUCUAACUCAUCAAAUGUUAUCAUACUAUUGAUUAAAACACCUUUAUCAGGAGGACGAUUAUAACUUACCCCAAAUUCACAACCAAUAAUUUCACCCCUGGUAUAGCACAACACCGUGGUGUAACCGUCCAUUAUAAAACCUAUUCAAAAGAUCAACAAAAAAUAUCAUCAUCAAUAAACUUUAUGAUAAUAAACAAUAUAUAUUUUGCAAAUCUAUUUUACUAAUAUUACGGUGCAUUGUCCAUUACAAUAUAUUUCUUUUCUUUUUAAAAAGGGAUAUUUAAAUGUAUUUAAUAUAACAUUUUAAAUGUCCAUUUACAUAUUUAAGAUAAGACCAACUCUCGGAUAAUGUUCUACUUAUAUUUCUUAUAUUUUUAUAUUUUUUUAAUUAAUAUUAUAUGCAAAAAAAUAAUUUAAUACUAACAACCAUUACUAAAUUUAUUUAUUUUCUUUUAUUAUAUAUUCUAACAUUUUACAAUUAUCUAUUUCUUUUCUUUUUUAAAAUAGAUAUGAAAUGUAUAUAAUAUUUGAAUAUUUAAAUAUAUAUAAUUUACUAUUUUAUAUUAUACACAAUUAUUUUAUACAUAUAUAUUAUAUUAAAAUAUCCAAUUAAAUAAAUCAAAUAAUAUUUUUAAUUUAAAUAUACUUUAAUUUAUUUUUAAUUUUUAGCUCUCAAUUUCUUACAAGAAUUUUUUCAAUAAUUUAAAACUAAUGUUAAUUUUUAUAAACUAUAGAAUACAAACUCAAAAUUUCGAAUAAUGUUAUACUUAUAUUUCUUAUAUUUUAAUAUAUAUACAUAUAUAUAAUGUAUGCAAAAAAAUAAUUUCAAAAUAAUUUCACACUAAUAAUAUUAUAUAUUAUAACAUUUUACAAUUAUAUAUUUCUUUUCUUUGUUAAAAUGGACAUUUAAAUGUAUAUAAUAUUUUAAUAUUUUAAUAUUUUAAUAUUUAAAUAUAUAUUAUAUACCUUUAAUACUCACUGUUACUAUGUUAUAUUAUAGAAAAUUACUCGUAUAUAUAUUAUACAUUAAAUAGCCAUUUAAAUAAAUCAAAUAAUAUUUUAGUUUUAUUUCUACUUUUAUUUAUUUUUAUUUUUUAGUUCUCAAUAUCUUACAAGAAUUAUUUCAAUAAUUUAAGACCAAUAUUAAUUUUUUUAUAAUAUAGAAGAUAAAUUCAUAAUUUCAGAUAAUGUUAUACUUAAAUUUCUUAUAUUUUAAUAUUUUUUAAAUAAUAUUAAAUGCAAAAAAAUAAUUUAACACUAACCACCAUUACUAAAUUUAUUUAUUUAUUUUAUUUUAUUAUAUAUUCUAACAUUGUACAAUUAUUAUAUGUUUCUUAUCUUUUCUUUUUUAAAAUGGAUAUUUAAAUGUAUUACACAAUAAAUAUGAAAUAAAGGAAAAAAUAUUACCUAUCAAUAAAAACAAACUGAUAUAAUAAUAAAAAGGCAUAAAUAUUACCUACCAAUAAAAACUGAUAUAAUAAUAAAAGCUAUAUAUCAUAAAAUAAAAUAAAGCAAAAAUAUUACCUUAGAAGAUAUGCUCAAAUUCUACCAAAGGUGAAAAACUGAGAAGUGAAAAUUUCAGUUUCAAGUGGGAAGAGUGGGAAAAUGUAAGUGAAGAAGUUUCAAGUGGGAAGAAUGGGAAAAUGUAAGUGAAGACGUUUGAAGGUGAAAAUGAGAAUGAAGAAGGUAAUUUAUAGUGUUUGAGAAGUUGUAAAAAGGUAUGAUGAGUGGUUAAAAUUUGAGUUUAAAAUGGAAUUGGUAGAGUGUAACGGUAUGAUACCAACGUUCUUCUUCGAAAUAGCUAGCCCGAAAUAGCAAACGGUCUAGUUAUGAUAGCAAACGGGUUACCUAUGAUAGCAAACAGUGUUGUUCAAAAUAGCAACGGUAUUGUUCAUAGCAAACGACUUACCUAUGAAGAGAUGAUUUCCUUUUUGGAUUUUUUUUUUUUAUAUAUAAUUUGGGAUUUUUUUUAAUGAAGAGACGAUUUCCCUUUUGGAAUAUUUUUUUUUUAUUUUUUAUUUAUAAUUUGGGAUUUUAAAAAACAAAUUUAAAAAUAUUAAUUUUUUUAAAGAGACUAUUUUCCCUUUGAAAUUUUUUUUUUUAAUAUUUGGGAUUUUUUAAAAAACAUAUAUUAAUUUUUUUUUAUUUUGGGAAUUUUUUUAAAUAUAUAUAUUCAUGGAAGUUCUGAGGAAAUUUCUUUUUUUUUUCUUUUUUUCUUUUUUUAAAUUUGGGAUUUUUUUUAAAUAAAAAAUAUAUUUUAAAAAAAAAUAUUUUUUUCCCCAUGGAACAUUUUUUUUUACAUGGAACUCGUCUCUUGAAGAGACGAGUUCCCUUUAGGAAUUUUUUUUUUUUUUUUUUAAUUUGGGAUUUUUUUUAAAUAAAAAAUAUAUUUUAAAAAAAAUAUUUUUUUUUCCCUUGGGAACUCGUCUCUUGAAGAGACGAGUUCCCAUUAGGGAAUUUUUUUUUUUUAAAUANNNNNNNNNNNNNNNNNNNNNNNNNNNNNNNNNNNNNNNNNNNNNNNNNNNNNNNNNNNNNNNNNNNNNNNNNNNNNNNNNNNNNNNNNNNNNNNNNNNNGAGUUCCCUUUGGAAUUGUGUUUUUUUUUUUUUUUCUUUUUAAUUUGGGAUUUUUGAAAAUAAAAAAUAUAAUUUUUAAAAAAAAUAUUUUUUUUUCCUAAAGGGAACUCGUCUCUGAAAUCUUCAAGAGACGAGUUCCCUUUAGGAAUUUUGAGGAUUUUUUUUUUUUUAAUAUAUAUUUAAAAAAAAAUAUUUUUUUCCCUUUGGAAUUGGGUUUUUUUUUUUUUUUAAUUUGGGAUUUUUUAAAAUAAAAAAAAAACGAGUUCCCUUUAGGAAUUUUUUUUUUUAAAUAUAUUUUUUUUACAUGGGAACUCGUCUCUUCAAGAGACGAGUUCCCUUUGGAAUUGUGUUUUUUUUUUUUUUUUUUUAAUUUGGGAUUUUUUAAAAUAAAAAAUAUAUUUUUUAAAAAAUAUUUUUUUUUUCCAAAGGGAACUCGUCUCUUGAAGAGACGAGUUCCCUUUAGGAAUUUUUUUUUUUUUUUUGGGAUUUUUUUAAAUAAAAAAUAUAUUUUAAAAAAAUAAUAUAUAUUUUUUCCCAUGGGAACUCGUCUCUUCAGACGAGUUCCCUUUAGUUCCAAAUUUUUUUUUUUUUAAAUUUGUGAAUUUUUUAAAAAUAUAUAUAUUUUUUUUAAUGGGAACUCGUCUCUUGAAGAGACGAGUUCCCUUGAAUAAUUGUCUUUGGGAAUUUUUUUAAAUAUAUAUAUAUAUAUAUUCAUGGAGGAACUCGUCUCUUCAAGAGACGAGUUCCCUUUUUUAAAAAAUUUUAUCCGUUCACCCUCUCUCCUCUCUCCUCUCUCCUAUGUGGCAAAAACUACCAUAUAUUUGUAAUAACUUCUUCUACUACAAUAAUUUAAGCAUAACUUUUUUAAAUUACUGUACUAUUGAGAAAAGUCCUAUAGGAUAAAAACCCCACAGAGGCAUUACAACUUUUCAGUCAGAAAUGUUUGAGGGUCAAUGACAUGGAUAUAUAUAUGACAAUGAAAAACAAUAUGGUACAAUAAUCCAAAAAAUAGAACAGGUAUCAAUUCUGAUCAUAUGUGAAUGGAUAAUGGAUAAUGUUUAAAUGUAGCUUGCCAUGGUUUCUACUGCUAAUCAGCAAAAUUUUCCUUGUCAGUUUCUUUUUCAACAUGUAGUUGGUUCUCCUUUCUCACUUCUUAAUUAUAUGCUAAAAUCAUUUUUCAGUUCUAUUCACUUUCUUAGCUCUAAGGGGCAUUAUGCCCACUUGGUAUAACGUUUAUUUCUCCUCUGAAACUUAUGCCAAAGUCAAGUAUAUACUGAGGUUGGUUUCUGCAGUAGUUAAUCAUAGGAUGAAACCCAAGUAGAUUUUAAUAGUAGUGAUAGAAACAUUAGUAGAUUGUAAUCUCACACUGGAAAACCAAAUAUAGGACUCCACGCAUGCCAUGGUUCCAAAGAAUCAAUAGCUUGAAAGACUGCAGUAAGAUGAACAGACUAAAGUGAUUACAUACUUAAGGAAUGGAGGUGACAAGAAACAAGUUCUUGCCAAGCUUAAUUACCCAGAAGGCAAGUUGUUGCUAAACAGUGCAUUGCUGAGGACUUGUAGGCCAGGGUUUGAAGUACUGAAGCUAGACCAGAGAAGUGCUGGUACCGGACCAGAAUUCACCUGGAAAUGCAGCAACCCUUUAGAGAAAACCAUAAUAUCCCCCUUUUUGAGUGUCUUCGUGUAGGCAAUAUUAUUCAAAGAAAUGAAACCAGCAUUGAUAGAGCCCUCAGGAAUAAGUAAUAUCUCUGAAGCACCAGAGUGACUAUGCAUUGGAAUCACACCACCACAGGAUAGGUCCAAUCGUGCCAUGGCAGACCAAGACCAUUUAGGCCUGGCAAUAGGUCAACAAAUGCUGUGUUGAACGCAGAUUUGACAAUGUCUGAGAAGUUUCCAGCCACAUUUAGGCCUGAAUACACAAAGUCAUCAACUACUACUUCUUCAGGCACCUUGCACUGGUAGCCUGCAGGGCCUUGUGUGGCUUUGAAGUCUGCCACACACAAGUCUUUGGCUGCUGCAAGAGAGGAGGACAAAAGGAAAGAAAAUAAGAGAAGAAUGUGAAGCAUUUUCACUGGUGAUUUUGGUAUCUGAUGGCUUCGGCUAUCAAUACUAGGCUUUGGUGCAAUUGAAGCACUUAGAUCCAGGCCCAUAUAUAUACAAUGAACAAAUGAAAACCACUUGUCAUUUCAGUUCUUGGUAACCCCCUUUUCACAUCAGACAACGAAAACAAUUUGUUUCAUAUCCCUUACUGAUCACAAGUUGGUGAGACUUCAACUUCAUAAUGGCCUGAUCCCCUUCUGAUUAUGUUCAUGGAUAAGGAUGACAACGAAAGCCUCGACUUCCUUCGAAGGAAGAUUUUUUUGGAAAGUUGAUUAUGUUAGAGUUAACAUCAUGACAUAGCAAUAGUAAAGAAGAUAAACCAUUUGGCAAAGUUGUAGGAACACAAAAGCAUUCUUUCAACAGAACUAACUCAUUGAUUUUCUUAUUAGGAAUUUAGGAGACUUGUAUUAGGUUUACAUGGCAUCAUUCCAAAUCUAACACACCAAUGUUGAAUGCUGAGAAACUACAAAUGUUUCACAUGGCUAUAGUACACUAGGGUAGAAUUGAAAGGAUAUAUCAGUGAGAAAAUUAUAGGACUUGUGGGGCAAGAGCACAUGGGGGGAGAGUGAGAAUGUAACAGAUAACAGUUUGACAGCAAGAGCUUCAAGGACAAUAGAAAUGCAACAUGUUCAAAUGCUGGUUCCCUUUGAAUGGGAACCAUGGAAAAAAUCAAGUGGCCUAUAGACAUUCCCUUCUCCCUUUGUAGUACAUGGGGCACUACUCAACAUAUUGUUUGGUCUCAGCAUAUUUAAAAAAAAAAAAAAAGGUUGUAGUUAUUUAGAAGGCUGAUCUAGUAUCUCACAGCCAUUAGUGCAAUUAAGGGUCUUAGGACAUCGAAUACAACACUCCUGAGACUGCAAAUUCACUUCCUUUGAUCACUCUUCUUCAUCUCUUGGAACAGAAUAGUUGAUAUGGAUUAGGCUAAUAUCAUGUGUUGAUUUUGUUCCAGCAGUGUCGACCGACACAAAGUUCCUUUCUGUACACAAAUCACAGGCAUAUUAAUCUAUUAUGCAUUAUGAACCUUGAAUCAGAAGUUUACAUAGUACUUGAUCUAGUUUGAAUCACAUGGAUUUGGCUGGUGAGUAACUUCAAAUUGAACAUUGGAUCCAACAGGGAAAAGACUCACUGAUGGGAUUACCUAUGUGUUUCUGGACAAUCAACAAUAUCAAGUAGGGCCAGAGAGCUCUUUGUCUACUUGUGAGUAUUGAAUGCUAUGAUCAACUAUGCUGGUUCAAUCCAAAUUUUCUCAUCCCAUCUCAAUUUUUCCAUUCUGAAACCAUGAUCAAUUUUCAAAUUCAAGGACAAGCUCUAAAGAUAAACAAAGAUCUGAAACUAAUACAUUCAACUAUGAAGUGUAUCCAGCAGGGGUUUUGGCUCUUGUGAUCAAUUCCCCAACCAAAGACUGCUAUAGAAUUUAUGCCUUCAAUUAGGAGGAUAACAAUUUGGUUGUAGAGGACAUGGCAUUGAAUUUUUCGACAGAUAACAAGUAACCAAUUCAUAUCACUCAAAUUUUCCCUAAAUUAUGCAGUAAUGUUAUUCAACUGAACCCGAAAAAAGAGACAAAUCAGAAGAAUUAGUCCUCCGUGUUAAGUUUCCAAGCACCAUCCCCCCUAAAGCCUAUCAGACAGUGAAGAGAAUGAGCUCCAAAAAUGAUUGUUUCAAGUAAAACUUCAGCCAGGGGAACAAUAAAUUUUCCCUUUUUUUACUUUCUAAGUGCAUCCAAAUACAAGAACAGAAAUCAUAUUCAUUCAGAUUAAAAAAAAAAAAAAAGGAACAAAACAAAAUAUUCAUUUCCACGUACCAAACAUAGCCUUGCGCUAAUCGUGAAGGUCUUAAGCUAGUCAGGGAAUGUUACCCUUUGGUUUUGAGCUUUAAGUUACUUAUAUUCUUGCAUGAAUUUAAGAUAAUCAGGAGAUUGAAGUAAGAAGCCUCUGAAGUAAGGAAUGGUGCCCAAAACGCCAUCAGUAGCUUGGAUCUGGAGAUUUGCAAGGUAUAUCUCCUUGGCUGUAGCAGAGGGUACCCGGUACAGAAACAGUUGCCACCCAAUCUGCUGACAAGUAUUACAACCAAACAAGGAUUCUUAUCCAGGGUUUAACUGUGUGCAUUCGUCGGAUGCCAAAGUUGACGAGGACAAUUUGUAGGAAGAGACUAAGUAGAAUUGUUGCACGACCUCCCAUUCAUUCCGAAGCUUGAGCACACUUACUGGGAAAAUCUGCAUUACUCGCCUCUUCUCCAAGAAAAUCAAACCGCUGGCAACUAAACAUUCAAAAAUACUGGAGCCAAAAAUGAAGACCAAAAGAUGACAUCUGGGAAAAGAAUAUAAUAUAUAAUAAAAACAUAAAAACACUAGCUAGUUACUUGGAUGACUAUGAACUUACAUGGCAUUCCAAUCUUAAUGUCUAAUAAUUGUGACUCUCUGUGCCCAUUUAUAAGGGAAAAGUAGAGAGAAUGAGAAAUCAACAUCCAGUUAAGAAAGAAAUGAAGUGUUACUUUGAAUCUUUUAAAGAAUAGUACUUGGGUCAAAUCGGCAUACAAGGCAUCACCAGCACUCUACAUAAUAAAGCAGAGGCAUAACACUUUGCCUUCAAUUUAUUCUCAAUUUUGGCUUGUGAAGAAUCAUUGGAUAACUUGUGUGUACAGAAGGCAUAUUUAUAAGGGAAAAGCAGAGAGACUGAUCGAGAAACCGACAUCCCAGAAAGACAAGAUCAUGAAGUGUUGCACUGAAUCUUUUAAAGAAUAGAGUUCUCCAGGACUCUGAGCAUGGGAAAGAGUGAGGCCUUGGUCAUUUAUAUAGCUUACAGUAAAGGCCUCACCAGCAAGCCUCAUAACUGGCAGAAGUGCAGAAACACACAGAUAGAAGUUUUGCUUUUCAUUUUAUUCAGGAUGUUCCUUUCUGCAUGCAUGCAGGCAGAGGAUUCAUGUGACUAAUUGAAUGUAUUUCUUUUCUAGUUAAAAGUACUGUUCUCUUUAACCAACAUCAGAGGAGACAGACAGGACUUGAUAAUACAAUGAAGAGUUGGGUAUUCUAAAAUUUGAUGAAUUAAUACUUGAAUUUAAAGACAUGUUGUAGUAUGUGGCUCAUAUUGAGUGAAAGACAUAUAUGGAGAAAAAGGGGCAAAUACCAUAGUGGAGCGGAGUGGAAUGAGGGAAGCAUAGCACACCAAGUGGAACGACACAUUUGUCAUUCAAGCUUGUAUUUUUAUUAUCAAGGACAAACGAUAGGUUGGGGGUGCGGGGGUAACACCCCCUCAUGGUACAGUUCAAGGGCAUUUUUGGAAUUUUUCAAUACAUGACAGUUAGUACAAAUACCCUUUCUUAUAACCCUAGUUUUUGGUUUAGUAAAAGUCUUCAACCCUACUUCCGUGGACAUAGGUUUUCUACCAAACCAAGUUAAACCUGUGUGUUUUAUUUUUUUUCUUUGUGUUCUCUAAUUUCUUCAUUAGGAACUGCUGCAGGGAUAACAACACAUGUUAAGAACGGUAAAAGAGAUCUGGAGCGAUAUAUAUCUUAAGAAUUGUGUUAUUCAUACUACUAAGAUUUUGAUGUCAAAAUCAUCUGAUAGUAUCAUCUUCUCUACAAAUGAUUCACCUCAAUACAGAAUACUAGAGCAUACAGCAAAAUUCUAGAGCACAAUCAUAUACCAUCACAUUGAGCAUCUACCCUUGUAUAGGAUAUAAAUUAGCCCCCACAGAGGCAUUACAACUUUUCAGUUAGAAAUGUUCGGGGGUCAAUGAUAUGGAUUUAUGACAAUGAAAUACAGUAUGGUACAAUCAUCCAAAAAAUAGAACAGGUACCAAUUCUGAUAAUAUGUGAAUGGAUGAUGGAUAAUGUUUAAAUGUAGCUUGCCAUGGUUUCUACUGCUAAUCAGCAAAAUUUUCCUUGUCGGUUUCCUUUUCAACAUGUAGUUGGUUCUCCUGUCUCCCUUCCUAAUUAUUUGCUAAAUCAUUUUUCAGUCCUAUUCACUUUCCUAGAUAUAAGGGACAUUAUGCCGAUUUGGUAUAACAUUUAUUUCUCCUCUGAAACUUAUGCCACGAUCAAGUAUAUACUGAGGUUGGUUUCUGCUGUAGUUGAUCAUAGGAUGAAACCCAAGUAGAUUUUAAUGGUGGUGAUCGAAACAUUAGUACAUGGUAAUCUCACACUGGAAAACCAAAUAUAGAACUCCGCACAUGCCAUUGAUCCAAAGAAUCAAUAGCUUGAAAGACUGUAGUAAGAUGAACAGACAAAAGUGACUACAUACUUAAGGAAAGGAGGUGGCAAGAAACAAGUUUUUGCCAAGCUUAAUUAAUUACCCAGAACCACCAAAAAGAACUUUGAGUUUCUCAACUUCAAGUUCAUCAAGAAAGGUGACCUUCUCUAUCAAUUCAGAAGCCAAGUUGUUGCUAAACAGUGCAUUGCUGAGGACUUGUUGGCCGGGGUUUGAGCUACUGAAGCUAGACCAGAGAAGUGCUGGUACUGGACCAGAUUUCACCUGGAAAUGCAGCAAACCUUUAGGGAAAACCAUAAUAUCUCCCUUUUUGAGUGUCUUCAUGUAGGCAAUAUUAUUCGAAGAAAUGAAACCAGCAAUAAUAGAGCCCUGGGUAACAAGUAGCACCUCUGAACCGCCAGGGUGACUGUGCAUUGGAAUCACCCCGCCAAGGGAUAGGUCCAAUCGUGCCAUUGAAAGACCAAGACCAUUUAGGCCUGGCAAUUGGUCAACAAACACUGCGUUGAUCGCAGAUUUGGGGAUGUCUGAGAAGUUUCCAGCCACAUUUAGGCCUGAAUACACAAGGUCAUCUACUACUACUUCUUCAGGCACCUUGCACUGGUAGCCUGCUAGGCCUUGUGUGGCUUUGAAGUCUGCCACACAGAAGUCUUUGGCUGCUGCAGGAGAGGUGGACAAAAGGAAAGAAAAUAAGAGAAGAAUGUGAAGCAUUUUCACUGGUGAUUUUGGUAUUCUUUGGUGCAAUUGAAGUACUUAGAUCCAUGCCCUUAUAUAUGCAAGGAAUAAAGGAAAACCACUUGUCAUUUCAGUCCUUGGUGACCCCCCUUUUCGAAUCAGACAAAGAAAAUGUACGUUUGUAUCCCCUACUGAUCACAAGUUGUUGGUAGCAGGGCAGGUUAACACACCAAGCAACAGAGAAUAGAGUUGUGCUGCUACUGCUCUAAUUUUUUUUAUUGGAUCAUAAGGUAGGAUUUAUACAUGAUAUUGUAACAUAUAUGACCUCAAAAAAAGCAGCAAACCAAGCUACUUGUUGAACAAACAACUACCUCCUACAAAAUAGCAUCAGAAUUUGCACCAGCAAAACAGAAACAUAAAAAUAGCAUCAGCACUCUAGUAAUCUCGUUGACUUCAACUGCAUGUGGUUGAUGAUUGCAACCUUUCUUUCAGUAGAUGCUAAGGCAUAAGUCUCAACACUCCUCCUUGACUUAGGAGUUGCAAACUCCAAGUCUUUCUCGUAGAAACUCAAAUCUUAUUCUAGGAAGAGCUUUAGUCAGAAUAUUUGCAUUCUGACUUUUUGUAUUGCAGUAGACUAGCUGUAUAUCUCCUUCUUUCUAUACUUCCCUCAGAAAAUAUAAUUUAAUCUUGAAGUGCUUUGUUUUACCAUGAAAAACUGGAUCAUUUGCAAUGGAUAUAGUGGCUUGGUUGUCUUCAAACACCUGUGUACUCACUUCUUGCUUUAUAUCCAAAUCUGUCAACAACUUUCUAAGCCAUAAGGUUUGAUUUACAACUACAACAGCAGCAAUAUACUCUGCCUUAGUUGUGGAUUGAGCCAUGACUUCUUGCUUCUUUGAACUCCAUGAAAAAACACCAAAACCAAAGUUAAAACAAUAGCUUGAAGUACUUCUCAUAUCGUCAACACAACCAGCCCAAUCACUAUCAGAAAAUCCAUGAAAAUUGAAACUUUGAACUUGACUGAACUUAAUGUCAUAAUCCAUAGUGCCUUUAACAUAUCUUAUCACACUCUUUGUUGCCUAGAAAUGAAUUUCACUAGCACAAUGCAUGUAUCUCGAAAGUAGACUUACAGCAUGCAUUAUAUCUGGUCUUGUUUCAGUCAAGGCCCUUUCUCAUGCAGAAGACAUCUUGUCAUCUCCAUUAUUGUUUUAUUUUUUCUUUCCAUUACCACAUUUUGUUGUGGGGUGUAUGGUGCAGUGAGCUGGUGAUCUAUGCCUGCAUCUUCACAAAAUUUGUUGAAUUUUUUUUAUGUAUAUUAUGUACCAUUAUCUGUCCUUAUAAACUUGAUCCUGUAUUCACUUUUAUUUUCAACCAUGGCCUUAUAUCUCCAAAACACAUCAGCAACCUCAGAUUUGUAAGUGAGGAAAUAAAUCCAACAAAAUCUUGUGAAGUCAUCAAUAAAUGCAAUAUAGUACUUACUCCCUUUCAAGGAUGGUGUCUUCUAAGGUCCACCAACAUCUGUGUGAACCAAUUGUAGUUUCUGUGUUGAUUUCCACGCUACUUUCUUUGGAAAAGGAAGUCUUGUUUGCUUCCCAUAUUGACAAGCUACACAUAUAGAAAGUUCUUCUUCUAAAUCAGGGAAUCCUUCUACAAUCUGAUUCUUCUUCAUGUAGAGCACGACAUUGUGAUGGAAAUGCCCUAAUCUUUUAUGCCAAAGCAUUGUAUUGUUCUCAUGUUGUGUAGCAGCUACUUGCUCAUCUUCUGACAUAUUCAAGGCAAAACUUUUGCCUUUCAUUUUUAUGUUAAACUCCUUUCUGCCUUCAACAUCCUUGAUUAUGCAAUUUAUGUCUUCAAACAAACUUUAAAACCUUUCUCAACAAGUUGUCCAACACUUAACAAAUUUUGGUCAAUGUCAGGCAUAAACAAAACAUCAUAAAUGAGUUUUAAACCUGUUAGGCUUUCAAUAGCUACUGUUCAUUUACCUUUUACUGGAAUAUAGGACAACCAUUUCCAAUUCUGACUUUGGAAAUAGUUGUCCUAUCAAUCUCCUUGAAAAGAUCUUGAUCAUAUGUCAUGUGGUUUGUACAACUACUGUCCAUGAGGCAGCUUUCAAAGGUGCUUCCGUUUGCAAAACAUGUUGCUGCAAACAGUUGCUCCUCCUAGUAUUGUUCAGUUGUUGCAUUGGUUUCUUCCUACUGCUGCUGAGUUCUAUAGAUCCUUUCUAUGUGUCCCUAUCUACCACAUUUGUUGCAUUUCACAUCUGGUCUCCACCAACAUUUUUGUUGAGGAUGAUUUGUUUUCUUGCAAUGAGGACAAGGUGGAUAGGUUCCAGUUUUUUCAUUGUUGUUGUUGUUUGGCUUAUUGUUGUUCUUUUUGGUCUUCCUCCUUCUUGUGUUGCCUUCAUUGGUUUGUGUCUUUGCUUGAAAAGCUCCUUCUACAGAACUUCCCUGCCUCAUGAGUCUUCUUUGUUCCAAAGCCUAUAAAGCAUUUAGUAGUUCUGCCAAGGUGAUACUUGACAAAUCCUUUGAAUUUUCCAAAGAAGAAAUUGUAGCUUCAUAUUUUUCAAGAAGUGUGACAAAAAAAUUUUGAACAACUCUUUCAUCAGAAAACUCUUUACCUAGCAACCUCACCUUGUUUUCUAUUGUAAGAAGUUGUUCUACAUAGUCUUUUAUGGUUUGAGACUCCUUCAUCUUCACCAUUUCAAAUUCUCGAAUCGAAUUCAUCACCUGCAUAUUUCUGACUCUUUCAUUGCCUUGAUAUUCUUCCUAGAGAUGCUCCCAGAUUUCUGCGGCAGAUUCAAGUUGCAUGAUUCUGGUGAGAAUCAAUGGUGAGACUUAGAAAAUAAGCAAGCCUUGGCUUUAGCCUUCCUCGUCUUUUUCUCUUUAUGAUUUUUCAUCUGUGCCACAGUUUGGCUCCAAGUGGAGGAAUUUCAUAAUCUUCCUCUAUUGCUUCCCAGACAUCAAGAGCCUGUAGAUGAAUAGCCAUCCUGAGAGCCCAAGUUUGGUCAUUUUCUCCAUUGAAGACUGGUGGUGCAGUUGUGAAGCUUACUUUUUCCAUUUCUGCAAGGUUUUCAUAUUCAGGUCUGGUAUAUGGUGUUUAGUCUCACUCACCUCAGUGGUCCCUAAAGACAAAAAAAAACUAUGAUACCACAUUAUUGGUAGCAGGGCAAGUUAACACACCAAGCAACAGAGAACAGAGUUGUGCUGUUACUGCUCUAAUUUUUUUAUUGGAUCAUAAGGUAGGAUUUAUACACGAUAUUGUAAUAGAUAUGACCUCAAAAAAGCAGCAAACCAAGCUACUUGUUGAACAAACAACUACCUCCUACAAAAUAGCAUCAGAAUUUGACUUGAAAACAAAAAAAAACAAAAAAAUAGCACCAACAAAACAAAAACAUAAAAAUAACAUCAGCACUCUAACUUCAACUGCAUGUGGUUGAUGAUUGCAGCCUUUCUUUCAGCAGAUACUAAGGCAUAACUCUCAACACAAGUUGUUGAGACUUCAACAUCAAAAUGGCCUGAUAAUAUUCAUGGAUAAAGAUGACAAUGAAAGCUUCGACUUCUUUCCAGAGAAGAUUUUUUUGGAAAGUUGAUCAUGUUAGAGUGAACAUCAAGACCAAGUCAUGACAUAGCAAUGGUGAAGAAGAUAGACCAUUUGGCCAAGUUGUGGGAACACAAAAGCAUUCUAUCAACAGUACUAACUCAUUAAUUUUCAUGGAGAAUUGUAUCAGUUUUACAUGGCAUUAUUCCAACUCUAUCAAAUCAUUGUGGAAUGUUGAGUACUUGGUGGAGGUCAAAAUCAGGUUCAUCACCUCGAUGAUUUGAGGAAACACAAAUGUUUCACGUGGCAAAUUACAUUAGGGUAGAUUUGAAAGGAUAUAUAUAUAUAUAUAUAUCAGUGAGAAAUAGGACUUGUGGGGCAAGAGCACAUGGGGGAGAGUGUGAAGUCUAUCAGAUGACAGUCUGACAGCAAGAGCCUCAAGGAAAAUAGAAAUCAACAUAUUCAAAUGCUGGUGCCCUUUGAAUGGGAACCAUGGAAAAAAUCAAGUGGGCUACAGACAUUCCCUUCUCCCUAAGGGUUUUUCAGUAUAUGGGGCACUAAUCAACAUAUUGUUUGAUCUAGGCAUAUUUAGGGAAAGAAAAAAAAUGUAGUCUAUUUAGAAGGCUGAUCUAGUGUCUCACAGUAAUUAGGCCAAUUAAGGGUCUUAGGACAUUAAAUACCACACUUCAAAGACUACAAAUCCGCUUCCUUUGAUCACUCUUUUUCAUCUCUUGAAACAGAAUCGUUGAUAUGGGUUAGGCUAAUAUCAUGUGUUGAUUUUGUUUCAGCAGUGUCACCGACACACAGCUCCUUUCUGUACACACAAAUCAUAGGCAUUUUAAUCUGCUAUGUAUGAGCCUUCAAUCAAAAGUUUACACGGUACCCGGUCUAGUUUGAAUCACAUGGCUUUGGCUGGUAACUUCAGAUUGAAUAUUUAAUGCAACAGGAAAAAGACUCACUGAUGGGAUUAACCAAGUGUUUCUAGAUAAUAUUAACAAUAUCAAGUAGGGCCAGAGAGCUCUUGGUCUGCUUGUGACUACUGAUUAGCAGAGCAAAUACUUUAGUAAUGAUCAACUAUACUGGUUCGAUCCAUAUUUUCUCGUCCCAUCUCUAUUUUUUCAUUCCGAAACCAUGAUCAAUAUUCAAAAUCAAGGACAAGCUCUAAAGAUAUACGAAGAUCUGAAACUAAUACAUUCAAAUGUUAAGUGUAUCCAGCAGGGGUUUCGGCUCUUGUGAUCAAUUCCCCAACGAAAGACUGCUAUAAAAUUUAUGCCUUCAGUUAGGAACAUAACAAUGUGGUUGAAGAGGACAUGGCAUUGAAUUUUUCGACAGAUAACAAGUUACCAAUUCAUAUCACUCAAAUUUUCCCUAAAUUACGCAGUAAUGUCAAUUCAACUGAACCCGAAAAAAGAGAAGAAUUAGUCCUCCAUGUUAAGUAAUUUCCAAGCACCCCCCCCCCCCAAAGCCUAUCAGACAGUGAAAUUCUGAGCUCCAAAAAUGAUUGUUUCAAGCAAAACUUCAGACAGGGGAACGAUAAAUUUUCCCUUUUUUCACUUGCUAGUUCUACAGAUAGAAUGGAAUUAAUAACUGGGAAGAGGAAUUAUUCAGAGUUGGUGGGCUGGUAGGCUCCAUUUACCAGGGACCUUUAUUGCUACUAGUACUUUAGUCGAAAAGGGCAUUGAAGGCUGCAGCUCUCCCUCCUUAGAAGUUACUCGACUCAAACUUAUCAUUUAAUUAUGUAUAUAUACUUUUUUGGUAUUUAUUGAAAGGACUUCGCCGAUCAGGUACUAUCACCUAUAUAUUUUCAACUCUCAUUAUUUGUACCUUACUCUCAGUUGUUUGUAUAUUCAUUUGACGGUCAAGAUCUCACCACACAUCUUCAAUGGUUUUGAUUUCUUGUUCAAUAGGUACCACUAUAAUACCUUAGCAUUUUUCGUAAAAGAUAUGCCAAGUAUCAGAAUUUAAGUAAACUAGGGGCAGGCCUGUUGGCAAUGCAUGCUUCUGAAGGAGUAUUUAUCAGCACUGUCAUGGUAUAAUGGUGAAGGCAGUUGAAGGGGCAGAGUGAAGUAUGUGUCCUUGUGUUCUAAGGUUGGACCACAUUAUGAAGCUUUAGUGAAGGAUUGUGCUGCCAAAACUCAGGAAUUUGUGAGGGGAGAACCAUGGGCUGAAUUGAAUACUGUGGUUGGUAUGACCAUUAAGCUUUCAAACCCUACCCAAUAAAGGCUUGGGACAUGAUUUGGUAACAAAAUUGUCUGUUCUCACCAGUGAUUUUCAGCAAUUAUUUUCAAUGUAUUGACAAAAUGGAGUGGGAUUGUUUGGGGAAGUUUAUAACAAUAAAUUAUCAUAUCAUAGAAAAGGCUAAUUUAUAUAUAAUAUGAUAAUCCUAAAGACUCCAAGACAAGCCUAUAAAUCGCCCCUUACAAAUGUCUGCAACUUCUUCUCUAAGUAAUAUGAUAUAUCACAAAGAACUCAAAUGGAUUAACAAUUAUAGAAGUCAAAACCUCUUUCUUAAACCUAACAAGAGUAUGAAUUUCUAUUCAGAUAUUUUUUUUAGUAUUUCUCACUUAAAAGACAAAUCUAAAUAUCGGCCUUUUUUUAAUUUAAAACAAAGACAAAUCUAAAUUAAAGUAUCUAAGUUCAGAAGUAAAGGGAAAAAAAAAAACCACUUCAUUCGAGAAAAUCAAUAUUGUUCUAAUUAUGAAGAUGACAAUAAAUAUAUACUUCAUAGUAAUUUGAAUUAAGGUUGCAGUUUGGAUGAGUUGACGGUAUUAGAAGGCUACUCUAUACCAGACUCACCAAUCAAUAUGUCCAACUCUUAUCAAACCUAUGAGAAACUUUGAUUUUUACAAGUUUUGAUGGGUUUUCACAAUUUAUCUAACAAAAAAGAAAACUUAUAGUUUUCUAAUAAAUAAAAUAGUUAUUUUAAAAAAAAUUAAAAAAUAAAUGUCUCCUAAUCAUAAAAUAUAUUUAUAAUUACUAAUUUAACAAACAAUAAAUUUAAACCCUAGUUUCAAUAUUUAAAAAUAUUAUUAUAACUAAACAAGAAUACUAAAUUUAUUAGUCUAAUAUCACUAAAAAUGGUAAAGCUUACCGUUACUUCAUUUAUUCUUUUUCUCAUCCUGAUAAUAAAAUAACAACCAUGUAAUAACAUGGCGGUCAGAAUUUCGACCCAUGUCAAUCCUAAUAUCUUCGAUUUGAUAUUUUUCUAACCCAAACCCGAACCCACCCCUUUCAUAUCUUGUCUAGUUUAGAUUCAUCAGAUGCCAAACCCAUCCAAACUGGACCCUAUUCCACCAAUUCUCUCAAGAGUUAUAAUACAAUACAAUACAAUCCAAGUAUGUGACACACACUGACUCACCAAGUCUGGGGUUUUCUCAGUCAAAAACAUCCCAUCCUCCCAGGUGAACUGUGAGCUGCACUAACUCUGCAAAGGAAUGGCUUCUUAAGGAAAGAUGACUAUGACCAAUAUAGGAAAAGGGAGAUGAGUGUUUGAUGGCCAAAAAAAAAUGCAUUUGAUAAUGAAUGAAGGGAAGGGAAGCGAAGUGAAGUUAAUUGAGUUUGAGUUUGAGUAGAGUUGAGUUGUUGGUUGAGGUACAAUAAAGGUGAAAGGGCAUGUGUUUUGGGCCAGAGCAACAGUGGAACAGAGCGAGUGAACAGUCCUCAGAGUGCGCUUCUCCUCCUGUCCUGCCCACUUGAACCAAAGAAAAAGAAAGAAAAAAAAAAUGGGAGUUUUUAAUUGCUAACAAACAAAACCAAACCUCCCUCUGACCUAUAGUCUCUCCCUUGCUCUGUCCUCUCUCCUCACAUCAUCACUGACCCCUCUUACUCAAAUGCCCUUUUCCUCCAAAACCCAAUAAUACUACCACUUCCUCCUUUUUCUCCCCACCAUCAAUCAUCAAAGAUUCUACUCUAUCCCUAUAUCCCUCUGCAUCUGCCUAACUCCUCAACAAAAAAAAACACAAAAAAAAAAAAUAUAUAUAUAUAUAUAUAUAUAUAUUCUUGCUAAGUUUUUUUUUUAAGUAUAUGCACCUUUUCAUGAUUCUAUUGACUAUUGUGAGAGGAGAUUAUGUUUUUAGUAUCUUUGUCACAUUUUUCAUAGCCUUAAUCAUAUUCUUUUUUUCAAAAUGGUUUUCAAUAUCCAGGAAUUGUUAUCAUGUUCGAGCUUUGGGAUGAGCCAUUUGUGGGUUAUACUUUGGUGAGCUUACUGAUAAAAAUGGCAAAUGAAAGCAAUAUAUUUUGACUGAAAACACUUUAAAAUUUUCCAGAGUUGGAGAGGGGGUAGAUGUGAAAAAAGGGGCUGAAGGGGGGAAAUGAAAAGUAAAAGAGGAAGUGGAGAGAACCGUACUAUGAAGGCAGGGUCUCAGCUAUGAGGCCUACACAUAAAUACACACUGUCUAUUACUCCAAGUUUCAAAGACCUAAAACACAGAAGAGAAGGGAUUGCUAUAUCCACUAUGUAUUUUGCAUGUCAAGUGAGCCUUUUCUGAGGGUUUAUGAGGUGUGGAGAGCACUAUUCAAGGAUGCAAAAUAAGGAAGGUGAUAUUAAAGAAGUGUUUUUUUCUCUCUCUCUCUCUCCUUCCUGUCACUAUACAUUUGUUUAUGGAUUUCUGUAAAGGUGGCAGAGACAAGAGCAGCAACAAAGGCAUCAGAGCAGAGGCAGAAGAAGCAGAAGCAACAGAGGUGCAGUCAUUAUAAGAGCAGAGUAAGGAGAGAUAGGGGGAGAGAGAGAGAGGAAGCAGUAGUAUCAUCAGUAUCAUCAGAGCCAUUAGUUUUAUCCAUGCACAGAAGAUUCUGCAACCAAUGGACCCUGAAAAAAUACCCCUCAAAACUCUCAGCCCAACAACAGCAACAACCCCUCUUUCUCUGUGUCUCUGAGAUCUUUUAAGCUGUUCUUCCUUCUUGUUCUUCAUCUUGGGUCUUUUUUGUUUGGGGGGUUGUUUUUCCUAUUGGGUUUUCUUUUUUCUUAAAUGAUGAUGAGUGCAAGAAACAGGUCUCCUUUCACAGCAUCACAGUGGCAAGAGCUUGAACAUCAAGCUCUUAUCUUCAAAUAUAUAGUGUCAGGAGUACCAAUCCCAGCUGAUCUCAUCUGCACUGUCAAAAGAAGCUUGGACUCUUCAUUGUCUUCAAGGCUAUUUCCUCACCAACCCAGUAAGCAUGCAAGGACAUUUUCAUUUUCAUGGUUUUUUAGUGUUUUUUUCUCUUGGUGGGUACUUUUAGAAACUGAUGUUUUUGGUGAAAAAUGGUCUGGGAACUCUGGGUUUUGUGUCUGUGUUUGCAGUUGGGUGGGGUUGUUUUCAGAUGGGGUUUGGCAGGAAAGCAGACCCAGAGCCAGGAAGGUGCAGAAGAACUGAUGGCAAGAAAUGGAGGUGCUCCAAAGAAGCAUACCCAGAUUCAAAAUACUGUGAGAGACACAUGCACAGAGGCAAAAACCGUUCAAGAAAGCCUGUGGAAGUUAUUUCAGCUACAAACCCUUCACCAACCAUCUCAUCAAUCAACUCAAAUCCUUCCUCCACCACCACCAAUUCUUACUCUCUCUCUCCUCUCUCUCCUCUCUCUUCUUCAAUGACUUCUGAAACCUCCCAUCCCCAUCACCAUUCCUACCACAACACCUCUCUUUAUCCCUUCCUCUACCCUCAUCCCUCCUCUUCUAGACCUCCUGGUUCUUGCCUAUCACCUCAGGCCACCAGCAGUUACAGCACCCAUCAUCUGUUUUUGGACUCUGGGUCUUAUUCCCAGGCUGAUAGGGAUUACAGGUACAAAAACAAUAUCUAACUGUUGGCUUAUUUUUAUCAAUAUGUUUACUUUAACAAAUGUUAUGAUUUUUGUUUGUAAUAGGCAUCAUCAUGGAAUGAGGGAGGGUGUGGAUGAGAGAGCUUUCUUCCCAGAAGCUUCAGGGACUGUAAGGGGCCUACAUGAUUCAUAUACUCCAUUAACAAUGAGUUCCUCCAAGGGAUACUCUCACUUUCAGUAUCAAAGCCCCGCUGAUAAUCCCAAACAGCAGCAAGAACAGCAAGAGCAGCAGCACUGCUUUGUCUUGGGCACUGAUUUCAAAUCGUCAAGGCCAAUUAAAGUAGAGAGAGAUGGUGAAGCCCAGAAGCCUCUCCACCAUUUCUUUGGAGAGUGGCCUCUAAAGAACAGAGACUCCUGGCUUGACCUUGAGGAGGAUCCACCAACCCAUGCAUCAUUCUCCACCACCCAGCUCUCAAUUUCAAUCCCAAUGUCCUCACACAAGCUUCUUGCAUCGGAUUCCAGAAUCCAAACUGGUACUUAGACUUCACUUCAGAUUUGGCCUUCUUGCCCUUUAUUUUCCCUUUUCUGCUAAGUCUCAUCUUCUACUUCAUUUUUCCCCCUUGUGCAGAUGGAUGAGUUCUCAAUACUGGUUCUUCUGAUCAUGGCCAAAAAAGUACUUGACUGGUGGGUCAAUGCUUUUCUUGUUGAUUUUGUGACUGAAGGAAGUUUCUUUUGCCAAAUGUGCGGAUGAAUAAUGUAGGGCCUAUAGGAGGAUUCUUGUCUUUGUGCUUUCUGAGUUGCUAAUUUUCAUUCUUAUCCUUAAAGAAACAUGUUUGAAUUUGUAGACUUGUUUGUUUGACAGGAAGCAUCUUGAUAUGGUUUUUGAGUUUGAGUUUGAGUUGUUCUCUAAUCUCUAUGUUGUUUUGUGAGUUGUGGCCACCUUUUCUUUUCCCUUUGGCUUCUGCUUAUUGUACUUCAGAAAGAGGGACCCAACAAGCUAUAGUCAUGCUCUUUUGUCACCAUCAAUGUUAUUUCCCCAGAUUAUGCUGCAAAAGGGGAUGAACCCCUUUUUUGUGUUUGGCAAACAAGACCUGCAUUCUCUUCUCUUUCUGAGCUUCCCCCUCUGCUGGUCAGUGUUGCUUCUUUGGACUGGUUUCUAUUAAUGCUAUUGAAAAUUGAAGACUCUGUUUGGGUGUAAACUUUGCAUGGGCACUUCAUAAUUACACCUUCAUAUACUGAAAAAAAAAAAAAAAAACCCAUAGUUCCCACACUGCCUAAAAAACAUUCCUAUCAUCAAAUUCAUCAUUUAUAGGCAGAUGCAACAAACCAUCUGUGCCACCACAAAUGCCCUCUUUAUAUUUGAGUAUGUCCUUAUUUGCCCUAACUGACUACUACUCCUAGGCUCUCCAUCUUGUGUCCUAGAUGAUGUUUUUUUCCUUUCAUUGGAAUCAUUCUUGUGUGAUUUCAAGACAAUUAGUGGCAUUUUCCAUUAAAUCUUAUCUCAAAGUUCUCCCAAUUUCAAAAGCAUCAUCCUACCAUCCUCAAGUGAAAUAAGGAUAAUUCUAUCUCAAAGUUCAACUAAAUUACUCAUUGAAUUCAUUAAUCUUGACGAACCUUCACUCCCCAUGAAUCCCGGGAUGAUUUUCAAUUUUCAAUUUACCACAUUUUGUUGUUAGGGUGUAACAAUGUCACUCUUAAAAUCGAGAAAAGAUUAUCCAAAAAGGAUGAUUCUUAAAAUGAUAUCAAAUAUCAUAAAAAGAUAAACUACACUUUUCUAAUUUUUAGAUGAAAUGUUCAAAACCUAGAUCAAGGCUUAUUAUUACCCACUAGUCAAUCUCACCAAUCUCAAUUCACCCAUGAUCACCAUUUCAGGUGCAGACCCUCCAUUCUUAGGGGGGUAAUGAAUUCAAAAUAAAACAAAAGUUAAGACUGAAAAUGGCAUAGUGAUAGUACAAGUCUCUUCGGCUUUUCUUUUUCUCCUCCACAGCAAAGACACUGGGUGUAGCUUAGGACAAGAUAAAAGCUCAUGUUUCAGUGCUCUUAAAAUGAGAGACCUACGGCCACAAAGCUGUCAAACACAUAGCUGGAAAAACCUACCUCUCUCUCCUCACACUACCCCCUCCCCCCUAGUUGCCUUUCUCAAGUUUGAUCCACUAAUAAUUGUUGCAGCUACCCUUUCUACCUCACCCACUCAAAGAUGCUACUUGCUAAGUGCAAGUCUUGCCCCCCCACAUCACUCUUUGCAUCCUUGACAGCUCAAAGCAUGCUUUAAAGUAGAAUAGAUUUGAACCCAAAAAGCUCUUUGAUUUGAGGUCGAAUGUCUUUCCAAGGACCUUGACCUACACACGCAUGCAUGCCCACAUACAAUACACUGAAGGCAACAUGUGCUGGUCGAAUCAAAUAGACAAAUGUUUAUCCAAAGUUAGGCUAUAACUGUCAUAUCACACAGCCAAAUAAGGAAAAAGUUCUUAAAACUAUAUAUAUAUGCAUAGGUCUAUUUUAACUAUUAACGCGUUUUAAAAUCUGUAAAGCUUUUCGAAUCCAUUUGAUUGGAAGUAGAUUGUUACAAAUGGUAUUAAAGUUAUUAAAGUUGAUUAUAAUCUCAAUUUGAUAACGAAACAACUUUUAAAGAUGAAGACUUUCGAUCCCAAAGUGGGAGAGCCCAUGAGCCAAAAAGCCUUCUACUUCACUCACUCAAAGAUGUUACUUCCCCCCACCCACCCAAUAACGUUGUUUGCAUUCGUGACACCUCAAAAUAUGCUCUAAAGGAUAAUAGAUUUAACCUACGCAAACAUGCCCACACGCAAUACAAUGAAAGCAACAUUUGGUAGUCAAAUCAAAUAAACAAAUGUUUAUUAGAGGUUAGAUUAUGAUUGUCAUAUCAUACAUCGAGAAAAAAAAGUUCUUAAAAUUAUAUUUGUAUAGGUUUAUUUUAACUAUAAACACAUUUUAAAAACUUUAAGGCUCUUCAAAUCUAUUUAGUUGAGAGCAAAUUAUUAUAAAUGAUAUUAGAAUCAUUAAAUUCAAUUAUAAUAUCUCUAUUUGAUUAGAAAAUGACUUUAAAAAAUGAAGACCUUCGAAUCCUAAAGUGAGAGAGCCCUCUCAACCAAAGCGCCUUCCAAUCAAAGAUGUUACUUGCUAAGAGGUGAAGAGACUUGAGUGGACUCACCGAGUCACAAUGAGUGGCAGUAUCGUGGUUGUCAAAGAAAGAAAAGGGCAACUAGGGAAUAAUGAGAAGAGAGUACGUAGUCACGUACGAUGUGACAUAACUCCGACUGCUAUAUCUGGUGCGGGGCAGCUUCACCUGUACAAAUUUCAAAAAAAACAAAUCGUACGGUCAAUAAGACAUGUAGCAGCACCGCCCCUCGUAAUCGUACGGUUCACAGGCACCCACCAUCGACACAAACUGUACAUCUCUGCUUCAUCCCCCAUCCUUGUGCCACGUGGCAAAUUCAGUUCAGAUGCUGAACUGGAGAUGAUCUCAGCCCUCCAAUGUGCGGGCUCUUCUGCCUGAGACACUUCCGCACAAAAAUAAAUAUAUAUAUAUAUAUAUAUAAUUUACUAUUAUUUUUUAAAAAUUCUUAUGAUCAGGUGGAUGGGUAGUGGGUCAAACCUCAGACACUGUUUUACUUCACUGAUUAGAGACACUGUUCAUUUGAUCAGUCAUGACCUCAUGAUUGUGCAAUUUUGGAGGGCCCACUUGAAAUUCAGAAAUUUUGUUUUUAUUAUUUUUUUUUUUUUUAAUUAUCAAUUUUGCCAAUAGACUUCAUUGGAUGUCUGGGGUGAAAUUGGGUCCCCCAUUGGCCGACCUAUUCUGAAUCCAUUCAAUGAAUUUGAAAAAACAUUUUUAAUAUUGCAAUUAAGUUCAAAUUAAGCUUUUCAUCCUAGACUUAAUUUGGAUUAACUUGAAUCUAGAGCUUGAAUGAUUAUAAUUUAAUCUAAUUUAAUAUUUUAUCAUUUUUAUUAUUAUUUAUAGUAAUAUUUCAUUGAAAUGUCUUUAAAUAAUUUUUUUAAAAAUAUCAAAUCUAAUUACAGCAUAUUAUUUCAUUUUUCUAAAAAAUAACUAAUUUUUUAUUAUUAUCCAAGAAUAAUUAUCAUUUAGUAUUUAAAAUUGGCAUAAACAAAAUUUGACUCAUAUAACCCAAACAACCCAAAUCUAACAUCAACUUAACCUAAAUUUGGAUUGAGCAGUUUGGAUUAGAAGUAGGAUUGGGUUAAGGUUCAAGUUGAGUUUGGGUUGGGCUCGGGUUGGGCUUGGAUUGGAAGCAAACCCCAACCCAACUCAGUAAAAAAAAUGUCUAUAAUUUUCAUUUGAAUAUAGAAAAUUUUCUGAGAUGAAAGCUGUCCCAAUUUCUAGAAUGCAGAUUCAACAUCAGUAAAGAAGAACGCAGAUCUCCUCCUGUUGGCAAGCAAAUACCAGAACCCUAAUCCAUCUGCUUAAUCACAAAAUCAAAAUACAGCUGCAUGCCCUUAACCCUAAUCCAUCUGCUUGAUCAGAAACUCCAAAUGCAUGACUUCGUCUUUCGCCCCGAGACAGCAAUGAAUCCGCAUGUUUCCCAAAUCUGGAUCAGAGGUUAGAGACAAAGCCUACAUAUAGGAAUUUAGUGUGUAUGAUUUGCAGGGAAUUAGGAGACAAACCUGGUACCCAGAACAGUUCCACAAGUCCCACACCUAAUAUUUGCAAGCAAGCGUAGUAAGAUUCAUAUUUCCAAGAGUUUGAACACAAAGGGGACACACACAUAAGAUUCUAGAAGUUCUUUGUUUUCAGAAUGAUCUUUGUAUGGACCAGCCUGGCCCAGAGCCUUUUCUCAACAACCCUAACCAAAACUGUGUUUUCUUUGUGUUUUUCGGGUGCUGGGGCUGUAUAACUGGUUCAUAGCGUGCAUACACUUGAAAAUGGAGACUAGGAUACAGACUUUUCAACACUACAACCACCAAAAGGCAAGCUUUAUUGAAUUCAAAUCCAAGAAAUGUAUCUUUUAAUACUGAAAAAAAAAACAUGAACAUAGCACAAAACUCUGAUCCAAAGUUCAUGAUUCUGUUGUGUAUCUCUUCUAAAGAAGAUAAAAACCGAAACAAUAGCACAAUGUAGAACAAUGAUAUUAUCCGGCAACAUCAGCGCAUGAUAAUAAGAACAACCUAAGAACAUGAUAUUAUUAAUUUUAAACAUGAAUUUGGGUCAUACCCGGUAACAUUCCAACUCAAGUUUGAUAACAUUUGAAAUGGAAUAUGAGCAGGGAGCUGUGAAAAUGCAACAGGUUGUUUAGGAGAAUUGUGUGUGGAUGAAUUAGAAGCAAAGAGAAAUCAUAUACCAAACAUAUAAACAUAAUAGUGAGACAAAUGAACACAAGAACAAAAGACGAACAGAAUCAAAUGUAAUAAAAUGUAGCUUGCUCACAUAAAAUUAGCAAAAUUACAUGAAUGUCAUCACAUAUAGCCUUAAUAAUUUUACAGAGGAUUUAAGUGCUUCUUCUCUUUUAAAAAUUUAAUGCAUGAGGAGUUUAAGAAUAGUGGAGGAAACACACAUUUAACUAAACACCCAUUUGCUCUCAUCUUCAAGUCAUUCAGUCAUGACAAAGUACCUGGACGAAUCUAUUUUCCGAGAAACUGGAAUAAUUCUGACAAAUCUGACCAAAACAAGUAGUAAAUGGUACAUUAAAAGUGCCCAUUGAACAACAAUGGUACAAUGACUAAGAAAUAUAUUCAUUUACCUUUGUAUUGAGGACUCCAGCAUAGUGUGAUACAGAGCCAUCAACCCAGAGAAAUUAACAUCAAACAAGGGAAAUACCAUGAAAAAUGUUACAACCCAGAAACUAUAACAAAGAAAACUUCAAGGUAGUUCUGCUUAUAUGAGAUAUACAACAUAGUUCAAAACCCUCAGGUGAGCUAGAUAAAUGGAACACACUCUUUGUUCCUGUGGUUUUGAAGAUCAGAAACAAGAGAGGGGCGUUAACAAAAAGUUUAUAGUACCCCCAUCUUUUUUCCUUCAAGUCCUAUAGCACAUUAACUCAUCAGGAAACUUCAUUGAUUUGAGUACAGUUCAUGUUUCUAAAAUUUCCAAAUAGUAAACAAUGUACCAAAAUUCGUAUGAAGACCAUUUGAAAACUCCGAUCGGGAUGACAAUUUGUAGUAAAUUCAUAUCAUUUGAUAUUGUUUAAAACAGAACACAUUCACCUGUAAUAAUAGCAUGAACACAGAGUAAACUAGAAGUCAUAUAAAGCUAAUUACAGUUUAGAAAAGUAGAGAUCAUCAUUGAAGAAAAAGGAAGGGAUCUUUUCAUGAUUCCUUAGGUUAGCCAAAACCGAAAAUGGAAGCAGCCACCAUGUCUCAAUAGGGAAAAGAAAGUUCUUCUGCUUUGAAUUACAAAUUAUGUAAACAAAACAAAGAGAAACGAGUAGAAAAUUCUGGGAGAAUGAGAAAAGAAAAUGCCAAUCAACAUUUACUCAUUUACAGUGAAACUGAAAAGAAACCAAUGCUACAAUCAACCAAUCACCGAUUCCAUUCGUAUUCAUCCGCCCACCAAAGAAUCUCAGCUCAAAAGAAUCAAUGAGAAAUGAGAUACAGAAAAUUAAAAUUAUAAAAAUUAAUUAAGAAGAAGAACAAGUUUCAUAUCUGUCCUUGAGCUUUAGAAGCUGUCUUCUCUUGAAAGUCAAGAACCCCACUACACAAAUUUGCAAAAUCCCUGCAAUGCCGACAAACAACAGCCCAAUCGUCUUCCCCAGAUUGAUUUUUUGGUCAUGAUGAUGCUCUGCAGUGUCAUUGUUCAUUCGAUUCGGAUUGACGUUGGAUGUAGGAUCUGUAGCUGCAUUUUUUGAAUGACUAGUCGAAUUCUUCUUGCUAGAGUGAUGAUUAGGGGUCGGCGGCGUUGGUGGUGUUAGUGGUCGUGGUCGUUGUGGCGGCGGCGGUGGUGAAGGAGGAGGAGGUGAUGGCGGCGGAGAAGGUGAUGGCGGUGGAGGAGGAGAUGGCGAUGGCGGCGGAGGAGGAGAUGGCGAUGGCGGCGGAGGUGGUGGUGACAACGGUGUAGGAGGUGGUGGAACUGCCGGCGGAGGUGGCGGAGAGGGCGGAGGGGGUGUUGUAUUGGGUUUCGAUUCAACUUUUGACUGAGCAUCAACGAGAACAGCAUAAAUACAGAAACCAAACCCUAGAAUUACAAACAACAAUGUAGAAAACGGCUGUUCCAUAAAACAACAAUCCAAGAUUCACACUUUUACAAUCAAUGAGGGGUUAAGGUUAGGCCCUCUAAUCCUUUUCUCAUCUGGAUUCAGCCCAAAACUCUUUCUUCCCUCUGCAAAUUCCAGAAAAACAAACACUCUAGGGUUUCAUAAUCAUGAUCAUUCCCCGAUCUGGGUCUUCGAGAUUUCUGCCUCCAGCCAACAAUUAACCAAAUGGGUCAAAUGGGCACCGCCCCAGAUUCUCGAUUUCCUCUUCAAAAUCCAGAUACACUGAACCUUCAAAGAUUAGGAACUAGGGUUCUCUGGGUGGCGGAAAUGGGGCGUGAAUUUGGGGGCUGAAAAUCUGAUCUUGGAUUAGAUAGAGGAGAAAGUCUCCGCUGGAUUCAACGGUUACCUAAAUUGGGUCAUGGAUCGCCAGCAAAGAGUGUGAAUACCUCUCAUUAGGAGAGACAAAGUGGCGAGAAAAUGAGAGAAAGAGAGAAAACUUGCCUCAAUGCCUCACUCCAUGUAGGAUCAUUUGGGUCCCAUUAUUUCCAGCUAAAAUUAUCGAUGGUCCCAAAUCUUACUUUCAACUUCUUCUUCAUCCAUAUUUUAUCUAAAUUCAAACACAUUUUCUUUACAAAUUCUCUCCAAAAAUGAAGCCAUUUCCAUACUUUUCAGUCUGCUUUGCAGUAUUUUCCCACUUGUAAGUGCUAUUUAUUAAUAUAAUUUUUUUAAUUAAUUUUAAUUAUAUUUUAUUUUCCUUCAAAUUUUUCAUAAUAAAUAAAUUCCUAAUUUUUUUUUUACUACUUUUGUUUAAUCAAACAUGGGAACUAAGAAUAAAGGAAUGAAAGCUCAUGUUUUAACAACAUAGUCAUGAUUUGAUAUUUAAAAGAAAAUUAAGAUUGAAAAAAUAAACUAAGAUUUGUGGGCUUGAAUCCAUUAACAUGGGUGACACAUGGUCAAUCAAAGAAAGAAAUUUAUUUUUGUCAUUAGAAUAUUCAAGUCAUGUGGAAUGACUACACAUUGUUGGAAUCCAAUGAAUAAUAAUUCAGAGUGAUCAGGGAAAAAACAAAAAAAUAAAUUAAUUAAUUAAUUUUCCAAAAAUACCACCUUUUUUAAAAAUUUAUUUUAUAAAUAUGCAAACUAAUAACCUACAAGUUUUCUAAAUAAUUGUUGCUUACAACUUUGACCAAAAAAAAAAAAGAAAUAAUUACUUUUAUUAUAGUAAUUGAUUUUAUGUAAGAAAAAUAUAUUUAGGAAUAUUUUAGAAUAGAAUUUAAAUUGUAUGUUUAAUAAUUGAAGGAGUAUAAAUUAUUACUAUAAUAGUGCCAUUAAAUUUUGAGUUCAUGAAUUGUAUUUUUCAAUUAUUUUAUUAUAAAAAUAAUUGUAAUAUUUUAAAAUUUUUAAUAAAAUAAACAUACAUUUAAACAUUUCUUGAAAUUACAUUUAACCUUGGAAAAUUAUUUUUAAUAUUUAAGAAGCUAUAUUAAAUAUGAUUUAUAUUCAAUUUAUAGUUAUUUUAAGAGUACUAUAAACACUUUUUUUUACAAAAACUAAUUAGAGACCGUUUGACAGUGAUUUUAAAAAACUAAUUAGAAACCGUUUGAUAUUGAUUUUAAAAAACUUUUUUAGUUUAAAAAAUGUUUUUUUUUUUAAAUAAAUGUUUGACAUGUGCCACUAUUUCAAAAAACAAAAACAAAGUUGCAAUGAUGAAACUUUUGGGCUUUAAGUUGGGUGGGCUUGUGCAAUGUGAAGCAUGGAUUGGGCUUGGGGUUGAAAAUUUGUAAUAACAUAAAGAUGAAUUCCCAAACUGGGUUUUAACUUUCAACUUUUGACCCAUCCUUCUCUCUAAAGCUUUACAUGCAAAUAGGAAGACAACUUUUAAAAGUAGUAAAUAAUGGAUUGCACUUUUCUCUAAUAAAAAAAUAAUUUCAUUGGAUUGCUUUUCUAAUUGAUUUGAUGGGAUAUUAUAUCAUUCUUUUAAGCCAAAUUUUGAGAGGAAGAUUAAAAUAAAAAAUAAAAAAUAAUGAUUUAGAGGAGAAAAAAUGAAGUAAUUGACCAAAAAAAAUUAAAUUCAAUAAUUUUUUUGGUAAAUACUCAUUUAAAUAUAUUUCUUUUAUUUUCACCUCUUUAAAUUAUUUUUAUUUUUAUUGUAUAUAUUUAUACUUUCAAGAUAAAUCAAAUAAAGAAAAUAUGGAUAUUCAAUGUGAAGAAAAUAUGAAGAAGAAAAUAAAGAUAAAGAGAAUUUAUGAUAGAAUGAAAAAGUUUUGGAAAAUAGAGAAAAGAAAAAUUAUUAUUAUUGUAAGAGUACAAAAAAUGAUGGUGGUUACUUUGGUGUGAUUGGUGGAUAAUGAUAGUAAUAAGAAAACUAAAUUAUAAAGUGUAGAAGGGAGAAAAAAAAAUUAAUUAGGACAGUUGGAAAAAAAAUAUAUAUUGACAUAAUACUGCAAAUUAGGAAAAUUUAUGAAAUAAAUAAAUAAAUACUUAAAUAUAAAAUCAAUUAUUAUAAGAGUAAAUUAAUAACAUGGGAUAUAAAAUAAAUAGGUUUGUAUUAAUGAGAUUUAUCUUAUUUUGCGUAAAUUUUAAGUUUAAUUAAUUUCUUUAUUUUACAUCAAGUAAGAAAAUAUGAAUUUUAAAUAUUUUCUAAAAUAUUAUUUUUCUAAAAGGGUCGUCGACUCUCAUUGCUUAGUUGAAUGAGGAUUGAAAAGUCUGGUUAAUGGGGUAGUCACUUACUCGACAUAUAUUUAAAAUAUAUAUUCAAAAAUAUUUUAAUAAAAGCACUUCAAAUAUAAAUAUUAUUAAAUAUAAUUUUAAAGAGUUAUGUUCCUGUUCCCAUUCAAAAUAUUUUUAGGAGAAGCUUUUUCUUUGAAAGUGCUUUUAAAAAAAAAGUAUUUAUCAAAUAUUGUUCGACAAGUAAUUUUCUUUUACUUUUGAAAUUGUUUUUAUAAAUUUUGUGAAAAGUUUGAUUUUUGUUUUUCAAAAACACUUUUUGAAGUAGACUGCUUUUUAAAAACACUUUAGAAUGGAUAACUUUGAUAUAUAUUGUUAUUUUAUUAUUGCAUGAUAAAUUUUAUUGUUUAAAAUUUGAAAAAAAAAAAAGGGGAAAUGAAAAAUAAAAGGUCACAUGGGGGGGAGGUGAGAGGAGAGAGGAGAGAGAAGUAGAACUGCAGAAGUGAAGGGUAGGGGGGAAGAGCAAGAGGCAUGUUUGGCCGGAUCUAGGGCCACAGCCGCAGCAGUGAGUGGACAGUGCAGUGUCCCAAAAAUGUCAGCUCUGCAAAUUUAUACUAAUCAACAAACAAAGGCAUCUCUCUAGGGAACAAUGCUGGUGUCCCAUCAACACACCUCAUCCCAUCCCCCCUUCACCCCCACCACCCAAAAAAUAAUAAUAAAUAAAAAAUAAAAAAUAAAAUAAAAUAAAAAGGAAAAACCCAUUUGACCCCCAACGUUACAAACUUACAAUGGGUUGGCAAUGAUUUUAACCUUGAAGGGUCAAAUGUUAGGAUUUUUUUUUUUUUUUUACAACCUAAAAACUUUAAGAAGAAAAUGUAAAAAAAAAAAAAAAAAAAAGACAAAGUGAUAAAAAAGUCCCCUUUCUCUGUCAUCUUCCAAGUUUUAUUUUCUUAAUACUAUUCUUUCAACUUUUUUUUUUUUAAUUUAAAUCUCUCUUUUCUUUUUUAGAUUAUUAGAUUUUAUUUUUUAAUUUAUUUUUUAUUUAUUUAUAUUUUUAUUGAAUGAUGCAAAUUGAACAAUGGGUCAAAAGGUAGAUAUGAUACCAGUAGAAUAUCCAAAAGGAAAAGAAAACAAAACCCAUUUUCCCUUUCAAUCCUACAAUCAUGGGUCACUUUGCAGCUUUUCCCCCCCUCCUUUCAAUAAAAAAAUAAAAAAAUCAUAGAAUAAAAAGGUAAUGAUUUUUCCUUUUAAUUAAAUAUUAUUUGUUACCUCAAUUUUAUUUUUAUAUAAAUAUAAUUUAUUUUUAUAUUUUUAUUUAGUGAUGGGUGAUAUUGGAAUGGAAGUUGGACAUGGUACCAUUAGAAUUAAACAAAAAUAAAAAAAGAAAAAAGAAAAAAGAAAAACCCAAACAGACAUUUGACCUUCCAAGGUUAGAAUCAUGGAUCAUCCUGCAACUUUUUCACUUUUUUUUAGAUGUUGGAAUUGAAGAGACAGAGAAAGGGAGUAAAAGUGAAGUAAACGAAGGUGUGGAAUGUGAUGGGCAUUGUUAAAUUAUUAGACUCAUCCACAAGGACAUGGCCUUUUCAUAUUGAUGCUCUCCCCUUCUUUUUCAUCUUUCAACUUUGGAUCUCCUACUCUCUCAUCCCAUACUAUCAUUGAGUACUUGAAAUCAAGUUUAAGGUUUUUUUUUUAUUAUUAUUAUUAUAAGUACAAAAAAAUAUAUUAUCAAAUUUAUCGAAAAUACAUGGAUGAUUAUUAAUAUCGCAAGUUCGAUAUUCAAUUGAGUUGGCAUGAACAAGGUUUGAAUGGAUUAGAGUCGGGGUUAGAUUAGAAAAAUAUUAACAUGAAAAUAUUAGGGUUAACAUGAAUUAAAUGUUCAGACAAUAACUCAAAUCUAAAUCUAUAUAUUAUUAUUUUUAAAUUAUAUCAUUUUAGUUUUAAUGUAAAAAAAUGUAAAAUAAAAAAAAAACAAAAAAAACCCCUCUAACCUUUCUCAUUUUUAAUUAUGUUUGACAAUGAUUUAUUACUUUUUAGUUAUAAAAGCUUAUGUAUUUGUUUAAUUAUUAAAAAUAUUGAAAUUUGAGUUUGCAAGUUGUCAUUUAUAUUAGAUCACUAACUAAUAAACAUAUUUUAAGGUUAUGACAUUUAAAUUUUAAAAUUUUAUUUUAUUAUAUGGUAUAAUAUGAUAAUUUUCAAUCCGGGUUUGGAGGUUAAACAUAUUAAUAAUGGGUUUGACAUGGGUUAGGGUUCUAAUCCAUCCUCCAUCCAAUCCGUCCAAAUUGCACUUUUAUAAGUUAAAUGUAGUGACUCGUGUUAAGUAUGUACCUUUAGCUUAUAUGAUUAAACUAUUAAGAAAAUUAGUUGCUCGAUAUGGUAUCAAGUAAUUGUUUGAUAAUGAGUGAAAAAUAUCCGUCUUUCUGCUAAAUAGAAUGUAUUGAAUUCAUAAUUCAUUAGAUACUUUUUAUGAAUGUCAACUAAGUAUUAUAAGCAAAUUGCUCCCAAUUAUUUAAUCAUUUGAGAACUAUAAUCAUUCUUCGAUAAAUGAUCAUUAUGAAUCAAACUCGAUAAACUUUUAUCAAUCUUUUUUUUGUCGUUAAGGUGGAGAACUGGACAAAGAAUUCUCUUUCUUCAUCAUCAAUCGAACAACAAACAAAGCCUGUAUCAACCAUUUUAGCUAAACUUAUAAGAUUUGAACUCAAAAUGCAUUAUUGUAUGCAUUAUUGUACGUAUUAAUUUUGGACUUAUAAGAUUUGAGCACAAAAUGUAUACCAUACAUUCUAAUAAAUACCAAAAUGAUAUAAUGUCUUUAAUUUUUUUUAAAUUAUAAUAAAUAUCAUUAUUGGUAUAAAAAUGCCCUUGAUGUUUAUAAAAAUUUACAAUACAUGCCAUUAUGAACAUGGGCCAAUCAAAAUGAAACAUUUUCCAAAAUGGAAUCAAAUAAAAGCACAAAAGAAGCAAAACCCUAAAGCUGGCAAGGGGUAUGGUCGUUGAAAGGAGUACAAGGCAAAGGGUAGAACACCCAUCCAUGCAACAAACCCUAGCCCUAAGCUUGGGGGGGCACAGGGGCCCUACAAAGAUUUCAUCCAAAUAUACAAUAGAAAGACAAACCAUAAAAAGAGGUUGAUAGAGAAAUGUCCCUGUCCAUAGUAUCUCGUCCUCUAGAUAUCUUCUCUGUGCCCUUAUGUUAAGAUUUUUUUUUUUUUUUUUUUUAUAUUAAUUUAUUUAUUUUUUCUGGGUUUAAUCAGAUUUUCAUCUGAUUCCGAAUCUACCUCUAAAUUUUCUGUGAGCAUCACUUUCACAGUCCGUACAUAUUCUCCAAACAGAGUUUGAAAACCAAAGCAAGAAUUAAAUAAUAAUAAUAAUAAUAAUAUUAUUAUUAUUAUUUAUUAUUUAAAAAAAAAAGAAGAAAUAGACACUGAAUAAAGAGAUGAGCUCAUCCUUUGACCACUGUAUAAUUCUUGGUGCUGUCUUUUGUGAUCUCCACAAUUUUUUUUUUUUUUUUGGUAUUAAUGCAUUAUAUAAGUUUUUUUUAUAAAAAAAAUAGAGAUAUUUACUGAUUUUAUUUAUUAACAUUUUUUUUAUGAUUUCUUGAAUUGGUGUUUGAUGUGGGCAUUCACUCAUCUACAAAUUUUCUUAAAAUUAAGAAUUUAAAAAUAAAAUUAGAGCAAAAAUAAAAAACAAUCAUGAUAAAAAAUACAAAAUAUUAAAAUUUUAAAAAAAAUAUAAAGGGUUUCUUAUUUCUAAUAAAAGUAUUUUUAAUUUUAAAAAUAAUUUUAAUUAUAUAUAUUUAAUAAAAAUAUUUACUUUUAUUUCUAUUUCUAUUUUCUUCAUUAUGGAAAAGCUAAAAAAAAGGAGGGUGGUGAAGUUCACGCGCCAUAGAAAGUGUGGGCCUGAAAAUGGAAGGGAGACAACUGCAAGGCUUAAGGGCACGCAAUUUAAGGCACCCCUUCAGACGGGCAGCGAGGGAUUCUCACACCCCUUCGCUCUCCUGUCUACAACCUAGAGAGAGUGGGAAAAAGUCAAAGGCGUAGCCCCAAUUCUUGACUUUUUUGUAGGUUAGUGCGCCCGGACACCCCCGCGCACUUUAGCAGACCUUGAAUCUACCACCUGGUUCCCUCUGCUGUUGCCUAUUGGGGGGCACAUCCGAGGUGCCAUCCUCUGCGCCGCCGGUGCAUCGGGCUCCGGUGUCCCGCCUCUCUCACACUUCUGAUUUGAUGUGAUGCGAUGUGAUUAAACCGCUGCGAUCGUGCCACAUCACCAUUGAACGGAUUGCAUCAGACAGAUAAUAUAUUUCCUUCAGUAAAAUUUAUUUUUUGAUAAAAAAAGAAAAUAUAUUUGAAAUUAAUUAGAAACUUUAAUAUUUUUUAUUAUUUAAUUUCUCAAAAAUAAGAAAAAUAAAUAUGAAAAUCCAUAUUAUUUUAUUCUUUCAUUUUCCCCAGAUUUUUCAGCAACAAACACAGCCUUAACAGUUGAGGGCCAAGAAUAUGUAUGUAAGCCAUCUUCUUCAAUUUUCCCUUGAAAAUGUUAAUAGAACAGUCAAGAACAGUUAUAACACAAGAUUUUGAUUUGAACUGUUAGAACUAUUGAAUCCAAUAUUUCUUCCUGUCAAAACAUUUUCCAUAGCUUUCUGUCACCAACACUACUGAUGAUUCACUACUCAAAAAACUAAACCCUUAUCCCCAUUCCCCACUGGUUUCACUCAUUCCAGAGUGCAAACAUGGGCACCUGGUGAUGAACCAUGCCCAGAUUCCUCAACCGGUCCGACCCAGGGUGAUCACCGCCGGCGUUGCUGGCUUCAUACUUGGAGCCAUGCAAUGAGAAGUAUGCCUGAGGGUAAUCAGCACCUCCAGCUCCAAACUGAUCAGCCCCUGGUCCACCACUGCCACCGCCGGGGCAUUUUGGACUGUGCAGACUCGAGGAAGUCCGGCUAGUUGAAGCCACCAGCGCUGUAUCAGUGGCUAUGAUGCUCGUGUUCUGCUGCUGCUGAUGGUCUUCGGUGUUGGAACUCCACACCAUGUCAGGCAAUUCCUCCGAGGGCUCGCCAUUGGUUAUGGCCAGAAGGGGUUGGGGCGAGGUGGAGGAUGCGCAAGAGUUGUAGUCCUCCAGGGCGGGGGGAGCCGAUUCUUUUGGUGACCGUUUGGCAAGGUCGCCGGCAAUGAGGGUGGAGCUCGAGCAAAUCCUCUUGACGUCGUACCUACUGAUAUCGAAAUUGGUCACUGCACCUGUCCCUCUGAACUUUAUCGCAGCAAUAUCAUAGGCUUCAGCAGCCUCCUCUUGUGUGCCUAAACAUCAUCAACAAUUCAAUCUAAAUUCAUACUAAUUAAACUUCUCGAACCAACCAGGAUGAUGAUAGGUACUGUUUUAUUGGUUCGGCCUAGUCAAGCAACAAAGAAUUACGGUUUUCCGCUUUUGCCCAUAACCCUAAAACUCAAAUUACUAAACAUAAUCAAUCUUAGUCUAUGAUCUAACUAUUCAAAAUACAAAGUUGUGGGUGUUAAUUAAAACAAACCAUAUAUUAAAACCAAAUAAGAUGCACAUAUAAUUAACUAAAGGGUUGAAAGAAAGUGGGAGUGGACUCACUGAAUGUUCCUAAAUACAAGUCCUUGUUGCCUGCAACUCUCCCUAUUCGAGCUUGCCACCUUCCAUGCUGAUGGUGUCUGUCAAAACAUAAGGAAAACCAACUAGACAGAUAAGAGGAAAAGAGGAUAGAUACUUUGAUGGGGGACCUUAAAUUUUAUGCCAAAUAUAUAUGGUCAAUCUCAUAUGCACAUGUAUCAUAAUGUUUUGCCUAUUAUUGAAAAUGAUAAUAGCAAAAGCUGCAAACAGCAGUAAAUAAUGGAAAGCUUUAUCAUUAAAGCAAUUUUUAAUUUUUUUUUUUUUUUUGGGUUCCUGCCACAACCUCGUCACUCCUCUGUACACAGACGCCCCUCUUGAAAACCCACUACUUUUCCUGUUCAAAAAACAGUCAAACUUUAUAUCAAAACCCACCAUUUUCAUUUCAGAAAGGAUACAAAGUUUGAAAGAUAUGAUUGUUUAUUAUUACCUUCUUAAGUUGGCUACAAACUCUUGCCUGGUCAUGUUCUUCAUCUCUUCAAGCUCUUUCUCAUAACUACUAAGCUGAUGGAGUUUUAUGUGAGUGGUUCCUCAUACUAUUAAAAUAUCGGAUUGGAACUUGAAACAUUUUCUGAGUACCCAAACAUAUCUUACAGGGAAAUUUAUGUGAGUGGUUGGACCCCAAUACUUGAGUGCCGCUAAAUCAUAAGCCCUAGCUGCUUUUUCUUCCUUAUCAUACCCACCUGAUGAGCAAAUACAUUAACAACAAAUAAUUAAAAAGAAUGAAAGAGAGAUGCACACCAUCCAAUGCUUUUUCUUACAAUUUCAGAAGAGAAUUAACAUGGAGGGAGACAUGGAGAUGGAAAUGGAAAUGGGAGAGAUUCCACUUACCAAGAUAAACUGUUUGAGAGUGGAAUUGGUGAAAAGAGACCAUGCACCACCAGAAAUUGCAUGAAAUGUAACUGUUAGAAUACUCUUCCAGAGAUUGAAAACAAAAUUAAUUUUGAGAAAGAGUGGGUCAUAAAUAUUGUUAGCAUAAAAGGAGAGAACAGAAAUCAAAAUUCAGAACUCUGAGCUCUGAGCAGCUCUUCCCACCUUGCCUUCCUUUCCUUGUUUGUCCUUCUUUUCUGCAACUGUUGUCCCACAAAUGGGCUUCAUAUCUUCCAGUCCAUCUGUGCCUAAAACAAAUUUCAUCACCCACCCAUCAAAAUUUUCUCUUCAAAGAAAAGAAAAGAAAAGAAUUAAAAUUUGUUUCUUUCAAUACCUAGUUACACCACGAUAUUGAGAAGUUCUUUGCCCAAAAGUAUCAAUUGAUUUCCGAGGAACUGGUUCUCUGGUAAGAGCCUUCCCACCAACUUGCCUUUUCCGGUUCUCAGCAGCUUGCAAUGGAGAAGAAACAGCAGUGACCCCCCCAUGUUGAGAGCUGGGACUCAUUGUGAGUGACAGUGAUUGAAAGUUACAAUUGUUUGGCUGAUCAGCAGAAGCAGAAGAAGAAGAUUUUUCCCCAGAAAAUGGUGUUUGGCGCAACCAUGACUUGAACCCAGAAACUGAAGUUGCACUAUGAUCAAAAGGUACAUGAUAAAAACAAUUAUUAUGGCCACUAGGGUUUGAACCACACUGCUGCUGAAUCUGAGUUGUUGUGACUAGGGUUUGUGGGGUCUCGUUGUAGUGAUGAUGAUAAGGUUGGAUUUGUGGAGGUGGGUCUGCUUCAAGCUCUCCAUUGGAGUUGAAGCUUGGUGGCGCAUUCACAUUCACUCUAUCAUCUGAAGAAUUUGAGUAACAGCAACCCAAGAAAUCUUCAAGCUUUGGAGCCUCUCCGCUUGGAUCAGUGCCACCCAUAUCGUUCUCAUAUCUCCAAUCUACAACACACCCAAUAAACAAUAUCACAUACCCAUAUCAAAAACAUAAAAGAAAAUAUCAGAAAAGUCACCAUAAAUCGCACUUCAAAUUUUCCCACUAACCAAACAGUAGAUAACCAACCAAAUAAGCAACAAAAACAGUGAAACAAUAGCGUCAUGCACACCUUCACUUCCACUUGGACGCCUGAAAGGAUCGAUAACACAGAGAGAGCCAUCAGAGCGCAAAGGCAUGACGAAACCUCCUUGUUGCUGGUGCUGCUCAUCUCUCCCAAAACCCUCGUCGAUUCUCAGGUGGGGAGUCAGAGAAAAUCCCAGCCAAUUACUCAUAUCAACCUCGCAAAAAAAACCCCUAACCAAAAAAAUCCUCUUCUCUCUCUCUGUUCCUCACCUGGGGUUUUGGUUUCUGAGCUCAAACUUCAAAGCUUGUGCUGUAAUUUAUAUAACAGCAUCCCACCCACACAAACGGAGAAAACAAAGAAAACGAAACAAACCCUGCUUUUGCUGCAAGAAAACAAAGGAAACAGAGGUAAAAUAUUUCGAAUCUCCCGUCCAAAUUUUCUUCCGUCCGCCUCGGUCUUCGUUCCUCCUUUCAUUUCUUCUCAGUGGUUGCAGAGGGUGGCCAUAAUCAGAGAGAGAAACGGAGGAAACCUACAUGUAUCGCGGCCCACAACUUGGUUUUCCAUCAUCCGCACUCCCGCACCGUCCGAUUAGCAUACUAAUUGGAUGACUCUCUCUUUGGCGGCAGAGAUGGGUAAGAAUGGGAACUUUAGGGAGUGGUGCGAAACACAGGAGUGGGUUCAAGGGGUUUGGUCCACUUCACAGAAGAGGCAUGGGAAGUGUACGCGCACGUGUAGAGUAAAAGCGCCAACUCGCUCCCUGUGAAGAGUACAGAAAUUACUGAAUCACUGAGCAUAUUUAUAAUAUAUAUAUAUAUAUAAAAUAUAAAUUCAGGGUAUUUAUGGUAAAUAUUUGUGAGUGGGGCACUGGAAAUUAGGGAUUUUACCAUAAAUAUUGAAGGACAAAGUGGUCACGUGCUGCCACCCCUAUUUUUCUGAUCAUGGGUGUGACUGCCAUGCAAGCUGUUUCUUCCUCUCUCUCUCUUAUUUUUAUUUUUCUAUAUAAAUUUAAAUUUGUUUAUUUAUUUUUAUGUUGGACAUUGAGAAAAAGUUGGAAAAUUUUGGAAUUGGGAUAAGUGGAAUUGAGAGUUUGAGGGGAAUGUGUAAAUAGUGAAAAAAAUUUGUGUGGAAAGGGAAAGUGGGAAGAUAAAUGAUAGGUUUAGAUUCAACAAAUAAAAUUUUGUUAAGUAUAUUUUUAAAUUAUUUUAAAUAUAUGAAUUUUUUUAUAUUUUUAAAAUAAAUUAAAUAUUUUAUUUUAUUUUUUUCUAUUAUUAAGAGUAUGAUAUAUAUCUUAUAAGUUUUUAAAAAAUUUGAUAAUUUAACAUGAUUUCAGACUUUUAUUUGAUGGAAUGUCUCAUAUUCCUUCUCGUAAUUUAUAUUUUCCUUAUUUGUUUCUUGGAUAUGGUAUGCACAUGUUCCCAGUUUUAGAAAAAUUGAUAAUUCAACACCUACUUAUUUUCUUUUUUAAAAAAGAAUUUUUAUGGAGCGUAAAAAAAAAAUUGCAUGUUAUUUUCUGAUUAUGGUUAUUGAAUUACACAAAAUUUUUACAUCUAAUAUAUCACAUCAUCACUCAUAACAUAUUUUUUUUCUUAACAAAGAAUGAAGAAUUUAUAAAAAAAUAAAAGUUUAAUUAAAUUUAUUUAUUUUGUAUAUUUGGGAGACAUUGUAAAAAAAUGAUAAUAAAUUCAAGAAAAAAAAUUUAAAAACGGAAUAUUUGAUGGAAUAAUUUUAAAGUGUUUUUAUAAUUUAUUGAUAAAAGUAUACUUCAAAAAAUAUAAUUAUUUUUUCUGCCUUUUGUAAUUGAAGAAAAUAUUGCCUUAAAAAUUCAUUUGGGGCUGAAAACCGGGUCUAAUUUAUUGGGCCGGGCACAAAAUUCAAGUCUGGAUCCAAUUAACAUGAGACUGGCGUGGUUCAUCUGAAUCAGGUGACUUGCAUGUGACGGAGGUGAUGGUCACGUGACCACGAUCUUUCCAAUGCGUAGCCAAGGUUUUCAUUGCUUUCACACUCCAUACACCUCUCCGAAGUCAAAACCACACCCAUCCAAUGGAAAUUUUUUUAUUUUUUUAUUUUUCUUUCAUUUAUUUAUAUUUUUUUAAGUUCCAAAAUUACUUCAAAAUAUAAAAUGAUUAAUUAGUGAAAAAAAAAAUUAACUUUCGAGUUGACAACUAAAAAAAUUAAUAUGAAAUAUAAUAUUUUUGUUUCAAAUUAAAGUUAAAAAAAAUCAAAAUAAUAAUAAAGUAAAGUUUUAGAAAAUAAAAUAAUUAACCUUUACUAUUUAAAAAAAUUAAAUAUAACCCUUUUUCCAAAAAAAAAAAAAAACACUUAACCAUUUUCUAUAAAAAUGUAAAAUAUGACCCUUUCUUUAUGGUCAUGUUUGGUUUUAGAAAAAAAACGAGGAAAAGAAAAUAGAAAGAAAAAUUAGAAGAAAAAAAGGAAAGAAAUUAAGAAAAAGUUAAUAAACCAUUCUUAUAUAUUAUUUCAAUUGUUUUUUUUCAUUUAUUUGACAUAAAUUUUUUAAUAAUUUUAAUUAUAUUUAACUUUCUUUUGUAUUUUUCACUGUAAAGUCAAACAUGAGAAAAUAAUUUUCCGAGAAUCAAACAUAACCUAUAUCAAUUUCUCUAUGAUUUAUUUUUUUAUAUAUGUAUCUUACAUUAAAGUACUUUUAAAAAGAAUGACAUUUUUAUAAAAAAAAAAGAAAAAAAAAAGAGAAGUUAUCUUUGCAUAACUUCAUUGAAGAACUUUCUAGUAAUUUCUCCUUUGUUCUUAUACAAUUUGCUCAAGAUUUGGACACACCAUUUGGGUUUAGGCCCAACUCCCAUCUGGGCUUCUACCAAACCUGGGAUCUUGAAAAUGGGCCUGAUCUCAGGCCCAAUUUUAGGCCCAACCCGGCCUGGCCCAUUCUAGGCAUGCUAAAUUGAACAUUUGACUAAAAUGUUGAUCUCCCAAGUCCAUGCUCAGUUGAAGACUAGUAAACGCCAUUCGGCUAUAGGCCUAAAUGACAUCUGGGCUUUUACCUGACCGGGAGUAUCGAAAGUGGGUCGGGCAUCAGGCCCCAGGCCCAACCAACCUGCCCCAUUUGCAGUGACCCAUACUGGGUAUGCUAAUUCAAGACUAAAACAUACCAUUCGGCUAGAAGCCCAAAGCCCAGAUCGGCUCUAACCCGACCUUUCUUACCAAAAGUGGGCCAGAUCUCAGCCUAAACCAUCCUGGCCCAUCUGAGUGUGUAGGUCAGUAGGUGUACCCUUCAAGGGAAUAAGGCAAUCAAGAAAAGAUGACUUAAUACAAGGCUAUGAAUAAAUUAAAAAAAAAAUAUAUAUUUUCAAAAUAAUUAUUUUUGCAAUUUAUCUCUUUUCAAUUUUUAUAUUUAAGAUAUACCAAUUAUCAAAAAUUGGUAUUAGGUGUAAAAAUAAGUGCAAUAAUGUUUUAAUUAUUUUCAGUUCUUCAUAAUUAUAAACCAAUUCGAAAAAAUAUCGUUAUAAUUAUUUAAAUGAUGUUAUCAAGGUACCUAAACACCUGUAAAGUAAGCAAUCAAUAUCGUGAUUUUGAACCAUGUUUUUUGUAUGCCAAAAGGCUAAGAUCGAGAUUAUCUUAAGACUUUUGAGAGUUGCUUUGAAAAAAUAAUCCACUUUUUAAACACUAGUCCAUUGGUACUUCACGUGUGUAUAGUUUCUUUGGUUAAUAUGCAUAUACCUUGUCACUUCACCUUACUUUUUAUUUGAUUCAAGAUAACCACUCAUAUCUUGAGAAUGCUUUGUAAUAGAGAUCAAUCAUAUAAUGUUUCCCUAUUGAACUUCAUAAUGGACCCAACAAUAAAGAAGUCAUAGAUUUGCAAAUCUACAAUAAUGUACUCAAAAGGACACUAGGGAUUAAUAGCGGUGAAACAACACUUUACACAACAUAUAGCAUGAGAUGUGCGCAUACCCGAUAUAUAGAAAUUAGUGUUGCGGCAUAUUUCGAAUUAAUAAACAUUCAACUUGAAUCCUAACUCAAUCUAACCUUAAUGCUCAAUUCAAAUCUAACCUACCCUUAUUAUUAUUAAGUUUGGAUUAGAUUCAAAUUGAUUAGGUUAAAAUCAGGUUAGAUGAAAUAUUUCAAUUAAGUUGUUUGGAUUGUAUAAAUGAAAUUUAAAUUCGGAUUGACUAAUAUACUUGUAAUGAACUUUUUAGCUUUUGUACAAUUACACUAAAAUUUAGAUACUAAAUAACACAUUAUUUUGAGAUAAUAGCAAAAAAAAAAAAAGGUCUUUUUUUUUUCUAAAUUAUAAAAUAAUAUAUAAUUUAAUUAAAUUUCACGUUGUCCUUUUAAAAUCAUUUGAAAUGACAUAAACCAAUCUUGUUCUAUAUAAAAAUAUAAAUAUAAAUAAUAUAAAAUAUUAAAUCGGAUUCAAAUUGGGGUUAGGUUAUCAAAACCCUUCACUCAAACCCAACCCAACCCAAAUUAAGUUUGGGGUUGAGUUUUCUCACCCUCAAGCCCAGUUCAAAUAUUAAAAAUACUUCUUCAAACCGAUCCAAUCCAAACAUUGGGUUGGAUUCGAUUCAACCCAUUCAAGUUACAACCCUAAGAGACUAUAAUGCAUGGAACAGUAGUCCCCUGCUAGAAGACUAGCACACUAUGGUUUUCUUUAUUCUCCCAGGUUGUUCCUUCUCCUUGUUUCUUCCCUUUUCCAGCUCCUUAUUCUUUAUUCUCUCAAGGCUCUUUGCCCUUGCCCCACAGUUUGACAUCACAUGUUUAUUUGAAGAGAUGCAGAUGAAAACUUUCCAAAGAAACCCACCAUAUUUCUUACCUUUCUUACCUAAAAUGUUUCCUAAAACACAUCACUUACACAAAAAAGUAUCAUAUCCCCACUGGCCAAUUUACAUAAUCUUGAUACUAGGACACUGUCUUUCCCCCUCUCUUUGCUAUUGAUUUUACCUAAGGAUCAAAGGGUAAAGAUUCCUUCUGCAGGGAUUUAUUCAGGUUCUCUGUGUUCGGCCUCAAACGAUAAGGGAAAGAAACAAAAGACAUACAGAGAUUUAAGUGAAUUAUAUAUGGUAGAUGGAACCAUUGUAGGCCAGUGGGGAAGGACCAAGUAAAAAAGAAUGGGGUCGCUUUGUUGACAUUCAUGUUGUCUAUGUUAUACACUGCCACAGCCUCUGAUCACCUCAUCUGCAGGAUUACAACUCAGAUGUUAGCAAAAAGGGGAGAUUCACUGAAAAUUUUUCUUGGAUUAUUGUGUUAUAAUUGCUACUAUGUCUUGAUGUAUAUGUUGAUUUAUGCAUAGGGAUGUUGGUGUACGAUCUCUUAACUCAGGUUGAUUGACGGACGAGCCCAACAAUACCUCGCUUAUCUUACUGGCAACCACAUGUAUCAUUGCCUCCUCGAGGACGAUUUCACAAGGAUGGUAGGGCAUGUUACAGGAAAUAAUUCAUUUAUCAUGGAGAUUCACAUGCAUCAUUGCUUCCUCAAAAGGACGAAUUCAUGCACAUAAGGAUAGUAAGACAUGUUAGUAGAAAAUAAUCCAUUUGAUCACGAAGGUAGCCAAAUCCUAUAAAUUUAAGUUUUUAAGAAAAUUGGUAAUUCAACAGAGUAUUAGAACUUGGUUUGGAGGGAGGUUUUAGGUUCGACCUCCUCCGCAAUUUGCAUUUUCUUUGUUGGAUAUGAAUAAGAGAGGGUGUUAAGGAAUCUUACAAGUUUAAGUUUUUAGAAAAGUUGGUAGUUCAACAAAAAUCAAGCAAAGUCGAUUCAUGUACAAAAACACAUGUAACCUUCUCAGAAACUCACGAGAUUAAGGAUGCUUGAAAGAUUUGUCAAUGCUACACUGGCAAUUAAAAACAAGCCAUUGUCCUCGGAUGAUGAUCCCUAAUUGAUCCUUUUACUUAUUUAAGCAUUGUUGAUGCUUUGUAAUAUUUAAAUUUUAGAAGAUCAAACAUGUCGUUUAUCGGAUUCGCUAAUAUUUUAAUAACCCUACUUCAGUACACAAUAUUUUGGCAUUUGUUACAUAUCUUUUCAAAGUCCAUUUCUCUCAAAGGUUCUACAGGUUGUCUUAUUGCAUUUCUUUGUAUUAAGAAACAACAACCAAAAUUUAUUUGCUCUAGGUCAAGCAGGGUAUCUUUCUAUGUUGGCCUCAACUACACUUAAAAUAACUUAGUUUAUUUUUUAUUUAUCCCGAGACAUUACUAUAUUACUUCCAAAGCCACCUCAAUGAUCACUUCGAAAAUAUAAAUCAAUUACCAUUUUGCUUGAUUUACCCAAUUGGGUAUCUCGAUGAUCAAAACAAUUGCCAAAGAUGACCUAUAUCUUGAACACAUUUUGAAUGCAUGAGAGAUCUGAUCUGACUUUAAAUUGAUGUAUAUGUGUGUGUGGGGUGAGUCCCAACUAUAUUGCUAUACAACUUCAUGGGUACAACUCCCAACUAUGUCGAGCCGCUCGAGUGUUCGGACAUCCCUUUUGGGCUCUCCUUAGGCUGAGGUGCUCCUGAAUAAUCUCGCUUAGGGUCCAUUCCGGCCACAACGGGCUAGCCCCAAGGGUGGUGCCCACCUUGGGGGCCGGCCCUAUGAGACUCCAUCCAACUUCUCAUGAUCGAUCUCCUCAUGCAAGAAUUCAAAAAAUAAUUCACCAUUCAAGCUUCAAUGGCAAAUUAGACACCAAGGCUGCCAAAAAUGCAGGAGAUUUGGGCUCAAAAGAAAGGCUGGGUUGAGUCAAGCCAAGCCAGCCAGCCAAGCCAAGAAGCAUUAUUUCCUUCAAUUUCCCAGCAUACCCCGACAAAGAUACACACACCUCGUGGUUCUGCUUUAGUCAGUCUUGAAAAACAAAAUCUUGAAGAUGGCCCUCCACUUUAUCUCGAUGGUACCUGUAUCUUUUAUUUAAUCAAUAGUGGGCGGUCUCUUUGCUUGGCCCUCUCAUGCAGAUUUCAGACUCAUGCGUCAUGGAGUUUUGUCCUCUCAUCAUAUUCCCCACCUUUGUUAGUUAAUCUUCAAAUCCAUUUUUUUUCUCUAUUAACUCAUGUGAUCUUUCUCUCCUUCAGUGUCAGUGGACUUGGAAUUUACGCCUAAAACACAUUAAAUACUCCUUCCUGCAGUGUGAGCCUGACUCGUUGAAAAUAGGUUGAUUCUCAGCAGAUGGAUCAGUUUAUAUUAAUAUUUCAGAGACAUGUUGAUCAUGAUUGCGAUAUCCCAUUUCGGAGAAAAAGUUAUAUGUAUGGGCUCUUCUUGUCUAUGUAUCCGAUUCCAUUGUAAGGGUUUGUUUGAUCUCCUAAAGAAUAUAUUUAUUUAACCCUACAAUUUUAUGAGAUACAAUAAAGAUAAGAAAAAAAGUUUGACAUUAUAUAUGUAUGAAUUUCUCUGUGUUUAAAAUCAUUAUGAUUGAGCCCAAAACGGCCGAACUCUAUUCAAUUGGGUGCAAUCGUUACAAAGAUCAUAAAUGUUUUGUGGCAUGGAUGGUUAGAUGAAUGAGGAGACCCACCAAUUUCUGUACUCGAAUUUAUGAAAGUUCAAACAGGCCAUGCCAUUCCAAGCUGCAAAUAUCUGCAGAGAUGCAACCAUGGAAUCCCCACAGAUGAAUACAGUCAGUUUGUCAGUGUGAUUCUUGGCCCAACCAGUAGAACCCUUCUUUGUUUCCACCUAACCCAUUAAAUAAAACAAAGUUUUAAACCUAAUUUGAAAGUUUCUCAACCCUUCCCACUUGUCUGCUUGAUUCAAGACUAAUUUAUCAGCUAGAAACACAAAUGUGGGGUGGGGGUGGGGCGGCGGGUACUGGUUUAGAGCCCAUAAUGACCAAUCAAAACCAUUUAUGACGAAUAGAUUUGUCUGCUAUAGUAAUGGGGUUAUGCAAAUCAUUUACACAAAAGUCUGAUAAGAGUCAUGUGAAUCUACUAUUGUAGACAUCAGAAUAAUUCUUUAUGGUCUAUAAAACACUAAUGGGGUUUCAUCUUUUCAUGACUCUGAAAAGUAUAUUCUUUCAAGAGGAAGCCUACAAGUUAUAAAUGCAUGAAAGGCACUAGUACAGUAUAGAGUUGAGCUACCCUGCUUGUCCCUUUUGCAAUCCAACAUUUUAGCAACACAGACCUCCAUUCCUUUCAUUGUAAAAAUUGGAGGACACUUCACUAAAAGACGAAGCCAAUUCUCCCAGUCUUACUACACCCAUAUGAUCUCUGUAGUCCUUUUCUUUCAAUGCCUUUUGUCAUCUUUUCCUUUCUUUUUUGUCCAAAGACAGGUGUAAGCGCACUAUAGUAUUAUUAAACCUUUUUUCUUUAGCAGCCUUUGGAGCAUUUAAGUGUGUACACGCUUUAUAGCCCUCUCAUUGUUCAAUCAUGAAGCUGAAGAAAGUUUUUCUCUCUUUUGUGAGCAUUAUGCUGAGAGUCUCCUCCUCUCAUUCACUGUACAUAUAUAAAUAUAGGGUAGUUGGGUUCUUAUCCCCCAUCAAGAAGGGUAGAUGAUACAGGGACCCAUCACCAUCCUAGCUCUUAAAAGUUAAAACCAAGCUGCCAAGCCUUAGAAAACUCUCUCUCUCUCUCUCUCUCUGAGUUUGUUUUUCACACACAAAAGAGAGAAGAAAAUGGCUGAGAAGGAAGUGAAGUCAAUUGGGUCUGUGAAAGAUGUGAGGAAGGAAAUGAAUAGGGGAGCAUGGACAGCAGAAGAAGAUAGAAAACUGGCUGAGGUUAUUGAAGUCCAUGGUGCCAAGAGGUGGAAGAUGAUUGCAACCACAGCAGGUCUUUUUGUUUAUGAUGCCACUGAGAUGAAACCAAUCUCAAUUAUGCUAUAUCCAGUCUUGACCUUGAUGGGGUUCUGGUUUUUUUUUUGCAGGUUUGAAUCGGUGUGGGAAGAGUUGCAGGCUUCGAUGGAUGAAUUAUCUAAGACCCAACAUCAAGAGAGGCAACAUAUCAGACCAGGAAGAGGACUUGAUACUCAGGCUUCACAAACUCUUGGGAAACAGGUUGUCAACUUAAAGCAGUUUUGAUUCAUGUACCUUUUUUAGUUCAGGUUUUCCACAGUUUAAAUCAGUCUAAAUCUUUGAUGUUUUCUUUCUCUUUAGGUGGUCUUUGAUUGCUGGAAGAUUGCCAGGUCGAACAGAUAAUGAGAUAAAGAACUACUGGAAUUCUCAUUUGAGCAAGAAAAUAAAGCAGGAGAAGCAAAGUGGAGGUUCAACAAGAGGCUGCUCCAAACUUCAGAGAACAAGAGUGGUAGAGGAGGUGAAUGUUGUAGAGGUGAAACGAGAGGACACCUCUAAUGGAGGUGAUCAAUGCUCGAAAAUGAGCUUCAAUGUCGACGAAUUCUUUGAUUUCUCCGAGGAGGGUCCUCUGAACUUAGAGUGGGUGAGCCAAUUCCUUGAACUGGAUGAGGGCUUAUGCCAUCCUUCAUAAACUGUAAAGACUUUGUUAUCUCUCCGUGUAUGUGGUGCAGCUCAUGUUAAUCAAUCCAUACUCUACACUUGAUCACUCCCUCUCCUAUGAUUGCAGUUUAUAGAUUUUCUUUGCUUUUCUUUUCUUUUCUAUUCACAAUCAGGGAAAUCAGACAACAGGAAAGAAGAAGUAGAAAACUAUGGGCACCGAUCCAAGACAAUUGAACAGAUGGAAACAGAUGAACAGAAGGGGUUUAAGGACUGCAGUUUUGGCCUGUAGUUCUCACAUAGUUAAGAAGAGAUUCCUUUUCUUUCUGGGCAAGGGGCAAAGAUGACAAAGAGGUGUAAUAAAAGAAGAAAGCUUGUCACCGUUGUUGUGGACAUAUAGGUUAAAAUACUUAUAUCAUGAUGAUAAGACAAAAAGCAAGGAAGUAUUGAAAUAUACAGAGAUUGUCUAGGAAAGUGUCCUUUUUUUUCCUACAAACCAUUCAUCACGAGGCACAGUACCCACAUUUUUCACUACACAUUUUCACCUUCCAGCAAGAUAGACCCAAGUCAUUGACAAAGUAGCUAGCACAUGAUGCACAUAAAGAUACCAAUAAUGUGAAACAUUACAGCACAAAGUGCCUUAAAAAAGACCAUAAAGUUCAUCAAUGGAUUGUCCAUGGAGAAUGGGUAUGAUGAACAAUUAUGAUACUGAAAACCAACCUAGCUACCAGACCCUCUCUGCCAUUUUCGUUAAGGUUUACAAGGUUAUGGUAAUGGGGCUGUUUCAGAAAGAAAACUUUCAACUAAGACUUUUGUCUUCCUCAGCUAUACAUUUACAUGCUCCAAGACUAGUUGAAAAGUUCAGAUUUUGCCAUCAUAAAAGCUUAAACUAACUCCAAAAUGGGCUGCUCAGCUUUGUUUCCCGGGCACCCAAGUUGGGAAACUAGGGUGGCAGACUCUUUUCCAUUGAAUGCCAGUCCUGGGUUGCACAGCUGCUUUGGGAAUUUCAAAGCAUUGCCCCUCCUUUUUGUCUUGUACCCUUGGAAAAUCCAUGCCAUGAUGAACCCUGUAAAGUUCUGUGCUGUUUUGUGUGAGUUAUUUCUCUUUGUUUUUAGAGAGCCUUGGUUGCUUAGAUUUUGCGUAUUCAAAGCAUUAAUACGAGAGAGCGAGAGAGAGAGAGAGAGAUUCCAACAGAAGUCUUAAGGCCAUUCUCAUUGAAUCAAAAGCCAGUCCCUGCCUACAGAGCAUAUGGGAAGGGGAUCCAACACCACAAAAACAUUCAUUUUUUCAGAACCUGUACAAUCUGAAUUCUCCACACAUCCUCUGUUGUGAAAUCUGAAUCUCUCCUACUGAAAAUGAAAGUAAAAUGUACAAAAGACAUUCCAAAGGGCAUUAACCUUCAAGUUGAUUUGAUUUCGUAAGAAGCUAGAGAUCCAAUUUAAAGGCAGUCACCUAACAGAACAUCCAGGGAGAUAGGAGGAAUGCUCAAACUGCAUCAACAAUUUUUCCAGUACUUGAUCCAGGUGUAAUGGGCAUUCCACGUUGCUCACAAGCAUGAAUAUUUUGAUCUUAUCACUAUGAUUCCAUUUCAUGAAAGGUCAUUUUCGACUUGUAAUUAAACCAUGAAAGGCAAUAGCAUGAACAUUUGGUCAUACCUCAUAUACUGAAUUAUACCAUUUUGCCUUGGGAAGUAUUUGACGGAUGACAAGGCCUAAAAGUCUUACUAGCUCGAAAGGGAAUAAAUGUUACAGCAUGAGGAACUAUAAAAUGACUAUGAAAAAGGGUUCUGGAUUUCACAUGAUGUAUUUCAACAGUUGGAAGCUAAUCAACAUCAAAUCACGGGCAUGCAUCCGAAACAUGUGAAUUUGUACAAGCCUUAUCGAAUCUUGUCACACAGGUUUGUUUUAUUAUUGCAUAACUUGAACAUUGCAGUUUGAGGGGGAAAAGGGGGAAAAAUCAUGUAGUGAUUGUACAUGAACCUCUUGCUUUCAAAUCCUCUCACUGUUUCCAUCAGAAUCUUUGAUCUACAAGCUACAUGUGCCCCUUUGUAAGGAAGUGAAUUUGAGUCACUGACAGCAUGCUGGCCCAUCUAUCAGUUUGCUUGUCACCUCUCGUAGACAGCCUAAUGACUAGUCAAGAGACCUAUGCCAGUACCAAGGUUGA